RNAcentral lists this long non-coding RNA (106613 nucleotides) under Daucus carota (carrot). RNAcentral describes it as "long non-coding RNA (DCAR_LNC006337)". Lineage: Eukaryota; Viridiplantae; Streptophyta; Magnoliopsida; Apiales; Apiaceae. The record is from RNAcentral.
AUAUCACUAGGACAACCCAUUCAAGCCCUAUUUUUGAGGCUCUCUCUCCUUGCCCUAUCCCAUAUUUUAUAAUAAAUUUUUACCAACACUCUCUUUCUCUCUCUAUUUUAUAUUAUGUUUUAAUGAUGAAAGUGAACUUUUAAUAAUAAAUAUUAAACAUAUAGUGAAAAUAAGGCACAUUGUUGGAGUUAAAGUUAGUAGAAUAUGUCCUAAACUACUAGAACAUAAUUUUUUAUAUUAUAUUUAGGGCUCCAACUAGGACACUGUUGGACUUGCUCUUAGACCCUGCUCUGAGUAUUUUUAGGAGAGAAUGCAAAUGAAUUUUUAGGAGAGAAUGCAAAUGAAUGUAUGUGAAAGUAUAUUAAUUUUCAUUUUCAUCUCAUUUUUAGGGUGAAACUAUGUUAUAAUUAUAUCCAUUUUUACUUGUUUUUAUCACUUUAAAAAAUUCAGAAACACAAAUAGGAGCGAAGUUUAUAUAAUUUUCCUUCUCUUCACUUGCUUUUCUAUCUGUUUAUAACUCGGGAGUAUUAGAAUUGUAAUCGUCUGAAACUUGAGUGAGUUAUUUUAUCAGAUCUCCACCAGCGGUCUGAAACCAUGAUAAUGGAUUUAAUUUUUAACUAUUUAUGAACAAAAGAGAAGAAAAACGAGCUAAAAAGGAGUCCUUAAAAUAAAGAAGUCUUUGUAAAAAGCUACAAUAUAUUCGAAACUGGAACACAUGACGAACGUGCCUCAAGUCUCUUAACCAUUUUACAUUGACUUCCAAAUAUUACAAGAACAGGAAGUAAGCACAAGUCAAAGUAAAUCCUUGCUGAUCUGUUCCAUAUUAUGCCGCAGACUCGCACCACAAUCUUUAAUUUACCGACAGAACGAGUAACUUAAAUUUUACGUUUGUUUCAAAAAAACUUAAAUUUUACAUAACAUCGGUGAACUCGAUAGAUUCCAGGUUCGAUUCUGGCUCGAUUAUAUAAUCUGUGGCGUUCCAGGUUGAGGCUACAAGAUUAGAUCAUCAAAGCAAUUAGAUACUCCCCCCAUUUCCAAUUAUAGUCCAAUUCUUCCGUCAUUAUCGCUAGCAGGCAAUUACGUGAAGAGACUCCUUUCUUUCGAUAACCAAGUAGUACUAUAUUAUUAUUCUUAUUCUGUGAUCGGAUAGCCCAGUGGUUAAGGGUUUAUCCUCUGUCGUCCCAGGUCAUGGGUUCGACUCUGGCUCACCCGAGAAUAUCUUCGAACAGAUACUCACUUUGUAAGGCUAUAAGCCAUAUUAGUCAAAAAAAAAAAAACUUUUUUCUCCCAUGUCUAUUUUUCAACAAAGGAAACGAAUUACUUCUUAUUUUCAAUUUUUUUGGUCAAAUAAAAGCAUUGGAACUUUGAAGAAGUGACGGGAAAAACAAAACUUUGAAAUAAGAAUGUAGUCCUAUGAUAUGAAUUUUCAAGGCACAUUAUAGAAGAAAAAAAAGAGUUGGAGAAUCAUUACAAAAUGAAGCUUCUAUCACACUAGCAAUUGAAAACUAGAAGACUUGGAAGAAGAUGCAUUGCUUCCUGUGCUGUGUACAAUGUGGAAGACUUCAGACACUGAAAAAUAUGGCAUCGUUUUCUCAUCUGGAUGGAUAAACUACAGUUUAGACAACUAAAAUUGAUACGGUACUAAAUAUUCGGAUAACUAAGUUGGAUUCGGGUCGAGUAAACAGUCAAUUUCAGGACAAAUUAAACUUAUUCGAAAUAUGAAAUUGAAAGUUUAAGGAAAUUAUUUUCUAGUUCUGGGCCAGUUUAAAGUUGAUUCAGUCAAUUUUGAAUUUGGUAGCAAGUCAGGUUUUGGGCCUUGUCUGAUAAUGCCAUCCAUUGCACUUCAUCCUUCAGUAUUACUCCCCUAUUCCAAAAUAAUAGUCGCUUUGAUUUUUUGCACGUGAUUUAAGGUUUAAAAAAAACACACUUUGUUCUUUUUCGUGCAACUUUUCAUCAGAAGUGAAACUUGAACCAAAGGGUUCAACAGGAUGAGAGGUUCUCUAUUGAAUCUGGCAAUCUGUAAUAUAAUCUGAUAUAUUGACAUCACCGUUUGUGCAUUGUAGCAUCGGCUGUAUCACUAAUUCACCAUCAACCGUGAACUGUCAUACCUAGUGGCUUGUAGAUUAGUAGCAUCAGCUUCAAAAGAGCUUCUGCAAUAAGAAGGCGUUGCAUGUUUAUUAUUUCUUGUACUUUUACGGUAGAAAUUCUUUAAAUUAAUAUUCGGUAAAUUAAUAAACUUUUUAAAAAAAUAAAUUUGUCCGGUUCCGACCUGGACCAAUGUAAAAAAUUGAAAAUUUUGAUAAAAUAAUAAGAUAAUAAUUUUUUGAGAGCUCUCUGUAUAAUUUUCGGUCCCAAAAAAAUCAUAGAUUAAUAAUUCAUAUAAAUUGGAAAGUAAUAUAUUACACUCUAUUGAUAUAUGAUUCAAUAGUUGUCUAUUCUCCUUUUAGACUAUGGUUAUACUUAAACAUAUUCAUGUAAUUUAUAUAUCCCAAACAUGAUUAAGAAUACAUUGAACAUAUUUAUUCGUCUUGUUUACAUCAGAGCACUUCAAAAGUCAUUGUUGAUUUCCAAUACAUAUGAACACAGUAGUUACUAAUUUACGUUGAGUCACAAGAUUCGCUACAAUGUGUCAUUGUUGAUUUCCAAUACAUAUGAACACAGUAGUUAUUAAUUUACGUUGAGUCACAAGAUUCGCUACAAUGUAAUUCUAUGAGGGAUAGAUUAAUUUGCCUUUUUAUAUGGUAUAUUAAUUUAUAUAUAGUAUGCUUUUUUGUUUGGCAUGUAUUGUAUAAUUGGUUUUCUAAAAACUCUUUACAUUAAUAAUUAUUAAUUUAUUAAUAAAUUAAUAACUUUUUAAAUUAAUAAAUUUUUCCGGUCCUGACAUUAUUACUAAUUUAUAGAGUUUGUAGUGUAAUUGACUUGACUUCCUUACCCAGUUAUCUCCAGAUUAGAAGGUUUUAAAAUCAAACUUGGAACAUAAAUUUUGUACACUGCUCGGGUUUUUAGUUUCUUAAACAAUUCUCUUUUAUAGAAGAUUCACACCGUUGACAACUCGAAUAUUACCUGAUCUUUCAAACUGGAAGUUGUCUCCAACUGCAGCAUUAUGAAGUGUGGGAACAGACAGGGUAACUGGGGGGUUAGAUCGCCAAGCCAGUGAUGUGCUGAGUACUCAGACCAGGAAUUUAGACUCAGAGCAUGAGUAUCUAGCAAGUAGCAACUGAUGCAAGUCAUUAUCAUGUGCCAUAUUCACUAUCAUCAUCCCCAAAUUAUUAAGAACCCUUUCCACUGCAUAGAUCAACAAUUCAUUUGAAUGCAGAGCAAGAAACUAACUACAGACACUGUCGACGUCGUUAAUGAAGUGUGACUAAGGUUCCUUAUACUACAAAGACUUGAAAUUCAGUUCCAUACUCGGACAAUGCUGAGUUCAGAAGCUCGCUCACCUAAUAAAACAUAUCGACAAUAAAAUGAACACAAGAAAAUUGUUGAAAAUAAAAACUAGAAUUAUAACUAUAGAACAAGAUAGCAAUUGAUAUGUACAAGAGCGGAACUCUCUCAAGAACUACAUUGUACUUCUUCUUGUUAUAUUUCUCCUUGUACCUCUAAAAAGAGAUUACAUGCCAUAUUUAAAAACAAACGUACUUGACUCCUAAUAGUAUUCUACUAUUUUUCUAAUAAAUCUCCCAAAACAAGAUAGACUCAAUAUCUCCUACAAACUCUCUCUAGAACUCCAACAAACAUCCAACUACUUCAAUCUUAAAUUAAUCCUCCAAAUAAAUAACUAAACAAAUAAUAAUAAUAACUAAAUUUAAGAUUAUUCCAACAAAAAUAACUUAAACGAGCAUGCUCGACAUUAAAAUAAACAUAUGAACUCACCAAUUACCUUGCGCUCUGGCAUCAUGGUACUGGACUACUGGUGAUAUUCAAAUACGGGUAUGCCAGUGCAGUCCAUGAGGUUGGUAAACGCCAAAUGCAUCCAAUAACUGAUUGUAAACCAAGUGCAUCCAGUAACCGAUACUGCGAAACACAUUGUGUAUUAAAUUCAAGUGUACAUAGCCGCAUCAAAAAAAAGCAGAGUAAAUUUAAACAAAAGAAAAAAAGAAAAAAAAAUAUUACAGAGAACUAAAAUAACCAACAAACCAAUUAAAUGCCUCUACAAAGAUAAUGAUCAGGCUCCCCUAUAAUUUACAAAAAGUAAUAUAUGAUUAGUGCACCACAAGAUAAGACAAUAUUAUUCGUAACGUUGUAGUCUAGUGGAUAUCUCUCUUCUCAGGUAACAAGUGGACGAAGAUUUAAGCUUAGAAAUUAUUAAUAUCAUGAAAUCAACGUAGCGUAAUGUGCAUGACAAUUGAUUCAGAUUUCCGAACCAAAUGUAAAGUAAUACCAUUAUCUUUAUUAAACAUAUUCCGAAAUUCCAAAAUUCCAAAAAACAAAAACCUGUAACAAGGGAUCCGCCAAGUAACAUAUAGCCAUGAUGAAUUCACCUUCAAUGCAUUGACAGUCACCGAAUUGCUUUCAAUAUGAUAUGUCAAUCUCCAAAUGUUAGCUGCAGGUGCAUGAAUCGGUAGCUAACUUGAAAUAUUCCUCUGCUUAGAGGGAAGAUUGAAUAUGGAUUCCUAUCUUCUGGUUACUCUGGUCACAGAGUUUCUUAGACAUUUAUUUUUUUCUACAUUAGAGAAUCUCCGAUAGCCUCUCUAUAGUGGCUCUUGCUUGCUCCAAUAGGCUUCUAGUCACUCUUAAAUUUACUAAGGGUCGUUUGGCUGGGCUUAAAAGAAGUGACUUAUUGCUUAAAACAAAGAAGUGGAUUAUAAGUGAAAAAUUGGUUUCGACUUGUAAAUUGUAAAAAGUGUUUGGAUAUCGUGGCUUAUAAAUUAUUUAGUGUUUGGAUAACUCGACUUAUAAGUUAGUAUAGUUUGAUAAUAUUGUAAUAUAAUUUUGUUUUAUUUUGUUUAAAUAAAUAAACUAUAAUAAUAAAAAACUUUUAUUAUUCAAAUUAUGAUAAUACAAAAUCUUAUAUCAUAUAAAUAUCUUGUAAUUAAUUUCACGAGAAAAGAAUUUUAUUGUUAAAGCAGAUUGAUUUGGGACAAGCUGCCAGCUUUAAUUUUAUCAUGUAAUGAUCAUUGUGUUUUGUAUGUCAUGCAAGUAUAUAAUUAUGAAAAAUUCGUAUAAGAAGCGCACAAGAAGCUGCACUUCAAAAUAAGUUAGGAAAGCAGGCUUUUUUUGAGAGCUUCUCAAGACCAAGUAUAAGCGCUUCACGUGUUUUACCAAACACUCCCACCAAAGCAGAAGUCCACUUCUCUAUUAAAAAAGCUGAGAAGCUUGUUACCCAAACACCCACUAAAUUUCUCUUCUCUCUCCUCAAUUUUAAGAGCUAGUAGUCCCUCUUAACGCAACUAGAUUUAUCUGCAUAAGUACAUAACCCUUCUUAUAAGCAGCAUCUGUAGACAAACUAAUACACAUGAGGGUCAAAAAAUAACAGCCAUACCUACUUCUAUUUUGACAGACUUUGCUGCUUUUUCUUUAUUUUCAUUUUUUUAUCAGGCUUCUAAUAAUCUGCAGCAGUUAUUUCAACGAGAAAUGCAUAAAGUUUUGAAUCCAUGAGUUGCUGUUACAUAAAUCGAAACAUCAACCAAAUUGAAUUAGGUCUCUACUUCGUACUGGCAAAAGAAAGGAGAGGUUGGAAACUGGUUGACCUUAGCAAUUUCUUUAAGCAAACUUUAAACAGACUUAAACCAAACAUAUUCUCUAGAAACAUUGAGUAUCAGAAAUAUACAACAAUAACAUGAAGGACCGAGACAACGAUAACAUCAGGGACCGAGUUCUGAGCAGAAUUGGCUAAAGCAUUAGAUUCACUAUAGAAUUGUUUGCUGAUAGACCUAUAAAAUUGUUGAAUAAUGUUUGUUGUAGUCCGACACCUUAAGUUUUGCCCAUUCUAACUCCAGUGACUUCCCAAAAUCCUUUGUAACAACCAUCCGGAAACAAUUUAGGAAAAAAACCCGUUCUAACUGCAUUAGUCGGCUCACACUAUUACUACUGGAUUAUUUCUUUCUACCUUUCAUAAUGAGAACUAUCAACUAUGCACAUCUUUAAUUUCUGUUGUAAUGUAAGUAUAAAGUACUAUAGUUAGACCUACAUUUAGUUAAGCAGUUCUUUUCGAUGACUCGAGCAUUUGCCGGUAAUUUAGUAGCAAACUAUAACAUAGUCACACAGAGCUUAUGAGAUAGAAUCUGUCCACAAGCCUUCUACAAUAACAAUAUAUCAAUAAUUUAUCUGUUUUUUCAUGAUGUGCUAAGUACCAAAUUUCAUGUAGCUAACUCGUUCUGAUUGGCUAUUAUAUAUUAAUAAUAAUGGAUUCCCUGCAUAUACAAAAGCUCCACCAAUCUAGGGAUGGGCACGGGGGCACUUCGGGGUCGGGGAGUACUAUCCCCGCCCCCGAUCCCCGAAUUCAACACUCAUCCCCGACCCCGCCCCGAACCCCGAACAGGGAUUCUUUUCCUCCCCGAUCCCCGCCCCCGAACGGGGAACGUGGAUCCCCGCGGGGAUUCGGGGAAUUUUAGUUUUUAAUAAAAAAUAAUAAUUUUAUAAUAUAUAAUAUAUUUUUUCAAUAAAAAACAAACUACUAACUCAUAGUACACUAAUAGAAUGAUAUUAUCUCAUAUUUUUAACAUCAAAUCAUAUUAAACUUGAUUUGUAAUAUAAAUAAAUGAUAAUUUUAAUAUUAUUAAAUAUAUUAUAUUACAAUAUAAUAAUAAUCGAUCAAUAAAAAUAAAUAUUAUUUUUUAAAAUUUUAAUAAUAUUAUAAAAGGUAUCUAUUUUUAAUAAUAUAUUUAGUAUAAUAUAUAUAAAUAUAUUAUUAUUUACAUAUAAAUAUAUUAUUAUUUACAUAUAUAUACAACCGGGGUCGGGGAUCGGGGCGGGGAGAUAUAAAUCCCCGACCCCUCCCCGAUCCCCGAAUUUUUUAUAAACUUUUCCCCGUUCCCCGCCCCGACCCUGAAAUAUUCCCCGAAUCCCCGACCCGAACGGGGCGGGGAUCGGAUCGGGGUCGAGCGGGGCGGGGUGAAUGCCCAUCCCUACACUAAUCAGAACAAACUAAACAUGUGUCCAUUAACACACACUAGCUAAACCCAUAAUUUAUAUUCGAUAUCGAUAAAUUAAUAAACUCAAUCGGCCAAUGAACCGAGAUUUAAGCCUCUAUGUCAAUUCAUAUACAGUACUUGAUACUUGGUCAUCAAUCAUGUACGUAGAAGUUGAAGGUGAUGCCAAAUGGGUCGUGAAUGACAAUGUGAUAAAAGAGAUAAAGUAACAUGUUUUUGCCCCCAAGCCCCAAAAAUAUGAUUUUUUCCAGCCAAGACGGACACACCAAUUUCUGUACUAUUCCUUCCUCCACGUUCUCUUUCUUAUUCACUUGCAACUUUUAAACCUCUCUAGCUUACUUACAAAUUCUCAAUACGUUUCUAAUCUUAACGCUAAUCAACAAUACGUUUCCAAUAUCAACGUUAAUCAAUAUUGUUGGUUUCACCCAUAUUUUGUUUCUAGCACAUAUCAGUUACUUACCAACCUAUCUAUGGGCUCUUCUUGCUUUUGUUGGAUUAUUAUCAGGGACGUUACUUUUAGUAUAUAUGAUUGGGUAUUUUUGGUAGAUUUAUUUAUCGAAAAUAAGAAACAUAAUUUCGCAUUCUGGAAUUUUUUUGGUAUAAAUAUUUAAAAAGUAUAUAGAUAUUUUAGAAAUAAGUACCUAAUUUAAGAGAGAAUUGUAUAUUUGUGUGUAUUUUCUUCAAAAAUAAAAAUUUAACCUGAAUGGUCAUAAACGGAACGGAAUUAUCAUCCCAUCAUUUCUCAAAAUCUGACAUGAAUAAUAUGAAUAAGUUGUUUCAUUUCUAACUUAUAAGCACGAAACUACCCGUCCCAUCGUUUCUUUAUCCGUUCAAGUAAAAAUUUUGUUCUGCUCAACUAUUUAUGCACCAAAUUCCCCUUCUAUACGCUGCUUUCGGUGCUGCAAUUCAAUCACUUCUCUCUUUAUCCCCUCUUUUCCCCACAUCACUAGUCACCAACCUCACCAAUGUAAAAAAUACCCAAAUGUCACUAUGCCCCAGAAGUUUGUACUUGGAACAUGCCAUCACAUAACAAACAUACCCUGAUCAACACAUCUCUCAAAUUCUCUCCUUAUCAUCUUCUUUAAAACCAAAACCUGACACUUAUUCUUCUCUCAACAUCACUACUCACCUUUCUUUUCUAAUGCCACCACACCUUCCAUACCUUAAACAAUGUUUUUCUCUGCCUAAUUCUGAGAAGAAUGGGAAUUAUGGCAGCUGAGAUAUGCUCAGAGAUUUCAAGUCCAAGAAUUUCGUUCUCGUAUGAUCUCAAUGAGACAGAGGAGUCUCUCCCUGCUGAAUGCUGCCACCGCAGAUCAGAUGCACUGCUGCUAGACUUCAGCACUGACUUUGAUUUCUGCAUUAGUGUUAAUAACUUCCACCAAGAUAAUUUAUCAGCUGAUGAGCUUUUUUCAGAUGGAAAAAUUCUUCCUACUCAGAUCAAGAAAGUGAAGAGCAUUACUCUAGAUUCGGAUACUCAUCGAUCAAAGCCUUGUACAACUAGCCGCGUGGGACUGAGAAGCGGGAAUGUGAAUGAUGAGACCAAGAAGAAAAGGCUAAAGGAGUUUUUAUUCGAAAGUAUUGAGGAAGAUAAGCCUGCAUCCAAAUCUUUUUGGCAUUUUAAGCGAAGCACUAGUCUAAAUUGUGAAAAUAACCGGAGAAAUAAAGGACUGAUUGGUUCUUUACAGGUUCUUGGUCGGAGCAAUUCAACUGGUUCUGCUCCGAAUUAUUGCGAGAAAGAAUCACAUGUCUCUAGGCACCUGUCACGUGUCAUAUCUUCUCUAAAUAAUAUGCCAAUUUAGUGGCCUGCAGUAUUUCCAAGUAGUGCCCCUCAUAUGUUGAGCUGGCAAGGUUGUUAGGUUGUUAUGUCCUAUUUUGUCUUGUCUACUAGUCUCUCUACAUAUAGACAAUAGCCUGUAAUGUUAAGGCAGACUGGUUUGUUAUUACUCAGUGAGUAUUAUUGCCUUCUUGGCCUUUCUUCAAUGGUGAAUUCAUAUUGAGCCUAUUCUCGUAUAUUUACUCUUUAUGGUAUCAGAGCCACCCAUUGUUAAGAUAGGUCAAGCUUGCUUUUGUUUCCAGUUCUCUGUCUAAACAGUCUUGUGUCUUUCACCUCUUCUUGUUCUUGCUUUCUUGUGUCUGUGUCAACAUGUCUUCUGGGAAUAGAAUCCCUCUCCAGGAUUUGGUUAAUCCGUUGUAUCUACACCCAUCUGAUGGUGCAGCAUCUGUGCAAGUUGAAAAGCUCCAAGGUUCGUCCGACUACAGAUCUUGGAAAAGAGCUAUGGAAAUCAACCUAGCCUCCAAGAGAAAACUGGGUUUUGUCACCGGGACUGUGCCCCGUCCUUCUGAUCUUGUUCAAGCUGAGCUUUGGGACACCUGCAACAAUAUGGUAAUCGCUUGGCUCACUCAUAAUGUCUCCCCCUCUAUUAUGAAAUCUGUGAUGUUUAUGACCACCGCUUUUGAUAUUUGGUUGAAUCUUGAGACUCGUUUUCAGUUAACAAAUGGGUCUAGAAAGUAUAAAAUCAAUAAAGAAAUUUAUGAGUUGAGACAAAACACCCUGUCUAUAAAUGAAUACUACACUGCUAUGCGUGCCCUGUGGGAAGAGCUAGACACCCUAAACACUUUACCUGUUGUCCCAAACCCUACUGAUGAAGUCAAAACCCUGUUAAAUGUCAUUUCGUCUCAACAAGAAGAAAGUAGGCUGUUUCAGUUUUUGAAUGGUCUUAAUGAAGCCUAUAACCCUCAACGUAGUCAUUUCUUGUUGUUGACCCCCUUACCCUCUGUUGAGGUUGCCUCAGCUGCUUUACAGCAAGAAGAAGCUCAACGAGAGCUCUUAAACUUAAACAAACUAGACCCUGAAACUGUUGCCCUGUUUUCCAAAUCUAACCCUGUCAAAUUUGAUAAACCUCUCCUGUGCUCUGUUUGUGGUGGUAGAGGUCAUAAAAGUGAUACUUGUUGGGAUGUUGUUGGAUACCCAAAGUGGCACUCUAAACAUGGCCAAAACAACACCCCCACUGGCUCUAGAGCUAAGUCCACUUUUCAGUCUAAUAAACAGUUCUCUGGUUCUAGGCAAAGAAACUUUAAACUUGCAGCUACAGCUCAGAUGUCUCCAGGUCAAACCUCCACUUCCGCUUUUACACCAGAACAGUUGGCCCAGUUGGCUCAACUGUUGCCACAAUUAUCCUUGCAACAAAGGGGCUCCGAUACUGAGGAGGAGUUGGAACCACCGUUUUCUGGCAUGCUUUUCUCUGGCUUAACUAAAGGUGUUGCUGUCGACUCCUGGAUCAUAGACUCUGGGGCCACUGAUCACAUGACCCCAGACUAUGAGCAUCUGUCUCACCCUGUUCCUCUUAGCAAGCCAACUCAGAUCAACUUGCCCACUGGUGACACUGCCAUCAUCUCUCAUCAAGGCACAGUCAAAUUAAACACUGGCUUGACAUUACACAAUGUUCUCUGUGUGCCCUCCUUCCAACAUCGGUUGUUAUCCGUGCGAAAGCUGAUUGCUGAUAGUAAUUGCCAAGUCCAGUUUUACAGUACUCAUUGUGUCAUACUGGACAACUGCUCGAAAGAAAUUAUUGCUGUGGGAAAGGCUCAUCAGGGCCUGUAUUAUCUCAUCGAUCAUUUGUCUGGUAAUGUUGAUCAGGAAUGGAUAAACUCCAUUUCACCAAAAUGCAAUGCUAGCAGCUCCAAGGAGGACCUCAAGGCAGCCUCAGAAUUUGACAAAUGGCACUUGCGCCUUGGUCAUGCUUCAUCUGCCAGAUUGAAACUUAUUCCAUGUGUCAAGCCCUUCGUGCAGCAACAAUCUAAAAUCUGUGUCACGUGCCCAAUGUCGAAAUUUACUCGACUUCCAUUUCCCUUGAGUGAUUCUCAUGCUAAGACCCCAUUUGAUCUCAUCCAUAUAGACAUAUGGGGUCCCUACAAAGUCUGUACACGGGGAAAAUUUAAACACUUCCUGACUAUUGUUGACGACAACACACGCACCACCUGGGUUUACCUGCUGCAGUAUAAAUCAGAUGCUCUGUCUCACCUUGAAUCCUUUCGCCAAUAUGCUCUGAAUCGUUUCAAAGGUACAAUCAAAGUUAUAAGGUCUGACAACGCUCUUGAAUUUGAUGACGUCUCUUGCAAACAGUUCUUCCACAAAUAUGGGAUCACUCAUGAAACUUCUUGUGUUCGAAGGCCGCAACAAAACGCCCGAGUGGAACGCAAGCAUAGGCAUAUCCUUGAAGUGGCUCGCUCCUUGCGAUUUCAGGCUGCUGUUCCUUUACAGUACUGGGGAGAAUGCGUAAUGGCUGCAGUCUAUAUCAUAAAUAGGUUGCCUACACCAGUAUUGGGCAACAAAACUCCGUAUGAAUGUCUUUUCAAUGAGCCACCAGAUUAUACUGAAUUGAAAGUCUUUGGAUGCCUUGCCUUCGCUUGCAAUCCAGAAAAACCAGGGGACAAGUUUGCAGCACGAGGUGUUCCUUGUGUAUUUCUGGGUUACCCAUGUCUGCAAAAAGGUUAUCGACUCCUCAACUUAUCUACCAUGCAAACCUUUGUUUCUCGUGAUGUCCUUUUCCAUGAACUGGUUUUUCCAUUCAAAACAACAACUGGCAGUGUUGCGCCUCGAGAACAACAAUCAACUAUCAGCCCUGCAGCCUAUGAAGACUAUUACCCCUAUCCUGGUAACAAUGUGCUCGAUGACCAGUCACAUCAGCACAGCCCUUUAUCAUCCUCUGCAGAUGAUACAAAGGAAGAGGCACCUGUGGUGCGCAGGUCUACCAGAUCACGUGUUGCCCCUAUUUGGCACCAAGAUUAUGUUACCAAUGCCUCAAUCAAUGCUGUGACAACGACAUCUGUGAACCCUACCUUUGCCUGUUUUUUGUCAACACUCUCUCAAACCAGUGAUCCUGUUUUCUUUAAAGAGGCAGUCAAACAUGAAACAUGGGUGCAAGCCAUGAAUACCGAACUUGCAGCCUUGGAACAAAACAACACCUGGGACAUCAUGCCUCUGCCGCCAGGUCAGCGAGCUAUAGGAUCAAUGUGGCUUUUUAAGACAAAAUUUAACCCAGAUGGCUCAAUACUGAAGCACAAAGCCAGACUAGUCAUACUGGGUAGUAAGCAGCAGUAUGGGCUAGACUACCAUGAAACUUUCGCACCUGUGGCAAAAAUGACCACAGUACGUACUUUGCUUGCUGUUGCUGCGAUGCAAGAAUGGCACACCAUCCAAAUGGAUGUGACCAAUGCCUUCUUGCACGGAGAUCUUUCUGAAACGGUGUAUAUGACUAUGCCGCAGGGUUACACUCAUUUGGGCUGCAGAAUCACACAUAAUCAGAUCUUGGGGCUCCCUGAUAAAUCUCCAACUCGUCUUGUCUGCAAGUUGAAAAAGUCCCUAUAUGGUCUGCGUCAAUCUCCUCGCCUGUGGUUCAACAAAUUCUCCACCACUAUUCUGCAGAUGGGCUUCAUUCAAUCCAAAGCCGACUACAGCUUGUUCAGCCUCCAUUCUGAGUCCACGAUCACAAUCAUCCUGGUUUAUGUUGACGAUCUUUUGAUUUGUGGCAACUCUACAUCCUCCAUCUCUGAUCUCAAACAACUACUGUCAAGAUCUUUCAACAUGAAAGACUUGGGACCAGUCACUUAUUUCCUGGGUAUCGAGAUAGACAGGUCUGAUGCCGGCUUCUUUCUCUCACAGAGGAAAUAUGCCUCUGAUAUACUUCUUGAAUUUGGAAUGACAAAAGCCAAGCCACUACACUUGCCUAUGGACAUCAAACUGAAGCUGACUGCAGACAUGGGUGAUGUGCUUCCUAACCCGUCCACAUAUCAACGCCUAAUAGGUAAAUUGAUUUACCUCACUAUAACUAGGCCAGAUAUUGCGUUCUCGGUACAGAUUUUGACACAAUAUAUGCAGAAACCCACCACUGUUCACAUGCAGAAUGCUAAACGCUUACUCAGAUACAUCUCCGGUACUGUAACUCAAGGCAUUUUGCUGGCCUCAUCUUCAGCUGCUCAGUUGACAGCUUAUUGCGACAGUGACUGGGCUGGGUGUGUUUCUACCAGAAAAUCUACGUCUGGAUUCUGCAUUUUUCUCGGUGAUUCACCAAUCUCUUGGAAGACGAAGAAGCAAACAGUGGUUGCUCGGUCCUCUGCAGAGGCAGAGUAUCGCUCUAUGGCCCUUACAGCUUGCGAAGUAACUUGGCUGUCCUCUCUCUUGCAUGAUCUGGGUUUGAAGAAUCUUCCUCCUGCUGUUCUGAAAUGCGACAAUCAGGCGGCCUUGUCUAUUGCUGCGAACCCCGUCAUGCACGAGCGCACCAAACAUAUCGACAUUGACUGUCACUACAUUCGUGAUCAGAUCAAAGCAGGCACUCUUGUUACUCAGCAAGUCAAAUCUGUGGAUCAAAUAGCUGACAUUAUGACCAAGAUUCUCCCGGUGAAGCUGCAUGAUUCUCACAAAGACAAGCUGGGAGCUUCUCCAAACUCUCACUCACCAGCUUGAGGAGGAGUAUUGCGAGAAAGAAUCACAUGUCUCUAGGCACCUGUCACGUGUCAUAUCUUCUCUAAAUAAUAUGCCAAUUUAGUGGCCUGCAGUAUUUCCAAGUAGUGCCCCUCAUAUGUUGAGCUGGCAAGGUUGUUAGGUUGUUAUGUCCUAUUUUGUCUUGUCUACUAGUCUCUCUACAUAUAGACAAUAGCCUGUAAUGUUAAGGCAGACUGGUUUGUUAUUACUCAGUGAGUAUUAUUGCCUUCUUGGCCUUUCUUCAAUGGUGAAUUCAUAUUGAGCCUAUUCUCGUAUAUUUACUCUUUACGAAUCCAAAACAAUCCAUGGCAUCAAAAGCUAAUCCCAAGCAGCAUUUACAGAAACAGCACUCGCUUGGUUCCAGGAAUCGGUCCCUCCCGUCUUAUGGCGAAUACCAUCAAAUUUAUAAUUCCUCAGGAAGGCCGCCAUUGUUAAAGAAAUGCAAAUCUUAUGGUAGCGGAGUCAGAAUCAAUCCUGUUUUAAAUAUUACACCGGCUUACAUAUCAAAGGGGACUUCAAAUUUGUUUGGAUUUGGCUCAUUUUUCUGUAACGGCAAGUCCAAAAAGAAAAAGAAAUGAUUCAUGUCAUCACUCAAGUUGUGAAGUACUUUCAAGUAUAUAGAUGCAUUGUAAUUUGUACUUGUGCAACAGUUAUACAAUUGCCAUCCGUGAAAACUGCAUUUUUACUCCGAACUCUUUCGGGUAUCGAGUAAAGUCCGCGUAAAUCUUACUGUUCCCGGACCCUACUUCCGAGCGAGACAUAAUUAAAUGUUGUUGGCGUUACAUAACAUGCCAAAUAACAAGGGAACAAGAGAACAAGGAAUCCUUCUAUCAUUGUCAUCCCAUGCUUUGCAGUGUUUUAAUGUAUUGCAAAUUUUCUGGCACUUCAUAAUUGCAUGUGGCUGCCUUGUGUUCCAUUCAGCAUGAAAAUGUUUCUUGUGGACUGUCUGAGCCGAUUAAGAUAUUUAUAUAUGGGUUGUACGAAUGAGGUUAAUUCAAUUUUUGUUUUCUCUGGCGGUUGGAUCUGAGGACUGAUUUUUAAAGUGGAUGAAUGAUUGACGAACUUAUUGAGUAUGCAUUUUGCAUGUUGGUGUAUAAUGUAAUCAAGAAUAAGUGGGUUAUCCUCUAGAUAUGUCUAAUGAGGGACUGCUGAUUGGUCCUCAUGAACUGAUCCUGCAGCUUUGCUUUCAUGCUGAGCUGGUUAGUUUAUAAAACAUGCCAAAUUAUUGUAAUGGGCUGCAUUUUGAUGCUUCUAAACCCUGUUCCUGAGUUAAGUUAAAAGCAAUUUCUUGAUAUGAUUUAUGUAAAACAUUUAUUAGUAAAUUUUGAUUUAUUAAACAAAAUUUGAAAAUUUUAAGAUCCUAACUUUUUUAUAGUUUUUUUCUUAAUUUUUGAAAUUUGAUUUAAAAAAAUUAUAAAAGACCACUUUAAAAAGUAAAUUACCAACAAGCAUGCAGACCAAAAAUAUACACACACUAUCCACUGCCAAAUAAAUAACCGCAAAAAUUUCAAAAAACAGGCACCAACAUAUAAUUCAAGCUUAUAAUAAGCCUUUGAAUUCUUAAACCUGCAAUUUUUUAAUUAAGAAGUGAACAAAUUUAGUUAACUUGAACAUUCAAACUAUCUAACUAAAGGCCGGCUGGAGGGUUACGCCGAGUUGCAUAAAACGACAGCAACACCUCGGUGUUCUUGAUAAGUGGCUUAUUGGACAUUGAACAAAGUUGAAGCCAUGGAUAGUCCGAGUAAUAUUAUCAGCAUUCAAGUUGGUCAUAUCAUGGGCCGACUUCCAUGAGCGAAACAAGAUAUAUAUGUUAAAGGUCGUGGACCUAAGCCCAAUAGCAAAAUGUUUCUUAUAUUUUCCUAGCAUGUCUCCUUUCUUCGAUAGUUCAAUGCCUACUACAACCAAGUCAAAUUGGGGGGCUAAUGUAGAUUUCCCUCCACUUUCUUAUAUGAACCAUUGAACAACAAAAUUGACCAUCUACUAUCUACAAUAAAACUUUGAUCUUGUAAAAUGCGAACCUUGCACUGAGGACGAACCACGACCUCUUUCAUCUCAGAUUCAACUUUGAACCAGCUCAGGUUGCAGAGUGAAUCUGGUCCAACUCCACUAUUUCUAAAAGAAACAGAUCCUGGAAUCAACAUACAGUGCAAGUGGCUUAUUGUAAGUGCAAAUUUAUCAAUUGCCAAUAGUGGAACAUGAUCCAAGGAACACAGUAGAAGCGACAUGCAUUUAUUCUGUAGAUAUUGGAGAAUGAGCAGUUCCAAGCUCCAUGGGAUUUGGAAUACGUGAACUUUUCCAUUUCCUCAUAGCAUUAAACAAACAGCCCAGACUGGGGUUCGAAGUCCUUAAAGGAUUAAACAAAAAGAACAAAUUAUUGAAGAACAGAAAAUGUGACCACGAAAUGACUAUCAUCACUUCAAAACAUUAACUUGACAUCCAAAACUUUAGUUUAUAUAGGGAACAGGAUAGAGAGUAGAUACAAUAGAACAUAGGCAUGCACCAGUAUGAAUGGAUGAGGAAGCUGUUUCUGAUAAGUAAACAUAGGCAUUUCCUUUGAAGUUUAUUUUAAACACUUCAGUUCAAAAUGGAAAAAUGAACAAUUCACACAUAUAUUGACAACAAUCAUGUUAAAAGGCAUUCACAAAACUUCCUGUGUACAUAGAGAAGCACUCUCCCUCCCCAUCAAUUAAAACAGUGAUGAACUCAUACAAGCUAAGUCCACAGAAAAUUAAUAACUAACAAGCACUAGAGAAAUAACUAACAAGCACUAGAGAUACCAAAAGAAUGACUUAAAGACGGUUUACAUCACACUGCAGUGGUAGCAAAAUGAAGGUUUAAGAAACAUUUCAGCACAUCACAAAAGCAACUGCAAAAAAACAAUAACUAACUCAGACUCUCAGAGUAUGGUAUACCCUUUACAUCGAUACCAAUAUCGGAAACUCAUUUCAUACAUAUACUAAUACAACCUUGAGUAGGUUUCACAUAUCUCACCAGCUUCCAAAAUACAAACAAGUCACUAUUCAAAAAUUAGCUUUAUUGCAAGACACAUAGAUAAAACCAUAAUUGCAAACUAAUUUCAUUAAUGAAACUAGCAUAUAAAAUUAGUACUAUAUUAAGUCAAGUACAUAAGAGGAAAUCGAACUAAACAAAAGAAGUUCAUUUUCAAUGACUCCAUCUACUUUAACAAUCAAUUAACAUAAGCAAAAUAUGAACUUCCAUUAACUAACAAAAAGCACCACUCCUGCCAGGAAGAACUUAAAAUUCGAUCAAUUUCCCCACUGGUGGUUCAGUUUUCAUCAUCCCCUAGUCAGCAAACAUAACAAGCUUCAAAAGACUAGAACUCUAGUAAGCAAACAUAACAAGCUUGAAAAGAUCAGAGAAACAACAGCCACUACACAUUCUAAACCCAAUCAAAAGAAUUCCCCAGUUUCAUUCAAAAGCCCUAAAUCGAAUCAUCCACAGAAUCUUGAAAGCUAAUGUAAUCAAUUAAUCACCUUCCCAGUCACCGUGAGAUCAGGAACUUUGUACAGAUCGGCAGUCACUUCAGUCAACCACAAUCCAGGAAACAGCAUCUGCAAUCAUCAACAACAAAUUAGGUCAGAUCAACUUGAUCAAAAUCACAAUCAUAAUUUUCAAACAAUUCAAAACACACACACACACAGAGGAGGGAGGGAGAGAGAGAGAGAGAGAGUGGGAGAGGGAGGGAGAGAGGGAGAAUGAGGGAGGGAGGGAGGGAGAGGGAGAGAGAGAGAGAGAUUAGGUCAGAUCAUAAUCACUCACUAAUUUCACACAAUUCAACACACACAAACACAUGAAUUAGGUCAGAUCACAAUCAUAAUCAAAUCAAUAAUUUGAAAAAAAAAUUCAAAACGCACACAGAACUUGAAUCAGUGUAUACUUACAUCCAAUUGUCUCCGGACAUUCCUCGGCCACUUCUUCGGCCUGCGAGGCACUCGAUUCCCCGUAAUCGCCACAAAAUCCUCCUCAAUCUCAUCUUUCGAAAGCGAAACCGAAAAUCUCGCCCUCUCUCUUUCUCUCUUCUCCCCACUCCCUCUCAAACACCACGGAGACUUUACCUUCACACUCACCUUAUCAUCUCUCGCCGAAGAAUCUCUCUCCUUCAUUCUCGCUCUCGAGUUUGAGUUCGAGUUCAAUUUCGCACCCUCCCUCACAUCCGGAUCCAACCUUGCCCUCCUCGUCCUCAAAUUCCACGGCUUCAUCAUCUCACUCUCCUCCCGCCGCCGUUUCUCCCCCGCCGCCGGAAAAUCAAACAUCAUCUUCUCCGCCGCCGCCUCAACCCCAAACCCUACCUUCUCUCCCGGAGAGAAUCUGAAAUUGACUCUCCUGCCUUCAGAACUCCGGCGACACCUCGCCGCCGCCGCCUCAUCCACCCUCAUACACCUCAUUACCUUCCUAGACCCCCACUUCAACGACGGCAGCUUGAAAUUAUGCAACACUCUCGACCUUCCACACACAAACUCCUCUUCUUUACUCACCAUCUCGCCGGAAAAUCUGUAUCUAUAUGUGUAUCUAUAGGAGUAUGUCUAUAUUUCUCAGCCGGGAAAAUAUAUGAAUGUGUGUAGAAAGGAGAGGUUUUGAUGAAUAGGAUGUAUUUAUAUUGAACGACUGCUUCGAGGAAUGGUUGUGUGUGUGCGGGUGUAAAGUAAGGAUUCUGUGGUGUCGGCUUGAUCGCCGUUGAUCUGACUUUAUUGAUCUGAUCUGAUUUUUAGAUUGCCUUGGUUAGCAAGUUUUCUGACAUCGAUUAAGAGUAGGAGUUGGGUAAAUGGUAAGAAGUGACUUGUGACCGUUUGUUUAAAUUUAUCGUGAGUUGUUUUUCUGUUUUGUACUUUUUUUUGUCAAUUGAUGGAGUAAUUUUUAUUUUUUCUGAGAGAAAGAGUUCAAUAAAUAAUAGUUAUAUGGCAUCCACACGAAUGAUCGAGUGGAACAAAUAUAGAAUAGAAUAACAUGCAUGUCUUUAUACCCAAUAUGAGACAAAUAAGCGAUGUUGAAUUGGCGAUGGUAUACGUAUAGAUCCUCUGUAUUCACCAUCUUUUCCAAAAACUCUGUCUGAGCUAUCAACCACAAAUGCAAUUCCCGGAAGGUUUUUAUUGAUAAAUCCAGACCAACUUUCACAAAAGGAGAGGAAAAUCGCACACUCUCAACAAGGAGAAAAAUCAAACUAUAAAUUAAAACAAUCGAGAGGAUAUCCAACUACAAACUAAAACAAUUAGAUCUGCACCACGACCCUACACUUGGAGAUAAUUGAUCCACUCACAAAUCUAAAAAGCCCUUGAAAGUGAAUAAGAACGAAAAUCAAAAAUUUCGGUGAUAUAGAUCUAAGAAAAGUUUCCCCAAAGAGGGAGAUUUACUAAGAAAAUCAAUGAAACGAGUAAGAACAAUCAAAGAACAAGCAAUUAAAUAGAAAGAUUUGGGGCUUUUCACCGGAAACCUGAUAAAGCUCCGUCGGGAUGAAAAGAGGGAGGAGACUAGAGAGAAGAAAGAAAAAAAACUAGGGUUUUUGAAAAAAAAACCCGAUAAGAAUAAAACUUUGAUGGAGUAAUCUUUUGAUUUGACCAUCAUCGUGCUUCACUUGUUGACUGUUUUUGGUGUGACGAAAAAGUUAUUAUCAAAUAAUUUAUUUUCCCCAAGCUAUAAUUAAAAUAAUUUAUAUUUGUUCGAAUAUUGACAUCUCUCAUAUUAAAUCAGUCACACCCUUUUAAACAAUCGCAUAAAUUGUACCCAUCCAGUAUAUCCCGUUAUUUUACAUUACUGCUCAACUAGACUAAGUAUUAAGCUUGCACCUCCCCAAAUCUGCCAGCCAUGAUGAUCACAUAUGAUGAGAACCAUCCCGUUGCUAUGUUCAUUAGGGGAUGAUUCUCCUGACUGUCAUACUGUGCAUUUGAGCUUGGUUGUACCUUUUUUUAGGCAUCUAAAUCACAUUUAUUUUUAAGAUAAGAGAUAAAAGAAGAAAGUUGAUAAAAAAAAUUGAGUCAACAAAUAUAAAGAGAUCAUGGUGUUGACGGUCAUGAGAGAUCAAUUUAAUUAGCAAAAAAGAGGUGUAACUAUACAAAAUACAUGAUAUUGAUAAGAUCAUAUUUUGACAAGUACUUUUAAAGAGAGUUUAUACCCACACCCGUUAUUACACCUGAAUAAAAUUUAAAUAAUCCUUAUGUCAUUUUUCUUAUUAGAUCCUAUAACAAGAGAGACCAUUUCGUUUCUAAGAGCACCUCCCAUGGGUGUCCAUUUCAUACAUAAGGACUCGUGAAAUGAUUUGGGCAGUUGAAAAAACUGGUCAACUGCAUUGGAUGAUUCACAAAAUACUGGCCGAGCCUACUACGGUGGCCAGUGCCCAGUCACAAACUUUAUUUAUUUUAAUAACUUUUUAACACAAACUUGCUCAACAGUCAUUAAUUGUUGUUGUACUCUAUAAGAGCAACUCCAAGAGUUGCUCCACCGUCUCCCUAUAAAAACUAUUAUAAUAAACACUCUUAACUAUUUAUGCAUAGAAUGAGAGUGAUGACUCCAACAGCUCUCCUCAACAUCUACUUUAGUCAUUUAUAAAAGGGACGAAAAUAUCAGAAAAGGAGUGAAAUGAUGGAUAGGUUUUGGAGGGAACUAACACAUAUUAAUAUAAAACUAGUUUAGGAGUCCAUAUGUACUCCUCUCUGCUGGGGAGAGUCUUGCAGCUCCUAAUUAUUUAGGAGGGAGUAGAGAGGCUCUUGGAGUCAAAUUUUACAUCACAUUCAUUAUAAUAUGACUUAGGAGGCAAGGCGGGGAGUCUCUUGCUGUUGCUCUAAUUGUUUAUCUAAAUGAAAUGAUGUUGAGCAUUGGAUGACACUGGCCAUAUUUUCCAAACUGUCCAUCACUGCUUAGUUGGAACAAAAGUGACCCCACAUAUAAGUAGAAGUGGCCAUCUCCAUUGUAGAUGGUUUAAAGCCCAUUAGUCUGCAGACGACCUCUUUUCAAGUCUUAAACAAUCAAACUAUCUGGCAUCUGCAUCAUCGUUUAAUCCACGAGGCACGUAACUGAAAAAAUAAAUAAUUUAUCAUAUCUUUUAAAUCAGUCCUUCACUGAAAUAUAAAUUGAGAGUCCCUCUUAAAUUGCUUAAUCCAGUCCUUCACUAAAAUAUAAGUUCGAAACUCCAUCUGGAUUUGCCAUUUGAUUUGGGCUGGUCGGAACUUGGAAGCAUUUGUGCCCUAGCAUGCACACAUGAUAGAGCAUAUAUUUAUAUAUGUUUUCAUAUGAUUUUAUUUCCAUAAUUUUAGUUAUUUGUAAAUAAUCGGGAUGUUACUAAUUGAUUUUAAGUGUUUAAUGGCAGGAAAAUAAAUAUUCUUAAAGUUGGAUUAAAUCAAGCUUAUUCGGGCUUAAUCAGAUGGAAAUUCGGAUUUUAUGGAUAGCCUGCGAAGCAAAUCUUGUUUGGGCCAUAACUUAAGUUCCGGACGUCCAAAUUGGGCGAUUUAACAGCCCAUGCGAAGAUAUUGAAAUUUUCUACAAGUUUGAAGUGGUCCAGAUAUCAAAAUCCAACUGGAUCAGCCCAAAAUCAAGCCUGAACAGCAGCCUACGAAUUUCAGCAUCAGAAUCCAACCCGUUUUAGGAUAUUAUUUUAUUUUCUUGCAAAUUAAGAAAACUCUUAUAUAUAUUAGGUUUUUAAUAGAGAUUAGAGACAACUAACUUGUAUCAUAUAGAAUAAUAUAGAGAUAGCUUUUUAGAGAGAAAAGGGAGAGAAACACUUGUGAGAGAGAUUGGAAGAAGGAUUGAAGGGAUUCAUCCGGACUUCGAGCACUUUCGACAAGUUGUAUUCUUCGUACUUAAAUUCUUAUACUCUUGAUUUGCGGUAUAAAUAUAAAUUUGUUUCAUCUUAUCAUGAGUAGCUAAUCUCUUAAUCCAAGAGUUAGGUAGUAUUCUUUGGCUUAUUAUGUUUGUUUAGUUGGAUUGUGUUUUCUCUUGAUUUGUUUAUCUGUCAUUGAGCGCUUUAUACAAUUACAGGAGUAGCUAACUUGUGAUUGAAUCUCUAAGAGUUAUAACGAAUCGGGAGAGGAGUUAUAAUUCUAGUACAUGAUAUGAUGGACACAAUUUGAGUAUUAGAUCGGGAGAUUGAUAUGAGAAUUGUGAGACUUAAAAUCCUUGGUUCUUAAUAGUUUACACUUGUUCUUUGAUUGACCAUGGGAGUGGCUUUUAAUGAAUAAUUGUAGGCAUUGUAAUCUACCUAGGGAGAGGAUUUUAUAAAUAUUAGAAGGAUUGUUUUUAGCAAACAAGAGACACAAAUUAGACAUUCAUGAUAGCCAUUGAAGAACUCUAAUUCUUGGGUUGUUUUCUCUCAUAUUUAUUGAUUUAUUAUAUUAAUUAGUUGAUAGAUAAAACCCACCAAAUUCUUCUCCACACUUCUGAAUUACAAGAGAUAAAAGACUUGAGAUUAGUGUUGAUUUCAGUCCUUCCCUGCGAAUGAUACUCUCAAAAUACUCGACAACAAAUUGGCGCCGCUGCCGGGGAAGGCCGCAAUACUGAUUUAAGUUAAUUGUUUCUUGUGGUUUAGAUUUUAUUGUUUUAUAUCAUUUUUUUUCUUCUUUUGUUGUUUUUGGCGUGUCUACAGGUUCCUUGAGGUAGUCACCAGAAAAGUUUUGAGAUAAAGAGACGACAUGGAUUACAAUUUUGGUUGGAAUAACGCUCAGAAUUUUCGCAAUGAUCAAGAAUGAUAUCUAGAUUAUAAUUAUUUUCAGAAUUUUAAUGCGUAUUAGGUGAACUCGUUUGAUUGUUGCAACUCAUAUUAUCCUCCAUACCCACCUAACACUGAUUUUUCAUAUGCAUCUGAAAAUCAAUGCUAUGAUCCUUUCCCAUUUUAUGAUGUUGAUAAAAGCUUAGUUCAGUACAAUUCUUCCUUAAUGUCUAUGGGACUUUUUGCACAUAUUGAUCAACCAAAAUUUGAAGUUGCUAAUGAGACUAAUAUAAUAUGUCAAGAUUCGAUAAGUUGGUACGAGGAGAAUGCUAAAAGAAAUACUUUUAUUAUGGAAGUUCAACUUGUGAUGCAUAAUGGUUGUUUUAGGAUUCCUCCUUGUGUCGACUUCCCACUUUGUCAUGAUACUUAUUUAGCAACUGAGGAAAAUUUAGUGUCUGGUAAAUCUACUUGUUUAGAUGACAUUUGUCCCUUGCUUGAAAGUGAUAUAUUGGAUGUAGCUGAAGUUCUUCCAAAUUUAGAUGAUAAUGUUGUGCUCAACGAAUUGGUAGAUGAGAUAAAAAUUGAUGAGUGUCCAAUUAUACUUGAGAAGAAUGUGGUACUUAAUGAUUUUGAUUUGGAGUAUAAGGAUCCAAUUUGGAAGGAGUUUAUGAGUCAUGUUUAUGAUGAUUAUUCUGACGACUUUUUUAGCUACUUUGAUUCUUUCAGGUCUCUUGAGCAUGUGAGGUUCAUAAAAUUUUUCUUGAAAUUUAAUGAAUUAGAGGUUUAUUUGCACAUUAUGAUUGUAAUACAGAUUCUUAGGUAUGUGCACUUAUCUGCUUUUUCACCUCAUUAGUUUUAUUACCUGUAUGUAAAUAAGUCGAGCUAAUGACAAUGAACAAGCGCUUCUUGGGAGGCAACCCAUGAUUAUUAUAUUAUGUAUAUUUUGAUUUUUUUUCUACUCCCACAAGUUACCUUGAUGUAUCUGUUUGAAGUGGUUAUUACAGGUGCUGAAAUAAAAAAAAUUCGCAGCAAUUUUUCUGGUUGCAUCAGCUGCCUUGUUUUUGUGUUUCCCGGAGUUUCAACGGUCGGAUUGUCCUGAAUUUUGGACAGCAUCUUCCUUACACUAAUAUCUAAAUUCUGAACGGUGGAGAUCGGAUUUUAAGGUCCAGAAGGUCAGUUUAUGAAGUCUGAGCAGAAUGAUUGGCACCAUGGGCAUGGUUAAGGUGCCCGCGGUGCAUCGACUUAAGGGCAACACACUUCGCUUAUUUCUCAAACGGCACUUCAUGCGUAUGCAUAGGGGAGUAUUCUAAAUUUUCUUUUAUUUAUAGGAGUAAUAUUAGUGUGUCAUUGAGGACAUUGACUCAGAUAAGUGUGGGGAUGUGUUCUCAAUAGUAUGUUAUUGAUUAAAAAAAACAAAAAAAAUAAUAAUUUAAAAAUCAAAAAUAAUUCUAGCAUUGUAAAAUAGUUAGAUGAUCAUAUCAUACUAGGAUAAACACUCAUACAUUGCAUACAUUAGUUCAUAUAGUUGCAUAACAUGUUAGUUUCAUUGCAUAUCAUAACAUAUCAUGAUCCCAUAUAAUAGUCCAAGUUAGUAACCUAUGAUGAUACUAUGUGUAGAUUGUUUGUGAUUAAUUCUUGCUAUGAUCAUAUGUCAAUGAUGUUACAUGCGUAGUGUCAACAGUACAGAGCUUCUUUAUUGACACAAGCUUAUUAUGCUCUUAAAUAUUAAAUUGAGACUUAGAUAUACUUGCUUCUUGAGGGGUAGCCGCUUGUUGAUGAUUAGAAUUUUGACUAUUCCCUUUUAAGCUUAGUACGUAAAUGCUUGAGUUUGAGGUGAUUGUACGGUGUAAAUGUUUUCUUCAAGAAAAAAAGAAGAAAAAAAAGUGAAGUAUCAAGUACUCCUUUGAGAUCAAUGGGUGGCGAAAAUGAAAGGGACGAUCCAUGUACUUGUGCUGGUAUUAAGUGCAAUAGUACUAGAAAUAUAAAUUUUUUUGGUGACUUUUCAUUAUCUUUGAUUACUGGAGAAUUGUUUGACUUAAAAAAAAAAAGAAAUAAAGAGAGAAAAUAGGGAGAAAAUUGAGCUUGUGAAGUCUUUUGGUGGUCGUAACUCACUUACCCUGAGGAGCGUCCUGACCUAGGACCAAGCAUGUGAAAAAAAAAAAAGAAGAAUUAUAUACAGUAGUAUUAUAGCAAUAAAAAGAAGACGUAGAAAUCCCUUGUAAACUUGAAUGAUAGCUAGUUCUAAGUAACGAAGUGUUUAAGAUUUAUUCUAGUACUCAACUUGGGAGCUAUUAACUCGCAUGACUUGUCAUGUUGAAACUGGUGUGUCUCUGUUCCUGAUUCAAAGAAGAGCAUAUUGUUAAGCUAAGCACACUCGCACACUCUGUACAUGUGUUCACUAAGUGGUUUUAUUGCGGUGUGAGCCUGAUGUGUCUAAACUUGUUGCAUAUUCUGAUGGUUAUCACUGACUUGGAAUAUACUAUUAUUAUUGGGAUCCAUACAUUUUACAUUUAUUAGUUGCAUUCAUGUAGUUGCACUCCAUGCUCGUGUUCUUGUGGUCAUCAAUAUUAUUAUUACAUUAGCUAGAUGAAUUUUGUGGGUACAUUCACUAUAGGCCCUCACGAGAUCUUACUCGUCCACUAGGGCUACCUAGGGGUUUAUAGGGCUUGUUGUAUAUGCCAAAUGCAACCGUGAUCAUCUACGGAAGUGGUAUAUAUCUAUUAGAUGUUAGUUUUAUUUAUUUUAUUUGCCCGAGGACGUGCAAAACACUAAGUGUGGGGAUAUUUGAUAGAGCAUAUAUUUAUAUAUGUUUUGAUAUGAUUUUAUUCCAAUAAUUUUAGUUAUUUGUCAAUAAUCGGGAUGUUACUAAUUGAUUUUAAAUGUUUAAUGGCAGGAAAAUAAAUAUUCUUAAAGUUGGAUUAAAUCAAGCUUAUUCGGGCUUAAUCAGAUGGAAAUUCGGAUUUUAUGGAUAGCCUGCGAAGCAAAUCUUGUUUGGGCCAUAACUUGAGUUCCGGACGUCCAAAUUGGGCGAUUUAACAGCCCAUGCGAAGAUAUUGAAAUUUUCUACAAGUUUGAAGUGGUCCAGAUAUCAAAAUCAAACUGGAUCAGCCCAGAAUCAGGCCUGAACAGCAGCCUACGAAUAGAAUCCAACCCGUUUUAGGAUAUUAUUUUAUUUUCUUGCAAAUUAAGAAAACUCUUAUAUAUAUUAGGUUUUUGAUAGAGAUUAGAGACAACUAACUUGUAUCAUAUAGAAUAAUAUAGAGAUAGCUUUUUAGAGAGAAAAGGGAGAGAAACACUUGUGAGAGAGAUUGGAAGAAGGAUUAAAGGGAUUCAUCCGGACUUCGAGCACUUUCGACAAGUUGUAUUCUUCGUACUUAAAUUCUUAUACUCUUGAUUUGCGGUAUAAAUAUAAAUUUGUUUCAUCUUAUCAUGAGUAGCUAAUCCUUAAUCCAAGAGUUAGGUAGUAUUCUUUGGCUUAUUAUGUUUGUUUAGUUGGAUUGUGUUUUCUCUUGAUUUGUUUAUCUGUCAUUGAGCGCUUUAUACAAUUACAUUGAGCGCUUUAUACAAUUACAGGAGUAGCUAACUUGUGAUUGAAUCUCUAGGAGUUAUAACGAAUCGGGAGAGGAGUUAUAAUUCUAGUACAUGAUAUGAUGGACACAAUUUGAGUAUUAGAUCGGGAGAUUGAUAUGAGAAUUGUGAGACUUAAAAUCCUUGGUUCUUAAUAGUUUACACGUGUUCUUUGAUUGACCAUGGGAGUGGCUUUUAAUGGAUAAUUGUAGGCAUUAUAAUCUACCUUGGGAGAGGAUUUUAUAAAUAUUAGAAGGAUUGUUUUUAGCAAUCAAGAGACACAAAUUAGACAUUCAUGAUAGCCAUUGAAGAACUCUAAUUCUUGAGUUGUUUUCUCUCAUAUUUAUUGAUUUAUUAUAUUAAUUAGUUGAUAGAUAAAACCCACCAAAUUCUUCUCCACGCUUCUGAAUUACAAGAGAUAAAAGACUUGAGAUUAGUGUUGAUUUCAGUCCUUCCCUGCGAACAAUACUUUCAAAAUACUCGACGACAACACAUCAAAAUUAGAGUAAUAGUACUUGCAAAACUAAAUUAAAUAACAACAGUAGUCAUCGUAAUGCAGUAGUCCUCAUGGUUUGGUCCUUGUUUUAUUUUCGUUGGAAUGUAUGAGGUAAAAUGGAUUUAGUUGGGGUCUGAUAUAUAUUAUAAAAAAUUAUGUUAUAUUGAGUUAGGACAUAUUUAGUUAAAUUUAUAUAUUUUAUUCUUAUUAUAUAUUUAAUAUUUUAUCAUUGGAAAGUAAUAUAAAAUAUAAAAAGAAAGCGUGAAAUAAUGUAUUAUGAACUACAAGAAAGUGCAAAGAAAGAGAUGUCUUAAAAACAAAAAUUAAAAAGACUGUUUUAUUGAUAUUGGAUUGUUUUUUUUUUCAAAUAUCCCCAAUUAUAAUUUAAGAUAUAUAAAAUAUCUCUUGGAACUUGGUCCGAGAACAACUACAUAUUUCUCUAAAUUUCAGUUUUCUAAAAAUUGAAUCCAACUUUCUCGAUUCAAUUUAUAAGCAUAAUCAUUCCGACUCUGUUCGUAUAAUUUUCAAAAUUAUUUUAUGAUAUUUCCCCUUCAAUUUGGUCAAAACCGAAUCAAUUAAAUGUUCGGUUUCAACCUUUGAUAUUAUUAUUUCUUCCCCGCCACUCAUUCUUUACUACAAGCUUUUAUCUUGAAUUUAUUAAGCUAAUAUUAUCAGUAGGUUACUUUUAUUAAAUUCAAAAAUGUUCUAUGUCUUUGAAAUAUAUAUAGACGUCCCUCUUCUUUGAAAGCCUUUCAUCAAUUUUUAUCGAUGGAAUAUUAUAUUUGUUUUUUAUUACCCAUAACAUUUUUCUUGUUUUUUUUCUAUUAGUUAAAUUGAGUUUUGUUUAGUAUCUCCUAGUUUGGUUGUUUAUUUUGAUUUCUUGUUCUUCAUCAUAUUCGGGAUCACAAAAUGAAAAUUUCAUGGUAUUAAUUCAGUGAUAGAAUUUUAUGAUGAUACAUUUAGGAUCGAUUGCUCAAAAAAAAUAUCAUUGGAGUAAGUAUUGCAGCAUGUAAAUAUCUUUUCAAAAAAUUGAUUGAUUGCAUAUCCUAGAAAAAAAGAUUCAAUAACGAGAUGAUUAUGUGUUUGUUCAAUUCGACCACAUGUAUGGAUGUGGUAUGAUUUUUUAUUAUUAGAUUAUUUUCUUUUCUAGGAAAAAUGACUAUAAUUUUUUUAUUAAUAUUUAAUAACAAUUACUUUAUGAAGGAAUAUGUAUAUAUUUAGAAUUUUAAGGAGGCGAACUCGGCGGGAAAAACUCUCUUACUAUGUUUAUUCCAGUACUUUUAUGUAUCAAUCCGUCUCAUGUAUCAAUCCGUCUCAGUGACAGAAUUCCUCUCCUUUGUGUUUAUCUUAUUACUUUUAUGUAUUAACCCGGCGGAAAAAACUCUCUAUUGUGUUUAUUUUAGUAUUUUUAUGUAUUAAUUUGUCUCAAUGACAGAAAUUACUUUUAUGUAUUAACCGGCGGAAAAAACUCUCUGCUGCUUUCUUUUUAUUUCAAUAUUUAAAUGAAUUAAUUCUUUGGCGGUGUUAUAUGUUUAAAGGAAGGCGAUUUCUUCACCAAACUGUUAAGGCAUCAUUUCAGUGUGACAUUGGAACGAGAAUGACAGCGAAAGGUUAGAAUGUUUUGUAACAAAGCAAGCCGAUUUAGUAUAGCAAUUUGAAUAAAAUACAUCAUUUCUGAUUGGGAUGUACCAGUAAUUUAAAUUUUUGACUACUUUGAAUAUAUAAAUACUAUUGUCGCAUAUAGCCAGCGCUGUAAUCGUACAAAACAUAAUCCAGAUUUCAAAUUAGCCGAAAUUAAAAAAACAAAAUUUUAAAUUUUAUAGAUAAAUCAGGACAUGAAAUCAAGUUUAUACCUAUUUUAACGUAAAAACUAUGAUUAACAAAUAAUUUUUUUUAAUUAAUUUUUAAAAGUCAGUCGCGAUCCAUCACUGGCCCUUGAUUCUGCCCUAUUACGAUGACUAACAGCCAAACCAAUCAAAACUUUUUUUUGUUUAAAUAAAUUGUACUCUUACUCAAAAAAGAAUAAGAAAAAUAAAUUGUACUCGAGACUCUAUGAAUAUGAUAAAAUGUCUACAUUGACGGAAUAAUAUUGUGGAAUAAAUUUUAUUCGAUAUGACCGAUUCGGGUGCGGAGGAGACAUGUUAUCCCGCCACUGAACACCAAAGCAGGGGAAGAAUCUGAACUCAAGAUCUGAAUUAUGUUACUAAACACGUUAAGCAAUGAAUCAACUGGAUCAAAAGUGGCUUUAACACUUUCAAAUUUUGAAAACAAUUGAGCUGCAACGGCUAGCUGCGCUGGACCUAAUAUAAUAAGUCACGAACCAACUGACCACCGACCAUACACACUUUUCCAGCCCAUCUCCCCCACCAGGAGCCACAGGGCCAGGACCCCAUGCAAACUUUUGUUACACUUUCUAGUCCUUAUUAAAAGCCCCCUCUUCAUUCUCACUUCUCUCAAAUUGUGAAAGGCUGUGUACCAAAAUUCAACAGCCUUUCACAAAAAAAAAAUGACGAGAAAAUAUAUGAAUCCUAUUUUGCGAAAAGUCCCAGAUUUUCUAAAAAUCUCGGUUUUCCUAGCGAAAACCGUGAAAAAACCGAUUCUUCCGAGGCUUAUUGCUUUCAAGAAUUCGAGAAAACACAAGAAAGUGAGUCUGCUUCAGCAUUAUGGCUAUGGAUACGUUAAGGAGUACCAAUUCUCUCCGUCUCGCUCACCGCUUAUGAGUUAUUACAAGAGAAAGCAGUACAAGAAGAGGAGUUACAAAGAAAUGUGUUCUGUUUUGUACGUGUACAAUUGUUUAGGGAAGUUUGAAGAGGAUCACAGGGCUGAUGAAAUUUGUGAUUACUCGAUGGAUUUAAAUUUGAGGGCUUUGCCUGAGAAAGAAGCGAUGGAAUACGCAGAAUCGGGCGGCGAAGAGGAGGAGGAGGAGGAUUCUGUUGAUGAGAGGGCUGAGAGAUUCAUUGAGAGAUUUUAUGAAGAAAUAAGAUUGCAGAAGAAAGAACCGUUUUUGCAGCUUGGUGGGAUUAAUUAAGUGUAUUCGAAGGGUUGAUUUUUGUUUUGUAUUUAACAAAUAUUUUGUAUUAUUGUUUUUGUGUUGUUCUCCCCAUGUUAAUUUUGAAAUUUGGGGAGUAUAUUUCUCUUUGGUGUUUCAAUAUUAUUUUGAUUUCUUUUUUCUUAAAAUGCAAGAAAUGUUUUUGUUUGUUAUCAUGACUGUGUGGUUUAACUUAUUCUUUAUCUGCAUGAUGUGAACCAUUUUUCUUGUUCAAAAAAAAAUAAAGAAAAGAAGUAAACUUUCUAUUUAUAUUAUUCAUUUAUAUAGAAGGCGAGGAUUUCAAUGUGGGACUCAACGGGUCGAGUCAAGUUUUAGGAUGGUUGAGUGGGAUAACGAGAACGAGAAAGAGAAAGAGAGAAGGAGAGAGUAAUGAUAUUUUUACAAUUUAGUUGCUUGUAUGUUUAAAAAAAUAGUAAAUUUGUAAAAUUUUAGACAAGAUAAUAUAUUUACAAAUAAAUAUCUAAAAAUUAGUAUAUUUGUUAAAUUCCCUUUAUUAAUCAAGGUUAAAUAUGUGUUGUCAUUAUCAUGUUUGGACAAAAAAUUAUAAUUUAAAUAUUAAUUUAUUAUAAAUUAUUAAUUAAUAAUGGACUGUUUUUAAACAUAAUCAAGUUUAAAAGAAUUUUUGUAAAAAUACUACUCCCUCUGUCCCAUUUUAACUGAUGUUUGACUUUUCAACACGUAUAUUGAGGUGUAAAAAAAUAAUAUCUACACUCAAUAAAAAAAUUCAAUUUUUAUAUCAAAUAAAAGUUUAGACUCUAAACUUUUAUUUGAUAUAAAUUUUAUAAAAAAUAAUCAUGUUUAGAUGUAAUUUUUUUAACAUCUUAAAAUACGUGUAAAAAAGUCAAAAGCAGUUAAAAUGGGACAGAGGGAGUAUUAAUUUUUAAAACAAACUGCAAAAAAACUAUAUUCUUGAAAAUAUUUGCAAAAAUACGGUGGUUGCAUAUGCAACCAUAUCUGCAACUGCUAGCACCCUUAUGCAACUAGAAAUGCAACUUUGGAAUUUUUUUUUUCAAAAUUACAUUUAAUUGUAUAAUAAGUUGCAACUUGUUGCAAAAGGCAGAAAAACACCAUUGCGGGACCAAUUCUAAUAUCAACAUUGCAACCUAAAAACAAACUAAAACAACAAACUAACAAUCAACUCAAAAGCAACCUGAUGGCGUGGUUUGUGUUUGAGAUUUGUUGUGUUGAGUUGCGAGUCUAGUGUUUCUUGGCUGAGUAACGGUGUUUGAAUCUUAAUAUACACAUCGGUAAAUUCGAAAGCUAGUUCCCCAAUUUAUAAACUUAGGGUUUUUAGAGUAAAAUUGGAGUUUUGGAUUCAAUUGAUUGAUUGAGGUUUGGAUUGAGUUUGGGGUUUGGUUGUAUAGGGGAGAGAAGCCGGUCCGGGUUGGCUAUUUCGGGUAACGGGUCGUGUUCGUAUUCGUAAUCGGGUCAAUUUCGGAUCAAGCUAAAAUCACUUAAUUGAAUAAAACUGAAAAUUGAAGUUAUUAGAAAUGAAAUUCUAAUUUCGGGUCAUUUCGGGUCAAUCGGGUUAUUUUCGGGUCACUUUCAGGUUUUUGUCUUAGUAAAUCGGGUUUCGGGUUGAGUCAGGUUCGUGUCGGGUUNAUGCGGUGGCUUCCUCUUUUUGUGCCAUUUUGUGAGAGAGACGGACAACACGAAGCAGCUACAAACGUAGCAUAAGUGCCUGUUUGGGGUUGUGGUUGUCAACCACAACAGCAGCUUUUUGUCAAAAAGCCGGUACAAAGUUGUUUGGUAACGUUUCAAGCAGCUUUUUUUAACCGCGCUUUUUGUCUAAAAGCUGCUUUUACAGAAAGCAGGUAUACCCCUGCUUUUCACAAAAGCGGCUGUUGCGCCCCGCUAUUACAAGUCUUGGCAUCAAACCCUAGCACAUGCAAUUGUUUUUUUAUUAAAACAAAACAACAGAACAAGCAAUACACACUUAUGAAAUACUUUUUUAUUUUAAUCUGGAUUAUUAUUGCCCGUUAAGCAUUUAAAAUUACGUAAUACUAAAAAAUUAUUUUAUUUUAUAUUUGAAUAUAAAAAAUAAUUGAUAAGUUACUGUUGAAAAUAUUUCACCUUAAUUAUAUAGUUUUGCAAAUAGAAUAUAAUUUUUAAUCAUAAAUUUUAAUAUUACUUACUUUAUAUUUUUUUAGUGUAAUGAAGAGAUUGACUUUAAUAACUUAUAAAUGAACUUAUGAAAUAUAUAUUAUUACAAAUUAUAUAUAUAUAUAUAUUUAAUAAAACUUGUAGUACACGUAUAAAACAUUUUUAUUGUAAUAAUGUAUAGUAAACAACAACAAAUUACUUUUUCAUUAAGAUAAAUGAUAAAGCAAGCAUCAUGCAUCUUCCUUUUCCACUACUCCUACAGUGUUUUAGUUGGAUUUUGACUCGUAAUCUUAUUGUGUUUUUUUUAAAGAUAAUCUUAUAGUGUUUUAGUUUGACUUAAUUUUUAUCCUUUUUUUCUUUGUGAAAACUUAAUUAAUUUUUUAUUAUCUUAUUUUAUACAACUAUAAUUUGUUGUUCAAUAUUUGUAUAUAAAAUAAUGAAUAAAAUAUUAUUUUAUUUAUAACUAUAACUCCAAACAGCAAUUUAACAAAAAAUUUACCAAACAAUUUGUUUUCAGUUUUUACUCAAACAGCACAUUUGAAAUCAAAUUUACCAAACAGUCUCAGCUUUUAUAAACAACACUUUUUUAAACAGCACUUUUACUCACAGCAACAGCAAUUUUCAACAGCAAUUCCAAAUAGAGUUUAAGAAAUAACAAGACAGGAGACCGUAUUUGAUGACAGCGUAUUCCUGCAAUAACUUCUGAAAACACGUAUAUGGGAUAAAUUCCCAUUAAUCUGUUACUCCCUCUAUCCUCUCAUUUCUUUACGUUAUUUUUUGACAUGUUUUUCCACGCUAAUUUAAAAUAUGUUCCCUAAUAUAUUUUUUUAAUUUUUUUUCUCUAAAUAAAAGUAUGAUGUAUAGACUUUUAUUCAAGAAAAGAAUUUAUUUUUUUUAAAAAGCUAUGAAACUAUGUAUAGUCUCAAAAUUCGUACGUAAACUAUUCAGAGGGACUGAGGGAGUAUUACUUAAUCAAAAUUUUAAUAUAUUAUAAUCACACAUUCAUAUAGUAUUCUAAUUACACAUUCAUAUAAUAUUUUAAUUUAACUAUAUUUGUUUACGAGGAUCUUCAAAGCCUCUUAUCAUCAGAAUCAUCUGCUUAUUUACUAUAUUUUAACUAUCUAUGGACCUCAAAAUUGAGGUGGGAUAACUUCUAACAAAAUGAAAAAAUUAUAGGUAUUAAAUUUUAAAUUUACAUAUAUUAAAUCAACUAGUAAGUUGAAAAUUGUAUGUAUCCUAAAGAGAACACUAGUGAAUGUAAGUUUUUAAUUGUUAAUACUAUACUCCAUGCAUCCCAAAUUAGAUGAGCUAGUUGACUUUGGGCAUGCAACUUAAGGUGCAUUGACCGUUUAGUUCCGAAAUUAAUUUUUUUAAUUUUUCUUUUGUAAAUGAAAAUUUCAUAUUUAAAUUUUUAUUUGCAAAAAUAAAAUUUAAAAAUAAAUAAUAUAGCUAUGCGGUCAAUGGAUUUUAAAGUGCGUGCCCGAAGUCAACGAGCUCAUCUAAUUUGGGAUGGAGGGAGUAAUAUUAAACAUGUUAAAAAUAUUACAUUUGAUAUAAAAAAUAUAAAAUGACAUGUAUCAUAUUGUACUAACGGGGGUGUAUUCGAUUGGGAUUUUAAUGGAUUGUUUUUAGUCUAUGGAUUUUAAUGGAUUGUAUGUGAUUUUGAUUUUGUGCGGAUUGUUGAUCAAAUGUCGCAGAGUUUAUAGGAUUUAAGCACAAUGCUUCAAAAUCCCAUUGAUUUUGGUGGGAUUUCAAAAAACUUAAAAUACACUGAAGAAUGUCACAAAAUCCACCAUUUUAUGAAAUGAAAAAAAAUCCAUCAGCAUUUGAAUACCAUCAGAUUUUAAUGGAUUUUAAACAAUCCCAAUUGAAUACCUCAAGAUUUUAAUGGAUUUCAAACAAUCCCAAUCGAAUACCCUCGGAUUUCAUGAAUGCAAAAAAAUGGUUUAAAAUCCCAAUCCAAUACACCCCUCUAAAUAUAUUUUAAGUGAUUAUAAUGUAGAUCUUGUCAUCUUGCAAAAAGCAGGGCAGGGAAAUGGGCUGUGCGACAUCGAUAAGGUUAAAUCAUAAAUGUCCUCUAAACUGAUGGCAUACUUAUUGGCCGUUUGGCUAAACUUAAAAUAAGUGGCUUCUUGUUUAAAAUAAAAAAGUGGAGUAGAAGUGAAAAAUAGAAGUAAAAUUUUUAAACUGUUAAGUGUUUAGUUACUUUUGAACUUCUAAUUUUUUUCGGAGAAGAAGAAGGAAAGAAGCUAGAACUUCUAGCUUCUCAACUUCCACUUCUAAAAUCCAAAAUAAGCCAGUUGCUUUUUUUCCCAAACAGGGAUGUAACUUCUUAACCCAACUUCCGCUCAAAAGAAGCUCCUGGCUCCCAAACACCCCAUUGGUUUUCGCUGAAAUGGAUACCACAGCUACGAAAUGGGCCGUCUGGGACUCUGGGGAGGACACUGGGCGUCGAAAAAGCCUGUAAUAUACCCCCCAACUUAAAAUCUGUAUCUGUAGAGGAGAUUAGUAAGGAUAUAUGAAUAGAAGAAGUUGGCCCAAAUACAUACAAGGUUACAGAUAUAACAAAGUUAAUGACAGCCCUUUUAGACCGGUAUACAUCCAAUUAUCCAAGGUUGCCUGAUGUGUUCAAAUCCACUUUGGUUUAAAAUCUUUAAGAGCCCCCAAUUAAUUUAAAAGAUUAUUUAUGUAUUGGACAAAAUAAAAUUUAAUUUUGGAAAAAAAGGACACAGAUAAAACACUUCUUCCGUCCCUUUUUAGUGUCACAUUUCUAUUUUUGUUGGUCAGAUUAACUAAAUUUUGACCAAAGAUUAUAAGUUACUCUCUCAUUAUUUUAAAAAACUGAAAAUUACAUAUUAAAGUAUAUUAAAAGUUAUUUCUGAUAACAUAUUUUUUUUAUUUUAUUAAUUGAUAAAAUAUUAAUACAUUUCAGUCAAAUUUUAGUCAAUUUGACCGGCAGAAAAUCAGAUGUGACAACUAAAAAAGAACGUGGGAGUAAAACAGAAGUAGUUUAAAUACUCCGACUUCCUCACUCUCGGGAAUUGCAGAAAUCAAUCUUCCGAAUACAUAUUCCCAGGGAUGAGAAGGUAAAUAAUUGCCUUUCCGGAAAUGAGUUCUAAAUAAGUUCUCAUUUCGGAGAGAGAGAAUAUAGCCGUACUAUGCCAAAAAAUAUAUCUUUUCUUUUAUAUCCGUCAUAGGUGUGUUGUGAACAGAUUAGAUAAAAAUAGAUUUAUUUCUGAAAAAAGACCUGGAUAUCAUAAUUUAAAUUUAAAAUGUCUUGAAUAACAUAUUUUAAAAAAAAAAUGAUCCAUAACUAGUGUUGGGUUAUAAGAAUAAAACGUUAUACCACGCAGCGUUAUGAAGAUGACGUUACAACCUAAUUCCUAACAUUACAUUAUGUAGCAUUAGUUUUUUAGAGUUUAAAUGUGUUUUGAUUAUGUGCUUGGGCUGAAAUAAGUGAUAAACUGUAGCGUUUUUAAAAAAAAAUUGAAUGUUACAUGAUCUAAUGUUAUAAAGUAAGAUUUGGGAUCAUAUUUUUUUAAAUAUGAUUAUUUAAGACAUUAUUACUUUAAACUGUGAUACUCAGAGCCAAUGCCCUUUAUUUCUCCGCUAAUACACUGUGUCUUGUUAUCUAAUUUCAUUUAUUGGUUUCCGCUUAAAGUCACUUGUGGAUUCGACAGAUAUCUUAGGGGCGGUUUGGUUGGGUUUAAAAUAAAUGACUUAUAUUGUUUAAAUUGAAGAAGAGGAUUAUAAGUGAGAAGUUGAUUUGGACUUAUAAACUAUUAUAAGUGUUUGGAUACCGUGACUUAUAAGCUUUUAAGUGUUUGGAUAACUUACUUAAAAAUUGGUAUAAUUUCGUAGUUUUGUAAUAUAAUUAUUUGAUAUUUACGAUAUAAAUUGAAAAAAGUUGAUGAAAAUAUUACAUUAGAUUUAUAUUUAUAUUAUAUAAAAAAUUGGUUUUUGGUUUGCUUUGUCUCCCAUUAAUUUUAUAUUAUAUAAUAUUAAUAUUUAUAUUAUAUAAUAUUUAUAUUAUAUAAUAUUUAUAUUAUAUAAUAUUUAUAUUAUAUAAUAUUAAUAUAUUUUCAUAUAAUUGAAGACAAAAGUCUUAAAAAAAUUCUUUACGUUUAAUUACCACCUAAUAUUUGGAUUGAAGAUAUCAUGAAAUAGGCAGCUAUCAACAUAAAUAAAAAAAUAAACAAAGCAAGCCAAUAGGAGGAAGCGCCAACUAAGAGAAGCAGAAGUUGAGCUUUAAGAAAAGUUAGGUUUUGUAGCUUCUUUUCUGGAUCUUUUUGCUUUUAUUAAGUGCUUCAUUUCUUUUACCAAACCGCCAACAAAAAAGGGAAAGUGGGUUUCUUGGCUUUUAAGCCCAGAAGUUUCAUUCCCAAACACCCACUUAAUAAGGGAUCAUAUUUCAUGUUGAUACAGAAACAACUAGUUGAGAAGCCGCGCGUUGCGGCGGCCUAUAAAAAUUAUAUUAAUGAUUCAAUAUUAAUAUUAGUAGAAUGUAAUAAUUUUGCGGCUGUCUAUAAAAAGUAUAUGAAUGAUUAAAAAUUAAUAUUUGUAGGAUAAAAUAAAUUUUAUAUUAUAAAAAUCUUGAUGUAAUACCAAUACUAAUAUAUAAAAUUGCAAAAUGGGACUAUAAUUCAUGGUGAAAAAAUAAAAAUAAAUUUCUACACGUAAUUAACAAUUUAAAGCACGACGAAUCUUAAUUUUAUUUGUGUUUUUUUAAAAAAGUAAUCAUAUUCUUACAUUGUCACUUUCCUUCAAUUUUUUGGACUGAUUGUGCAGAAAAACAUCUAACUUAAAUCCGUUCGAUAGUGGUUUAUAACUACCCUGGCUUGUAACAACCUUUAUUUUUUUAAUACUGUAUAAACAACUUUCACUUAAAAGUUGCUUGAACGGAGCAAAUACAUAAUGCAUGAAUAAUAUUUUCCAGUAUACAAAGUAAAUCAUAUAAAAUUAAUUAACAACAACAAACAUGUCCGAUGAACAAAACAAAUAUUAUAAAAAAAUAACUAACAAAUACAUCACUAAUAGUUAAUUUAUUGAUAUCAUCCAUCAAAAUCAUGUCAAGACUAUAUUAUUCACCCGUGUUUGGAUUUGUCGACUCCCACAUAGCGGUCUAUAACUACCUUUGCUUGCAACAACCUUUAUUUUUUUAAUACUGUAUAAACAGCCUUCACUUAUCGUUGCAGCAGAAGAGACCUUACUUUGCGAGAGAACCAAGAGACUCAAUCUCAACCUUUGAUUACAUCUGUAUACUCUUAACAGGCUCAAGGGCACGCUUGUCAACCUGAUGUGCAAAAUACUCUGUGCUAUUCUUUCCCAUAACUAUAUAAUCUGAAACAAAAUCAGAUUAAAACCUUCAAGCUGCUAUAUUCCGUAAAUAAUCUAAAACAAAAUCAGAUUGUGAAACUUGCUUCUAAUAUAUCCGAAACUAAAAAAAGAUAGCUCUAAUUUUUGAUAUUUUUCAUCUGAAAAAUCCAGAAAAUCGGAAAAAUAUAACAGAGCGAUGUGAGAGGCGCCACAUACACGCCCCUCACUUCCCUUUUAUAUAAGUACUGCCUCUGUCCCUCUCAUUUAUUUACAGUUACUAUUUUGAGAUGCUCUCUCAUUUAUUUACAUUACUAUAAAUAGUAAGUUUUUCUAAUCAUUACACCCACUAUCUUCCCCUACUAUCUCAUAUAUUUAAUAAUAAAAAUCACUAUUACACCCACUACUUUCCUCCACUAUCUCAAAUCUAUUAUUAAAUAUUGAUAGGUCCCACCACUUUAUCCACUUUUCAUCUAACUUUACUCAUUUUUUAUACAUUGUCUUGGUCUCCGUGUCCCCCUCCAAUGUAAACAAUUGAGGGGGACGGAGUCACGGAGGGAGUAUAUUGAUGAUUGUUCAUACCGCACUCAUACGUAUAUGCAGCCUCAGGAUUAGGCCUGUCAAUGGAGCGAAAUCCGAUCCGAGAUCAUUUUAGCGGAUAUGGAUUUGAUUAAAAAAAAUUCGAUCCGAUUAAAAAAAUCCGUUAAAAAAUUAAUGGACCGGAUAUGGAUUUAGGGUGAUCCGAUCCGCUAAUAACCCGAUCCGGUCAAUAUAUAUAUAUAUAUAUAUAUAUAUAUAUAUAUAUANNNNNNNNNNNNNNNNNNNNNNNNNNNNNNNNNNNNNNNNNNNNNNNNNNNNNNNNNNNNNNNNNNNNNNNNNNNNNNNNNNNNNNNNNNNNNNNNNNNNNNNNNNNNNNNNNNNNNNNNNNNNNNNNNNNNNNNNNNNNNNNNNNNNNNNNNNNNNNNNNNNNNNNNNNNNNNNNNNNNNNNNNNNNNNNNNNNNNNNNNNNNNNNNNNNNNNNNNNNNNNNNNNNNNNNNNNNNNNNNNNNNNNNNNNNNNNNNNNNNNNNNNNNNNNNNNNNNNNNNNNNNNNNNNNNNNNNNNCAAAAACAAAGUUGCGCAGAACCCUAACACAACGAGUGCAGCAGACAUGGAUACAAGAAGGUUUGUUCUUGAGUUAUUAAUGAAAAAAAAUAAGUAUUCUGCAUACUUUUUUUAUUAUACGAAUCAUUGAGGGAACUCUAAAAAGAAUCGCGUAUCUUAUUUUCUUGUGUAUCAUAUGUGCAGGCAUGAGAGAGCCAUAUGUGCAGGCCUGGAGGUGAAGAAAUCGCAGCAAAGAUACUUUCAUAAUGGUUUUAUUAGAAUCAAAUAAAUGUUAGAGAGAGCACUUAAUAGAAUUAUCUUUCAUUAUAGUGUUUCUUAAUGGUUUUUUUCAUAGGCAAUGUGUUUUUGUUUGGCAGAAUUGCGAAGCAAGUUGUGAGAUUCCACCAUUGGCAUUAACCAUGUUUGGGAUUAAUGAUGUCACUAUCAUAUGGAUCAGUAAUUAUAUUUAUCUUGCCUCCAUUGCCACCUUCGAUUGGAUAGCCAAACCAAAAGAUUUAUGAUCAAUCAUCUUCUUGUGUCAUUAUACUUUUUUGUUAACCUAUAUAACUCGCUUUCCAUAAAAUUCAUGUAGAAGAAAAGAUACAGAUGUUGUACCUAAGUUAUCUGGUGUUCUCAAAUUUUUUAACGGCUUGGAGGUUUGUUCUUGGAUUCUUGAUUGUAUUCCAUCUAUAUUGGAUGUUAAAUUUUGAAUUCUUAAGUGAACACUUUUAAAAACAUAUCACCGUUUAAAAAAAGCUUAGUACAACAUAUAUAUUACACUAAGAUUUCAAUAAAGAACAUGUUGAAGAAUUUCACGGAAUUUAAAGUAAAAGAACAUAUUAUUCAAAAAAUUAUUUAACGUUUUAAGUAAAGAAUUCGAGUACUGUAGUUUAUAGUACAAAGAUAUUUAUAGUCAAUAUUAAUUAACAUUAAUUAUGAGUAAUGAAAAUUGAAACGUACGUAUCUAUUUAUACUUAAAAAAAGAGAUUACAUUACAUUAUGGCAGUACUUGUUGAUUUUAAGAUAUGUAAAUAUUCAAGACUCUUCAUAUUUUUGGUAAUGAAUUGAUUACAAAUUUUAUAUUUUUGGUAAUCCAUUAAUGUCGGUGUAUAUUAUGUUUCAAUUAUAUAAAUCUUUUAUAACUCAUACGAUAUGUUGUCUUUUAUGAGCUAAACCUCCAACUCAUUCAAGAAAAAAAANGAAUCUUUUAUAACUCAUACGAUAUGCUGUCUUUUAUGAGCUAAACCUCCAACUCAUUCAAAAAAAAAAAGAAAUCUCACGACAUGAUUCAUAGAUUCUUUAAUCUACUAAAUAAUAUAAUAUUGAUAUAUGUAGAUCAGUUAAAGAACUCAAAAUAAUUAUAAUAUAUUUUGGUAGAAUAUUAAAAUUAUAUUAAAUUUAUAGAACACUUACUUGAAUAAAGUGUUAAAAAAUUAUAUAUAGUGAAACAUUUAAAUAAACACUCAAUAGAACCUUAAUAGUGAAAUACUAACUUAUUUCCACAAGAUUCUUUAGGGUGUUCUACUAACUUAUUUUCACAAGAUUCUUCAAGGGAACCAUAAAUAUUUUAUAUUCAAAUAUCUUGUUUUAUUAAGGUGGUUGAAGAUGACAAGAUAUGAUUAGAAGAUUCGUUAAGGAGGGUUAAUAAUUAAACAUUUUUGUUUGAUUUAAAUUGAAUUCCUACUUUAAUAAUUUUCAAAUACAUGAUAAAAAUCAAUAAUCCCUUUAACAUCUGUUGAAAGUAGAUAAUAUAUUUUUUUAAUAUUUAAGAUAUUGACGUUAGUAAAUUUUUUCAAAUAAAUGUUUCAAUAGGUAUUCAAAUUAAUGUUUAUUAUUAUUAAAAAUGUGAAAAAAAUUUCUGGACUUUUUGAGAAUUUGAAUAGAGAUUUGAAAAUUAGUAUUAAAGAUGUAACGUUUUAUUUUAUAUGGAGAUUCCAUAACGUGUUUGUGAAAGUGAUAAAAAUAAUUAUAUUUUAAUAUUAAAAUAAAAAAAAAUUAAAAUUACAAUAAUAUCAAUAAAGUUUUACUUGUAAUAUCCGCAAAAUCUCUUGUAUUUAUUAUUAUUAUAAUUUAAGAGGAAAAUCUCAUUCUUUUCAUUACCGUUAUAGUAUAUUUGACCUAUUAAUUUAUAUCUUUUUAAUUUAAAAUUACUAACUUAUUUUUACAAAAUUCUUUAAGGUGUUUCUUAGAUACAUGAUAGUAAUUUCACGAUCAACUAUCUUGUUUUAUUAGAACUUAGAUGAAAAGGUAUAAAUAUUUUAAAUUAUUUCAAUAAGAUUAAUAUUAAUCCACGAGUUCUCGACCAGUGUAAAAUAUCUUAUUGAAUAAUUUAUAUUUUCAAAUUUAUUAUUUGUUACUAAUUUUAUAGAUAUUCUUUAAGAUGUAACUUAGGCAUACAUUUGUGUUUUAUUUAAUUUUAGAUGGUAUAUUCAAAAAAAAGAAAAAAUCAUUAAGUCUCCAGCGUGUCAAGUGUGCGAUAUCUUUAUAGAUUAUUUUACAUACUAAUUUAAAAUUUUCAGAUAUUUAAUUCAAUAUGUUAUUUUGCAGAGAUUCUUUAACAUGUUACGUAGCCAUAUAAUAGAUAUACAUGGUUGUGUUUUUUUUAAAAUUUACUAAUAAAAAUUUAUUAUUUUGAUUAGUAUAGAGAUUCAUUAAGGUGUUCUCAAAUUUAUAAUAGAAAUAUAAAUUAUGUAAUUAAAAUAUUGAUAUGCAUGGUGUUCGACUAAUAUAGAAUCUCUAUAAGAACACUAAGGAGAAAUAAAACACCUUAAAGAAUCUUGUGAAAUUAAGUUAAUAAUUUAAUAUAAAAAAGUAUAAAUUAGUCAUUAGUCAGUGAAAAUAUAGUAAUAAAUACAAGAGAUUUUACAGAUAUUACAAGAACUCAUUGUUAUCAUUGUAAUUUUUUUAAUAUUAAAAUUUAUUUAUUCUUAUCACCAUUAUGAACAUGUUAUGGAAUCUCGAUAUAAAUUAAAACAUUAAAUCAUUAACAGGAACCUUUUCAAUUCUCUACGUGAAAUUCUUAUCGUGUUUCUAAUGAACACCUUAGAGAAUCUUGUGAAAAUAAGUUAUUAGGUGUUUUCUUACCCCUAAUAAAUACGUUAAGAUUCUACUAAAGGCUUUAUUAGGUGUUUGUUAGGUGGUCAUAUAUAAUAUAUUAAUUUGUUAUUUUACUUUUUCAAAUAAAAUAGAAUUUAAUUUAAAAUAAUUUAGUUAUACAUUAACAAAGAUUCUAUAAUGCAUUAAACUUUCUAUAUAAUGAGAAUCGAAAAAUAUUAAAUUAGCUUAAUGAAACACUUAAGAGAAUCCUAAUAUAACAUUCUUUACUAAAGAGUAAUAAACUAAAAUUAGUAAAACACAAUAAAAUAUUUUAGAUACUCAUAUGUGUUCUAGUGUGUGUUCGAUAUUCAGUUUAAAAUUGAUACUUAUAAUUUUACAAUAAAUUAUCUAUUGUGUUCUCGAUAUUCUAUCACAAUAGAAUAUGUGAUGACUGAUGAAAUCAUAAAGGAAAGCCAUUACAUGUGUUAUCUAAACAAUAUAAUUAAUAAUCUUUAUAUGCAUACUGCUCAUAUAUGGAAACUAAAAUGUCAGAGCGUGAAACAUGUAAACAAUCUUUGACACAAUCUUUUAAGGGAGAAUAAAUUAUAUUCGAAAUCAACUUAUUAAGGGAAACAAUAUGUGAUGACUGAUGAAAUCAUAAAGGAAAGCCGUUACAUGUGUUAUCUUAACAAUAUAAUUAAUAAUUUUUAUAUGGAUACUGCUCAUAUAUGGAAACUGAAAUGUCAGAGCGUGAAACAUGUAAACAAUCUUUGACACAAUCUUUUAAAGGAGAAUAAAUUAUACUCGAAAUCAACUUAUUAAGGGAAAUAAUAUGUGAUUGCUACAAAAAUAACGUCCGUAUAUGUGUAUUUGUAGNUUAUUCCCAAGAUAUAUUUAUAUAUAUUCUUGGUUUUGUUUUAGGACUCUGCUUGUCUGCUUAUAGUAAUUGUGCUCCCGAGUAUAUGAUAUAUGAAAUUUGGAGUGUUCAGAAUGUAGCUCUGCGUUUCAUAUUGAUCAACUUCAAUCUUCUGUCAGUGGCUAUAUGUUUUAACUCUUUUAUUAAAUACUAAAUGUUGCUGUUAUAAUGCUCAGGUAUAUAUGAAUGUAUUACCGAAAGUCUGAAAAACUAAUAUUUUAGGUGUUUAAAUACUAAUCUCAUCAAUCACUAACUAAACAAAAAAUAAUGUAAUUAUUAGCUUGUAAAGCAAAAAAGAUAUAAACACAUAAAAGCACAGGAGAUAGAAAUGAAUAUAUAGUUGCAGUCAGAGUACUUUCCGCAGCAACAAAUAAAUUUUAACAUUGUUAUUUACUUGUUUUAUUUGUAUUUUAAGUAAUGUUAAAGGCAUUUAAAAAAAAAAAAUCUAAGUAGUAAGUAAAUGGAUUGGAUAUCCGAUCCGAGAUCCGUGAUCCUAAUGGAUAUGGAUAUGGAUCGGCUUAAAAAAAAUCCGGUCCCGAUCCGAUCCGAAUCCAAUAAAAUAAAUGGAUAUGAAUUUAGGUCGAUCCGAUCCAAACCUGAUCCAUUGACAGGUCUACUCGGGAUAACAGAACCAUACGCUAGAUAAAAAUCCGUUUUCCCUCUUGAACUGAAAAAGUGACAGUAAGAAAUUAAGCUUUCGUUUUGUGCCUCCAGUACUUUUGAAAAUAUCUAUUUAUUGAAUGAAAAAGAACGAACUCUUUCCCGAAGAUAAACAAACUGCUCCUCAGUCCUCCGUUUCAAAAUAAUAAUGCCAUUAUUUUAAUUUGAUUUAGUCAACUUAACAAAAUUGUAACCAACAAUUACACAUAUUAUAUCAUUAAGAAAAUAUAUUUGAUCUAUUUUAAAUGCCUUUUCUAUUUUUGAAAAAUUAUAAAAGAAUAGAUUACGGUAAUAUUCACAUCGACUGGAAUGAGAAGUUUUGUGUCCUUUACAAAUACUAGUGAUGUGCAUGGUGUGGUUUGGUGCGGUUUGCACCUAAAACCGCAACCGAAACCACGACGUGCGGUUUCUAAAAUUUAAAAUCGAAACCGCACCAAAUGUCAUUGGUGCAGUUCGGUUUAUAAAAUUAUCGGUUUCAGUUUUAUAUGGUGCGGUUCGGUUUUCAAACCGUGAGGGGAGUUCAAAAAAUCUUGAUCUUUGACAAGUUCAUAAUAAAUAUGUCAAAAAUAGUGAUAUAAUUAAAUAACGGAAGAGCUUAACAUCACUACAAGCUACCAGUUUUAUAUACUCAAUGUUUUCUCCUUAACAAGCAGUGAACAUUUAUGAUAUACCAAUUACAACCAGACCCCUACAGUGCGUACACUGAAGUUCACUUCUAACAAUACUACUUCUUUAACAUUGACUCUGUAUAAAAAUUUAAUUACUUGUAAAAUAUAGAUGUAUGGGAUAAUGUCUUUGUACAUUCUCCAUGAUAUGUGAUUCUGCAAGUGGCUAUCAAUGAGAGUUGCUUGGUAGUAGUUUAAUCAGGCUUUUAGAUUGAGAUUUAUAAAUUCAAACAUGACAAAUAACUCACAAACAUGCAUUAUAUUUGACUUAUUAGAUCAACUAAUAUACAUAAUUAUAUAUUUUAUAAUAUAUACAUAUAUAUUAUAUAACUUAUAUAUUAUAUUUCAAUAUAUACAAUAAAUUAAUAAUUAUAAAAAUUAUUGCGGUUCGGUUCAGUUUUUAUUCGGUUUUAAAAUUUUGAAAACCACAACCAAAGUAUCGGUGCGGUUUUUAUUCGGUGCGGUUUCUAUUUGGUGCGGUUUUAUACAAUUUUUAUGGUUUUUGGUUCAGUUUCGGUUUGCGGUUCGGUUUCUGCUCAUCCCUAUCAAAUACAACUCAAUAACUCAAUAAGUGAUCUGUACUAAUUUGCUAGCCUUUUUAGAAUCGUGAUAUUUUUUAGUUGUGGUAUGAGUUCAGCUGUGGACUUGCAUCCCCUUUAUAAUUACAAAUCAAUAACUAAUGUGUAACAAUUUACCAACAUUUUUGGGUGACAAUUAAAAAGUCAAACAAAAUUAUUAUUUUCACAUCGAGGGAAAAUAAUAUUCCUAAAAAAACCAAUGUCCUGCUCACUCACACACAUCUCUACCCACUCAAACUCGAAUUCUCAGCCCUACAACAAAGGGAGUGAAUGAGUUAUUUCUGGAGUAUAGCCCCAUUGGAAGGGAAGACUGAAAUUGGAAGUUGUGGCACAUGCUAAAAGAUGUAGUUGGCUGUCUGGAGGCUGACACUAGAAUUUUCAACGGCAAACUUUUAGCGAUGACAUUUCUGUUCGACACUUUGCACUUCGAGUUUUCACAUUAAUUGCAUGUACUAGAUGAAAUAACUUAUAGCUCUGUCAUCAUUCAUGUCGGAAACUCAAAACCAAAUGCACCUGAACUGAAAAUGACCAUGCUCAAACUGAGGGACCUUGUAUUUUUUAGUUCGAAUGUCCUCAUCAAUGUUGGAAGUUUUAUACGUAGCAUGUCACAUGGUUAGGUUUCAAGUACUAGAACUUUAUACUUCGUGUGGGACUUUCUGAUUCCUUAAAAUGGCGAUAUGAAAGGUGAGAGACUUGUCAUUAUUUUGGACAACAACGGGUCUGGUUGAUUAUACUUGGUCAGAAGAUGCAACCACUGGUAGCCUCUUACGUUUCUUGAAGAUAAGGUGAUCGAUUAGACAUCUCGAAAUCGCAAGUUGCGGAUGGAACAGUACGGAUCAAAUUCUGAGUCUUUUUUGGAGAUCGGAAUAAGUCCUGAAUUCAAAAAUAAUUCAAAAUAUACCGACACAAAUAUAACAAUUUAAGUAAUCCACGAGCACGACAAAUGUUGCGAAAAGAUCAUGAUUUGUCAAUAUAAUUGAUAAUAAUAUUUAUACUUAUAAACUAAACAAAUAUCUUCAUUUUUCUUAACAUGCGACUAGAGUAUCAUAAAUUCCCACUUAAAUUCUUGACGUUCUUGUUAUGCCGAAACGGACAGCUCAUAGGCUCAUAUUAUACCUCUCUAACUAUUGUGCAAUAGUACGCGUUAGCUUUAUGUUCUUACCUCCGAACUAUUGUCAUUAUGGAUAAUACCAUCAAUUUUUGUGUCUCCAGAUCCGACAAUGUGAUUAAUCAAACUUUUGAGUUGGCUCUAAUAUCAUAUAAAUUCCCGAGUUAACUCCUGAGUCAUUUUCGACGAUCGGAUUAAGUCCCAAUUUUAAAAUUUAUAAAUAAGUCGAAAUAUAAUGAUCUAAAUAUAACAACUUGGAUAGCACAUAAGUCCUCAAAAAUUAGGAUUUGUAGGUACAAUCAGGUUAUAGUAUUUAUGUUUACAAACUAAACAUAUGUCAGGAACAUUCUCGAUAUUGCGGCAAUGAAUUUAGUUUAUUAUGAGUAAGAACAACAUCGUAUUAUAAAUUUAAUAAAAACAGUGUUAUGAUAUAGAACAUUAUUAUUGUGUAUAAAUUCUUACAAUACGUCUUGUUAUCAAAAUUAUAAUAUAAUUAAAUUAUAUUAAGAAAAGAAAUAAUAUGAGAAAUUGAUGGAUUAAAAUGGAGGGGAGUGAAUUUCUUUAUUAACAAAAAUAUCUAGAAAAUGUAGAGUGACACUUCAAACAAGACAUAUAUGAGAUGGUUUGCUAUUCUAAAACAAUAUUAGAACAUGUUUGGCUCCGUUUAAAUUUAUGAUUUAUAAUUUAAUGCGAUUUAGUAUGAUAAGCUACUAGUUUAAUGUUAUUUGAGUAAUUUUGAUUUAUCAAUAAAUUAUGAAUUAUUAAAAAUAUAAAAAAGUGAUUUAUGAUAUCAAACUUCUAAAAAAAAUUAAGUUAGUGAAAAAGAAUAUCUCAAACUAACUUUUAAAUUAAAGCUGGACUUAUAUCUGACUUUAAAUUAGUUUCAAAUUUAUGACACAAGUAUAAUUUUUAAAUUUAAAAUUAGAAACAGUUUUAAAUUUUAAUUUAAAAUAGGAGCAAAAUAGAAGUCCAGGAAAACAGUUUGUUCCCGCAGAUAUCCUAAAUUUUAGUUGAGAAACACAUUUGGACUUGCUCUCAUGGGAUUUAAAUAUGAAAACCAACUGGUAGGAUUCUUUUCUAUAAUUUUAAACAACAAAUAUUUAUAACACUAUUCAAAUCAAAAACCUAUUAAGUUUAGUCAUACUUAAUUAAAUAUGAAAAACAACAAAGCUGGUAGGAUUCUUCUCUAUAAUUUUAACAAGAAAUAUUUAUAACACUAUUCAAAUCAAAAACCUAUUAAGUUUAGUUUUAUUGUUACAUAUUUAAUAAAUUAUGAGUUAUUUAUAUUAAUUUAAAAAUUUAUUUAAAAUGAUUUUAAAUUAUAAUUCAUUAAUUUAAUUUGAUCGCAGCUGGUCAAUAUAGCGGAAAGUCAAGUUAACUAGCAUCACCUAAGCGUCAACUGAGGGUUUGUCUUGUGUUCUUUAUUUUGUGCUCAGUAGUAGUUAUCUUCUGUUUAACUCUCUCUGGUCUCUAUCAUCAUCAAUCAAUUGCACAGUUGUACAUUAUUAAAGUUUUGAGCAAGCAAGUAUGCGAAAAUUUUGUACAAGCUUAUCUUGGUCGGGCGGGGAAAUGCUAUACUUGUAUCCGGCUAUCCGGAAUAGAUUAGUGGAUAUUUUCAAUUUUUGCGUUUAAAAGGUGCCCGUUAAUAUCAAUUUUUUCAAAAAAUGAUGAUUAGAUUUUGUUUUCUCUAUUUUGAAUAAUGACUCAUUUUCAUGUUAUUAUAAAUUAAUAGGAGUCAUUUUUAGGCGAAGAUAAAAUUUGAAUAUAUUAGAUUUGAACAUUUGAAUAUGUGUUUUUAAAAUUUAGCGUAUAACGCAAUCACAACUCUUUAAUUAUUUCAGGUAUUUUUGCUUGUACAUGGGCGGCCAGAUUCUCACUCUACAUGAAAUUGAUAGUUUUAUAAAACAUGAUCCAAUUGAAUUAAAACUAUUUUUUUUUUUUUUUUGGUUUUUCGUAAAUUUAACUUUAGAACAGAAAGUUUGAAAAUCCUGCCUUAAUUUUAGAAUCAUAUUUGAUGGCCGUAGUAAUUUUAGCAGAGAUCCGUAACCGUCAUGGUUAUCUUUUUUUUGAGGCUGUGUAUGGUGCUUAACCUUUUCAUGGGUUGCUUCGUCCUUAUUUAUACUGUGAGAAGAGGCUGCUUGGCGGGUGAGUGGGCUAAUCUAAUACAUAAGCAGCUGAGGCGGAUAGGCUAUGCGGUACAGGUGGAAGUUAGUCUAGAAUUUUGAGGAUGACAUGGUAUUAGAACGAUUGCCACGUGUCCAGCUACUUAAGGUACGUUUAGACAGCAUAGUGCUUACAAGUAGCUGGGUCACUUGUUAUGAUUAGGCUUGCAAUCCUUCGGAGGGACUUUGAAGUUCUACGGGUGGAUCCCAUAAGAAAGCUCAAGAGCCUACGGGUUUAAAAGCCAUCAGUGCUUGAGGGUGACUAGCUAAGUGGUUACAAGGAGCUCGGUCCUCUGCUUAAGUGAAGCUUUCGGUCCAUUUGGGAGGAGAUCAUAGCUCUUGGGGAUGGACACCAUGGGCAAGCCUAAAGGUUUAUAGGGUUGGGAGUGACAAACUCUAGGGGUGUUUAUAAUCCUACGGAUUCAGGAGCCAUCAAUAUUAAAUAAAUGAAGGAAAAUGUUCACCUAAAUCAGUGAAACGUGCUUAAAUGAGAAACCAUUCCCGUAUUCUAAACUUACACAACUGAAAAUCUCGGGCAUAGAUUCAGGACCGACUAUUGAUUGAACGUGAUAACAAAGUGUAACAUAACUGACAUGUUAUUCAGUUAACUUUUUCAUCAAAGUUCAUGAAUUCAUGGGAGUAUAUCAAACUAAAGAUCGCAUAUGUCGAAAUUUAUAGAACUGUUAGGGCCGGUGACCCCCACUUAAGUUGCAAUGUCCCUAGCUAGAUCCUUACCUAGCUAGUCUAGUCUUCAAGCUUUUAGCUCGAAGUUUUAUUUCAGGUGGUUUUUCGUUGACCAUUUUUUCUUUCUUUUCAGGAUAUAAUAUCAUCAUGUUUUUUUUUUAAACUUUUUGGUAUAAAAAAUUGAAUCAAACCUAUAUAUUUUUUAAAUCAAUUUUAUAAAUAUGAUCAAACGGUAAUUUACUUUCUUUAAAAUGAAAAACAACUUAUAUCUAAAUUUAAUUCAGUUCAAUUAUAUUUUAUCAUUAUUCCACUAAUCAAUGCAUCAUAGUUCGCCCAACUGAUUAAAUAUCUGAUUAUUCAAUUAAUUAACGAUCAACGAUUCUUAUCUUUUACAACAGUGUAUUUCAUAAAUAAAAACUAAAAAAACUACAUUAAAAUCACAAUAAUGUUCAUUAACAUCAGCUUCUCAACAGCCGAAGCUAAAGCCAUAAGCCGAUUACUAGAGCUGUUACAUUCUUAUAACUACCCUAGACGCUACACUAGCUAGUGGCUAAUGGUCCUUAUUCAUGAGCGGCUGGGGCCAAGCUGAGUUGCAGAUCCAAGCCGCAAGAAUCAUCAAAGCCUGGCCCACCAUUGCCUCUAGAAAACCUACUCAGUGAGGGCCCAUUAUUAUGGGCUCGUCCAAUCCGAGGCCCAGCUGGCAUCAACGUUGACUCCGCUACAUUGCCACCGUACGGUAAGCUCCCUGCACCCCUCAUCCCAAAUGCUGACGUGGACGUGGAAGAAAACACACAACCAUGCGAAACCGGAAACGGAGGGACGGCGCGUGGCAUGUACGCCCAAGGCGGAGACUCCAUAGGAGGUGGUAGUAGAUGGGCGGGUCGCGUGAAAGCCGACACGAUAGGGUUCCUCAUGUACGUAACGGCCGCGUUACGUGUAGCUUGCAUUUGAGCUCGUUUGAGCUCUUGUCUCUCUUUUUUGUGAGCAUUUUGGUGACCACCUAGGGCUUGUGAGUUGGCGAAUUCACGACAACAAUAUUGGCACUCGAACUUGUGAUUUGUCGGAAAAUUGCUCGAGUCCGAGGAAGCGGAGUGUGUGUUGGUAGGGUUCACAUUUUUGUGAUCUUGUACGACAUUAAAGCCAAAGAGUUUCAAGCCUUGGGUGGGAGCACUUGAGUUGUUAUUGUUUACUUUUGUCUGAAAAUGAAUUUCCUCCAUAGCAUAAAAAAAUAAAAAAUUAGCAAGAGUAGAAGAAUGUAAAGCUAGAGAAUAUAGAGCUUGGGUGAGUGAGUUCCGACAUGAAAAGUUGUUGGAUGAGUGGGGGUAUUUAUACAAGUGAGGAAGAGGAUUGUGGGGAUUUAGUGGGCGCUUGGGUGGAGCUUUUAAGCCCCGCUUCAGGAGUUAUAAGUUAUAAACAGUUAUUCGUAUCGUUUAUGUAAAAAGUCGAGAAGUACUUAAGAAUCUUAACUUUUGUUUCCUGACUUCUACUUUUUUUCCCAAACACUUUAAUCACUUAUAAGUCAUAACUAACUUUUAACUUUUAUUUUAAUUUUUUAUUUUAAUUAAAAAAUAGUUAUUUUAAACUUACUCAAACGAUCUGUACGAAGGAGUAAUUAAACAAAUGUUUGUUAUGUGCAAGCAUGUGUGUGGGAGCAGAGAGGGGCAUGGUUUCGGAGAUUCCAAUAAGAAGAGGGUGGUUAAAUUUAAGUGUACGAAUGGAACACGACCCAAGAACACAUGUAGAGUCGCCUAAUGGGUUGCACGCCCUUUUUAUUUUUUUUGAGCAUCCACGAGAAAUAAUUUAUGCUCGGUUUGACAUUACUAUUUCAGACAGUAAUAUUAGUUUUUUACUAAAAAAAUUUUGAAAAAUUAUAUGAUAAAUUUAAAAAUGGCUUUUCAGAAUAUCGGUUUUUAAUUCAAAAGUUAUAUUUAUGAAAAGCAGGUCGCCACUGGCUUUUGGAAAAGCCGUUUUUCAGUUUUUACGGGAAGUUUUCGUAAAUAUCACUAUCGAAACUCACCAAAAAUAUUAUUUUUCUUUUAUUAUAAUUCAAAAUAUUCAAAUAUAUAUAGAAAAAAUAUUACCAAAUUGUCUACGACUACAAUUGCACAACAGUUUUUACAGAACUUCCAAAUUAGUGGUUGCCAUUUGAACAGGAUACGAAUUCGACCCAAAGCGAUAUAGAGUUGAUCCGGAAUCAAAACCGUAUGUACAUAUUACGUAUAACUAAAACUAGGUCUGAUCAAAUUAGAUUCAAUUGAAAUUGAAUUGUGUUAAAAUAUUGAUCAGAUGCGGAUCUAACUCUCCUAAUUGUCAAUUGUCUAAGGAGCUUAUUUUUCUUAUGUUUACUCCAUCCAUUUCCUUUCAUUUCAUAAAAUUUAUUAAAGAACAAGUUACGAAAGAGCAAUUCUAGAGAAUUAAAAAGUUAUUGUUAAAAAGUUGAAAUAAAAUUAGGCUUAGAGUUUAAGAUUUGGGCUUCACGGAAUUGAAAGUUUUGUAAUUAGUAAAACUGAGCCAAGAUCUUCCAAACCAAGGCUAAACACCGUUAAUUCCGUUGUUAUAGUUUUUGAUUUCUAAAAUUGAGUUCUUUCGCUACAAAAAAAUCCGGAGAUUUUCCACGCACGCAAGCACUCACUUCACUUGUGUAUGCAUGCAUGUGUCAACUGUCAAGUGUGUUUCCUUAAACAACAGUAGACAUGGGACAAUAAUUUAAGAGUAACUGUUAAAGUAAAAGUCUUUUAGAAUAGUUGAAUCUGAGAAGAGAAGUGUCAUUUCAUUUGUUCGGCUUUUGUUUUAUGCGAGGUACUCGCUUUUCUAUAGAGUAUACAUUUAAACAACGCGAUUUCCCGUUUGUUGAGAACGUGAUUUAGGUACCACUCCAAGAUUAUAAAUUCGAUUUUAUCGGAAGAUAUGAAAAAUUAUAGAAUCGAUUUCAGAAGAAGGCAUGAAAGUAAAUGGACUAUCACUCGCUCAGCGGAAGUACGAGUGUGCUCAAUUCUUCGAAUACUCUCUGUGCGUGAAAGUUGGCACCAAAAAAAGAUUAUUAAAAAAAAAAACAAAGGUGAUCAUGUAAAUAUCAGGUGUAGCGUUGCACCAGCUUAUGCAUCAUUGUGUUGUUUUAUUAGCUUAACUUUUUUUGAAGUUUUGGAUUUUAUUAAAAAAAUUCUCUUAUGUUGUCAGUCUCAUCGAUUAGUGGGAAAAAUAUGUGCAUCUAAAAGCAACUUUAAUAUAAAUUAAAAAAAAAUAAUGCUACAUCCACAAAAAGUGUUAAAAAAAUCCGCGGAGGCAGGUCCCCAGGCUCCUUCAAAUUUGUAACCACCCUGAACAUGAUCUUUGCAAAAAUAACCACCUAAAUUUUCACUUCACAAAACUAACCACCCUAAUUGUUUCACCCCUCGGGCGAACACAAUAGCAGCCAAAAAAUUUCCAACGCCCCACCAAGAGACGAACAUGUAAGGACAGUAUAACUGUGUUCGCCACAUGCAGAGGCGAACACAUAUUUCCACAUAUUUCACUUUACUUCUCUCAGAAUUUGAAAUUUCUUCCUUUUGCAUGCUACACCUACAUAUGCUGCAACCAUAUCUUGUUCAUUGCUGUAAAUGAUGCUCAGUGUUUAAGUAUGACUCAACACGCCCAAAAUACGAGAAAUUUAUAUGGUUUCUGUGAUUUUCUUGGCGGGGUUUUUGGUUUUUAAAGGAGAGGCUACUUUUGUUAACAGCGAUAAGAAAGCAUUGCUCAAUUUUUUGAGUAAUGUGAUAAUUUUUUAUUUUUUUAAAAUUAAAAACUGCAUUUAUUUGAUUUAUAAAAAAAUCAAACAAAACUAAAGAAAUGUGAUUAUUUUAUUUAUAAAAAAUCAGAAAAACUAUAAAUUAAAUGUGUUGUUUCGUAAAUAUUGAAUUGAAUAUUAAUUGUAAAUUAAAUUUUUAUUGUAAGAAUAGCGGAGAAGAAAUUAUGAAUUUAUAUGGAUCGAAAAAAUAGUAAAAUUAUUCAUAUAUUAUAAAGUAAGGCAUCUAAUAUUAAUUAAUAUGUGAUCUUUCGGUAAUAUGAAUAUUUUUUGAGUAAAAAUAUUCAUAUUACAUUACAAUGAAUAUUCACUCAAAAAAUGAAUAUUUACUCAAAAUAUUUUAAUAAAAAAAUAUUUUAAUGAAUAUUUUGAGUAUAUUAUUCAAAAUUAAUUAAUAUUAAUUUGAGUAAAUAUUUUUACUCAUUUUUACUCAUUUACAAAAAAUAUUUUUUGUAAUAUUAAAUAAUAUUAAUAUUAACUCAUAUUAGUUCAUGAAUUAAUUCAUGCAAUAUGAAUAUUUGAGUAAAUAUUUUUACUCAUUUUAUUUUGAGUAAAUAUUUUGAGUAAAAAUAUUCAUAUUACAAUGAAUAUUAAUAUUUUUACUAUUUUAAUAUUAUUAAUUCAUAACAUGAAUUAAUAUGAAUAUUUUUUGAGUAAAAAUAUUCAUAUUAUGAAUAUUUUUACUCAAAAAAUAUUCAUAUUACCGAAAAAAUCACAUAUUAAUUAAUAUUAGAUGCCUUACUUUAUAAUAUAUGAAUAAUUUUACUAUUUUUUCGAUCCAUAUAAAUUCAUAAUUUCUUCUCCGCUAUUCUUACAAUAAAAAUUUAAUUUACAAUUAAUACUCAAUUCAAUAUUUACGAAACAACACAUUUAAUUUAUAAUUUUUCUGAUUUUUUAUGAAUAAAAAAAUCACAUUUUUUUAUUUUUUUUUUGAUUUUUUUAUAAAUCAAAUAAACGCAGUUUUUGAUUUUAAAAAAAAAAUAAAAAACUAUCACAUUACUCAAAAAAUUGAGCAAUGCUUUCUUAUCGCUGUUAACAAAAGUAACCUCCCCUUUAAAAACCAAAAACCCCGCCAAGAAAAUCACAGAAAUCAUAUAAAUUUCUCGCAUUUUGGGCGGGUUGAGUCAUACUUAAACACUGAGCAUCAUUUACAGCAAUGAACAAGAUAUGGUUGCAGCAUAUGUAGGUGUAGCAUGCAAAAGGAACAAAUUUCAAAUUCUAAGGGAAGUGAAGUGAAAUUUGUGGAAAUAUGUGUUCGCCUCUGGAUGUGGCGAACACAGUUAUACUGCCUUUAUGUGUCCGCUUUUUGGUGGGGCGUUGGAAAUUUUUUGGCUGUAGUUGUGUUCGCCCGAGGGGUGAAAUAAUUAGGGUGGUUAGUUUUGUGAAGUGAAAAUUUAGGUGGUUAUUUUUGCAAAGAUCAUGUUCAGGGUGGUUACAAAUUUGAAGGAGCCCAGGUCCCCAACUUACUACAGCCGCUAUUGCGCUGUGUGUUUCUCUAGUUUAGGUUCACGAGAUUGAGAAACUACGUUCUCACGCUAGUACGCAUGAAUAUAUGGCCCUUGGAAAUACUUAUGCUGUCCAAUUAAAAGUCGACAGGAGCUAGUAUAUAGUAGACAUAUAGUAGUCCUAUACUGUACUAUAUAUAAAUCUCUGAUUUCAAGUACAGUCUUCGUUUCUGAUGGAAGUGGGCUCAAGCAUAAGUUCGGGACUCUGUGUAUUACUAUAUUAGAUUAUUAUUGGUUUUACAAGAAAUUCACAAUUAUACACGCCCUCGUUUAUGAAACCUUAUUCUAUGAUAGAAUUUGCGGGCUCCCUUACAAAAGUAACCGGUUUGAACGUAAAGUUUUCAAAACUAACCAGCCUACGUUCAACUUUUCAAAACUAACCAGCCUAAUUCAACAAAACUCGGGCGACCCUUACCUGUUUUUUUCCCGAGCGCCGGUCGCCCUCCUCAGGGGCGUCCCCCAUUGGAGUUCUGUGACGUGGUCGGCCCUAUCACGGGCGACCACGUGUGUGACACUACCCCUUAAAACCCCCUUCCAGCCACACAAUUACACACACAUUUGCACACACUCAGUUUCAAAACAACACUGCAGCAGCCACAACAAGGAGCCGAAAGGGGAGAUUUUGGAAAAGGAAGGAAGAAAAGUGGGAGAGGAUCGCCCGAGCUAGCAUCAAGGUCGCCCACCCUAGCAAAAAAUUUGAAGGUACUACCUUAUUCCUCCCCUAAAUAUUAGUAUAUAAAGCCUUGAUUUGUAAUUUAUUACUUGAUUAGUUUGUCUUGCAUGUUACAAAUAUCGGUUAUGUUCAUGAUUAUGACUAAUUUAUAGACUAGUGUUAUAAUUACCGGUUUGAGAUUAGUGUUAUAAUUACCGGAUUGAGAUUUGGUAGUACAUUAUGAUUUUUAAAUUUGUUAAAAAAUUUAAAGAUUUAUAAUAGAAAUUAAGGAUAAUUUAUAGAUUUGAUAUGUUGGAAUUUAAGAUUUUGUGCAUGUUAGAUUUUGUAGGUAGUAAUUUAAUUUAGUUAGAAACAAAAGCUUUGAAUUCGAAUUACAAAUAUUAUGUUGGAAUGAGAUUUUGUAUAUAUACAAAAGCUUUGAAUUCGAAUUAUAAAUAUAUUUGAAAAUUGUUGGCGCAGAUGGAUCCUGCAGCUUAUCAUCCCGGGCCGGUUAACGGCACUUUGUUGACAUUGCAGGACACGCAUAGGUCCACUUUUGUGUGGAACAGUAGUACGGUAAUGACUUGAUGGACUGUUGUUUAUUAAAGUUAAUGUUUGCUUCACUAUAAACUGCUGACAAGUUCCUGUAUUUUUAAUUGCAGGACAUUCCUGAUCUUAGAGUCAGGACGAACUUCGGUGAGUACUGGAAUGUAGUUGAUCAAACCAGGCCGCCUCAGGCGAUAAUAGAUGCUAUUAAUGAUGCGGGCUUUGAGUGGGUGUUCAGGUUGGGUCAGGUCAAGCAUGACAGGGGCUUGAUUACUGCUUUUAUCGAGAGGUGGCGUCCAGAGACGCACACUUUUCAUCUACCUUUCGGGGAGGCCACCAUUACACUGGAGGAUGUCCAUCACAUUCUCGGGUUACGAACCACUGGCCGGCCAUUUAUUCUACAUGGCUUCACCACCACAGCUCGUGAGAGAUUGGCCAUGAUACGCGAUGUUCUUGGACUGACUCCCGAGGCGGCUGAUGUGAGGAAGAACUGCUUGAGGGUCGGUUGGUUGAUUGAUAACUUUGGCGACUGUGCCCGGUUGGACGAGGCAGCGGAGGAUUUUGAUGAGCAGACUAUCUUUCACAUCAGGGCACACCUACUGUGUGUUAUUGGAUCGUUGUUUCCUGAUAGCAGCGGGGACUAUGUGAAUCUCAACCUCCUUUGGAUGCUACGUGACUUGCAGAGCGUGGAUGGUUAUAGCUGGGGGAGUGCUGUUCUUGCAUACCUUUAUAGGAAGAUGUGCGAUUCCACCCAUAAAGUCACAAAAAACUUCGCUGGAUACGUCACGUUAGUACAGGUACGNNNNNNNNNNNNNNNNNNNNNNNNNNNNNNNNNNNNNNNNNNNNNNNNNNNNNNNNNNNNNNNNNNNNNNNNNNNNNNNNNNNNNNNNNNNNNNNNNNNNNNNNNNNNNNNNNNNNNNNNNNNNNNNNNNNNNNNNNNNNNNNNNNNNNNNNNNNNNNNNNNNNNNNNNNNNNNNNNNNNNNNNNNNNNNNNNNNNNNNNNNNNNNNNNNNNNNNNNNNNNNNNNNNNNNNNNNNNNNNNNNNNNNNNNNNNNNNNNNNNNNNNNNNNNNNNNNNNNNNNNNNNNNNNNNNNNNNNNNNNNNNNNNNNNNNNNNNNNNNNNNNNNNNNNNNNNNNNNNNNNNNNNNNNNNNNNNNNNNNNNNNNNNNNNNNNNNNNNNNNNNNNNNNNNNNNNNNNNNNNNNNNNNNNNNNNNNNNNNNNNNNNNNNNNNNNNNNNNNNNNNNNNNNNNNNNNNNNNNNNNNNNNNNNNNNNNNNNNNNNNNNNNNNNNNNNNNNNNNNNNNNNNNNNNNNNNNNNNNNNNNNNNNNNNNNNNNNNNNNNNNNNNNNNNNNNNNNNNNNNNNNNNNNNNNNNNNNNNNNNNNNNNNNNNNNNNNNNNNNNNNNNNNNNNNNNNNNNNNNNNNNNNNNNNNNNNNNNNNNNNNNNNNNNNNNNNNNNNNNNNNNNNNNNNNNNNNNNNNNNNNNNNNNNNNNNNNNNNNNNNNNNNNNNNNNNNNNNNNNNNNNNNNNNNNNNNNNNNNNNNNNNNNNNNNNNNNNNNNNNNNNNNNNNNNNNNNNNNNNNNNNNNNNNNNNNNNNNNNNNNNNNNNNNNNNNNNNNNNNNNNNNNNNNNNNNNNNNNNNNNNNNNNNNNNNNNNNNNNNNNNNNNNNNNNNNNNNNNNNNNNNNNNNNNNNNNNNNNNNNNNNNNNNNNNNNNNNNNNNNNNNNNNNNNNNNNNNNNNNNNNNNNNNNNNNNNNNNNNNNNNNNNNNNNNNNNNNNNNNNNNNNNNNNNNNNNNNNNNNNNNNNNNNNNNNNNNNNNNNNNNNNNNNNNNNNNNNNNNNNNNNNNNNNNNNNNNNNNNNNNNNNNNNNNNNNNNNNNNNNNNNNNNNNNNNNNNNNNNNNNNNNNNNNNNNNNNNNNNNNNNNNNNNNNNNNNNNNNNNNNNNNNNNNNNNNNNNNNNNNNNNNNNNNNNNNNNNNNNNNNNNNNNNNNNNNNNNNNNNNNNNNNNNNNNNNNNNNNNNNNNNNNNNNNNNNNNNNNNNNNNNNNNNNNNNNNNNNNNNNNNNNNNNNNNNNNNNNNNNNNNNNNNNNNNNNNNNNNNNNNNNNNNNNNNNNNNNNNNNNNNNNNNNNNNNNNNNNNNNNNNNNNNNNNNNNNNNNNNNNNNNNNNNNNNNNNNNNNNNNNNNNNNNNNNNNNNNNNNNNNNNNNNNNNNNNNNNNNNNNNNNNNNNNNNNNNNNNNNNNNNNNNNNNNNNNNNNNNNNNNNNNNNNNNNNNNNNNNNNNNNNNNNNNNNNNNNNNNNNNNNNNNNNNNNNNNNNNNNNNNNNNNNNNNNNNNNNNNNNNNNNNNNNNNNNNNNNNNNNNNNNNNNNNNNNNNNNNNNNNNNNNNNNNNNNNNNNNNNNNNNNNNNNNNNNNNNNNNNNNNNNNNNNNNNNNNNNNNNNNNNNNNNNNNNNNNNNNNNNNNNNNNNNNNNNNUAAACAAUAAUAAUCAGGCCUGAGAAGCAGGCGUAUCUGGUCCAUUCCGCACUGGGCGAGGAAGAAGCGUAUUGGGCGAGGACUCAAUAGCUGAGGACGAGGACCCCAUCGAAGACCUGGGCCGCGUGACUUGACCCACAUUAAGGGCGAGAUUCCAUAUCGGGCGAGAACUUGGCUGAAGACGGGGUCUUACCUGAUGCCGGGCCUUGUGCCCUGGACCAUGCUGAUGGCGAGGAAGGUAAGCAUUAGGCGAGGCCUCAUCACAGAGGGCGAGGACUCCUUGAAGACGGACCGCCAGUCAUUGGGCCGCGAGGCCGACACAUGCCUAUGACGAAGGUCCAUACUGGGCGAGGACCCUUACUGGGCGAGGACCCUUCUGCUGACCCGGGUCCAUCUGUUGCUGGUCCUCACUUCCUGGGCCACAUAGAUGGCGAGGUCCACGUAAUGGGCGAGGACGAUCCCGGAGAUCGGUCUUUUCCUUGAAUUAAGGCGAGAUUUAUGCAAUCAUCUUCCGAGUUGAUAUUUGGCCAUAACAACUACCCCCCAAGCCCUUGAAGCAUAAGUGCGAAAGGGUUUAAAGAAGCUUCAGUCGAGGAAGAUGGUUAGUUGGCUGGUUUCCUGUAAUAGUACUCUGGCGAGCUCCAUCCUUGGGCGAGGACUCCAUCAAAGAGCCAAGUCAUUUAGAUAAUCAAGUAUCACAUUCCGGACAUGACUCCAGGAGAGGACUCAUUGAAGGCGAGGAUGGUAUAAGUCUUCCACUCCGGUUAGCUAAUUGCUAGAAUCAGCAACGGGCGAGGACGCCCCUCAAGCGAGGACUCCGUUAAGGGGUCGAGCUGAAGGUGAGGCUUAGCUGAGCGAGACGAUCAGUUGAGUGAAAAGAUGGUCAACAGCUGAGUGAGAGGACGAUCGAUAGCUGAGUGAGAGGACGAUCAUCAGCUGCGGUAGACGAAGCUCAUCAGCUGAGUGAGAGGAUGAUCAUCUGCUGAGGGCGAGGACGAUCAUCAGCUGAGGUAGACGAAGCUCAUCGGCUGAGGGAGAUGACGAUCAUCUGCUGAGGGCGAGGAUGAUCAUCAGCCGAGGUAGACGAAGCUCAUCAGCUGAGUGAGAGGACGAUCAUCUGCUGAGGGCGAGGAUGAUCAUCAGCUGAGGUAGACGAAGCUUAUCAGCUAAGGGAGAGGACGAUCAUCUGCUGAGGGCGAGGACGAUCAUCAGCUCAGGACGAAGCUUAUCAGCUGAGGUAGACGACGAUCAUCAGCUGAGGGAGAGGACGAUCAUCUGCUGAGGGCGAGGACGAUCAUCAGCUCAGGACGAGCUUAUCAGCUGAGGUAGACGAAGCUCAUCGGCUGAGGGAGAGGACGAUCAUCUGCUGAGGGCGAGGACGAUCAUCAGUCGAGGUAGACGAAGCACAUCAGCUGAGUGAGAGGACGAUCAUCUGCUGAGGGCGAGGACGAUCAUCAGCUCAGGACGAAGCUUAUCAGCUGAGGUAGACGAAGAUCAUCAGCUGAGUGAGAGGACGAUCAUCUGCUGAGGGCGAGGACGAUCAUUUGCUGAGGUAGACGAAGCUCAUCAGCUGAGUGAGAGGAUGAUCAUCUCCUGAGGGCGAGGACGAUUAUCAGCUCAGGACGAGCUUAUCAGCUGAGGUAGACGACGAUCAUCAGCUGAGCGAGAGGACGAUCAUCUGCUGAGGGCGAGGACGAUCAUCCGCUGAGUGAGAGGAUGAUCAUCUGCUGAGGGCGAGGACGAUCAUCCGCUGAGGUAGACGUUAUCUUCGAAGGAUGACUCAAAAUUUGGCUAUAACGACUACCCCCCAGUUCCUUGUAACAUAAGUGCGAAAGGGUUUAAAGAAGCAUCGGGCGAGGAAGAUGGUAAGUGCUCGCCUGUUGUUGCCCGUCAUAUAUCAAAAUUUUCGUCUUGGCUCAGAGAUUCUUGCAAAAAUGGUGGAAAAAUCACAUUGGCUACACAAGAGACGCCAGCAGGAUUCAAAAGUCCUACCUCGAAGCGUGAGAAAACUGGCCAUUCGGGGUUGCCACGUGGCUUUGAUGUCAGUAAUUUUCCCGCCUCAUCCUUCCUCUAUAUAAGAGCAGCUCCUUUCACUCCAAAAGUAUACACACGAAGUGCUGCUGGAUUAUUCUCCUGAAUUGGUAGCAUCAGGCGACGCUUUUCUCAAAGCCUCGCACCUUCUACCGCUUUCAGAAAUUGCAGGUACGCAUGUUCACUUACUUCCUUUUCAAAUCCAAUUUUAUUUGUCCACGUAGGCACCUAGGGUUUCCCAAUUAUUAACAUAAGCGUUGCUCGCAAGAGUUAGAGUAAUUGCAGGCGAAGGCUCUAUCAAAUCGAUAACAUGCUUACUUAAGGCGAGGACCUAUUACCAGCGUAGUCGCCCUUCGUGACUUUAUUUUCUCUUUUCUUCCUUAUCUGUAGCCCCAUACUAAAUAUCACUAUUGAUUCCUUUCCCGCCAUCUCUCUUUCAGAUGACGAACUCUCAACAAUCUCCUCCCAAUGCUAAUGCUCAGGUCGAUUCGUGGUCAUCUCUUGACGUCGACCCAAAAGCUGACCACGACUUAGAUCAGGCGUGGCUGAGGGCUCACGUAGGCACCUAGGGUUUCCCAAUUAUUAACAUAAGCGUUGCUCGCAAGAGUUAGAGUAAUUGCAGGCGAAGGCUCUAUCAAAUCGAUAACAUGCUUACUUAAGGCGAGGACCUAUUACCAGCGUCGUCGCCCUUCGUGACUUUAUUUCCUCUUUUCUUCCUUAUCUGUAGCCCCAUACUAAAUAUCACUAUUGAUUCCUUUCCCGCCAUCUCUCUUUCAGAUGACGAACUCUCAACAAUCUCCUCCCAAUGCUAAUGCUCAGGUCGAUUCGUGGUCAUCUCUUGACGUCGACCCAAAAGCUGACCACGACUUAGAUCAGGUGUGGCUGAGGGCUCAUCAGGACGAGGCCGGUCCUUCUCGUCGGCCAGAUCCACUCGAAGUUCUCAGCAUCUCUUCGAGCGACGAAGAUAGUGUGUACAAUCCCCAGAUGGAUGAUGAUUCUCCAGAUUCCCUCUUCAAAAACCUCGAACGUUCCGGUCAUUCUCGCCCCCUCUUGGGAGUUGGCGAGGAGAAGCAGCUUCAAGUGGUCAGAGAUGCCUACGCUGAUUACUCAAAAGGCGAGGAAGACAUAGAAGACGAGGACAAUAAUGAAACUGAAACUGGGGAAUCAAGCCGAAGUAAACACUUAUCUGAGGGCGAGGAUGAUGCAGACGCUAUAUCUGCCUCGCCAAUUCGUUAUGAGAUGGAAUGCCCUUCGCCUGCUAAUAACCCUUUUGUUCCAGAGACCUUCAAUUACGACUAUGAUUUUGACUUUGACGAAGACGUCCCAGAGAAAGAGAGGAAUCGACAGCGCAAUGUCAAUAAGACAGUAACCUGUGCGGGACUCUCUUCGCAAAUUUCCUCGGACGAAAUAAUGUGGAUGAUUGAGUACUACAAUCUCCAAGGCAAGUGGUAUAGGCCUCGCCGCUUCAUGAGGAUGCACAGGUUCAACUUUGACGGUCUCCCAUGUCCUCGCAUGGUGGUAACUAAUAAGCUUGCGGAGCUGGGUUUCGGAUGGCCUAUGCACCCGUGGUUGCUAAAGUUGGCAAACCAUUAUGACGUCGCCCCAAUCCAAGUCGGUCCCAACGGCUGGAGGCUGGCCAUAGGUAUCUACAUAGUGUAUCGCCGCCUUGGGUUCCCCGAACCCUCAAUGCUUGAGAUGGAUCACUUCCUCUCAUUGAGGAAGACAGGCGACGAUUACGGCUUUUUCUAUCUGACGCUCCAUCCCUGCCAUCACAAGAAAGGCUUCUCCGUUGGAAAUCCUAGCAACAUGAAAUUCUGGAAGCCGGAUUACUUCUACCUCUACGACAUUCCUCGCCAAAGGGUGUCUUUUAAUCUUGACCCUUGUAAGUAUAAUCUUCAUCGCCUUCUUCUCACCUUCUCGCCUAUCAUCUGUACUUAACUUUAACUCCUUAUUAGAUAAACCUCAACAAACCGACCUCGAGGGCGAGCUCUUGACUCGUGCCCAGGCUGUUGACAAUCUUGAUGCCGCCCAGAAGAAGCUCGACGAGAUUGUUACUCCGGAAUCGCUUCGCGAAUAUGGCUUUUAUAACAAGGGUUUUGGCCAAGUCCCUCUGAUAAAAUUCGACAAGAGGAAUAGGUCGAAGAAAGCUCUAGAGUGCCUUAAAAGGUCAUUAGCAUCCUUGACUGGUAAAGGUAGAAGCGUCGCCCUUUGUCUGCUUGCGUCUCGCCCUUUAUCUUUUUCACGCUUGACUGUUUUCUUGAUACAUGUUCCUUGCCAAUCAUAUAUUCAUCGCCUAAUGUUUACACUUGGUUUCUUUUCAGGGAAGAUGGCUGAACUUCCUUUUGGUAAUAACCCUUUUGCUGGCAGGCAAGUCCCCGUUUCUCAGCCUCGCCCCACCAUCUCUGUGAAUGCCACUCCUACUCCUCGCCGGAACCAGACCCCUCCACCGGAGAAAGAAUUGAGGGCGAGGAACAAGCAAAAACGGGGGAACGAAGAGGAAGUUGCAGCCUCAAAAAAGAAACCAAGAAAGGGCGAGGAGUCGACCCCCUCUGUUGUGUCUGUCGCCUUCAGUGUUUUGGUCGAAGACAACUAUGAUGCUGAGGACGUCAAAGUCUGGUCGUCAAAGAAAGCUGAUGAAGCUGAGCAUGGCUUCAAGUUCGGAUUGGGCGAGGCGUUCUUUCAGGGCCUCAACGUCCUUGUCGCCAAAAAUGCUCACAUAGCAGAGCUGGGAGAGGCGAACACAAAGCUAAAAAGUGAGGCUACAGCGUCCGCGGAUCGACGGAAAGACCUCCAUAAGAAAUACAAAGACGAUAUCAGGACAAGGGAUACCCAGAUCAAGAGUGUUCAGGAUACCCUCAAUGAACUCACUGAGUCCUCAACUUCAGCUGCCAACCUCGCCAACUCUACCAUCACAGGUCUCCAGUCUGAGCUUGAGGGCGAGAAAGCCUCCAAAUCCAAGGAGCUGAGCGAUGCAUACCGCCUUGGGUUCUCGGAAUAUCUUACCAAUUUCUUGGCUGCGGAUCUUGACUACGACUGGACGAUGUUCUUCGCCCCUUCUACUCUUGCUUUCAUGGCGGGCUUCAAAGAGGCUAAUGCUACCACCAUUGAGAAGGCGAGGAAGGAUCUUGAGGCGAAGAUCCUUUCAGAGAAGGAAGCGUUGGCCAAGGGAGGUGGCGAGACCACACAGGGCGAGGCAGGGGAAAAGGGCGACGGUGAGGCCAUCACCACUGAGCCGCAGAAAGAAUGAACUUUUUAUGUUGAACAACCCUAAAUACAUUUGGAGUGCGAGCCCACCGUAAUUGGCUUCGCAGUUGUAUUUGAAUUAAACUUUUUGUUGUUGUCUGCUUCGUAUUUUUAAUAUAUCUUGCUUCAUCGUCUUCGCCAUGUCUUAAUAACUUUUGUAUCUCCUUGCACCUCAAGGGUUCAUCCUUCCCUUGACCACUCAUCUUUAAGAUAGCUGCACAGGGCGAGGAUCCAUCCUCGGGCGAGGCUCUUAGCCUCUUAUUUUUAUUCUUCCUUGUAUGCUCAUAAAUGAAAACGAGGAUUCACCCCUCCCUUGACCACUCAUCAUUAAGAUAGCUGCACAGGGCGAGGUCUCUGAAUCAGGCGAGGACUCUUCUUGUCCUUGGUUGCUUUCCUACGUUCAAGAUAGACAGAUAUGUCGAGGACCUUGAUGGGGUGCGGACUUCAAUUUUCUUUCUCGUGAAAUCUAAGAGGGCGAAUACUGCCCUUCCCCUUGUUUACUUUCAUUCUCACUUCACGCAUCUCCCAUAUCCGAGUGUCCUCGUCCUCGCCUUUAGCAAAAGGUGAAGUUCUCCCUUGUGCUCAUAUGCAGUCGCCGUCCUUAUGCAUUCGAACAUUGCUUCGCUAGCAUUCAGAGCGAGGACCCUUUAAUAGGCGAGGACUGUGCCUCUGGUCCUUGCGUCUUAUUCUUGCUCACUUACUUCGUCUUUCCCCUCGUCCUCGCCUGUAGCAGGGGGCGAGGUUCUUCUUCUUUGUUUAAAAGCUUCUGGUCGGCUUCUCUUGAAGAGUCGUGACCUUUCGUUGAAAACGAGUUCAGAAUAAAAAGUUCAGACGUACCUCCUCUGGGACAGUAGGGAAAUCAUCUACUUAAAUCCCAGGCAUCUAGGACAGUAGGUACAUCAUCCACAUAAAUCCUAGGCAUCCAAGUAGGUGGGUCGUCGCCCUCCACCACACUUGGGAACGAACAACCUCUGGAACAGUAAGGAAAUCAUCCACUUAGAUUCCAGGCAUCUAGGACAGUAGGGACAUCAUCUACUUAAAUCCUAGGCAUCCAAGUAGGUGGGUCGUCGCCCUCCACCACACUUGGGGACGAACAACCUCCGGGAUAGUAGGGAAAUCAUCUACUUAAAUCCUAGGCAUCCAAGUAGGUGGGUCGUCGCCCUCCACCACACUUGGGGACGAACAACCUCCGGGAUAGUAGGGAAAUCAUCCACUUAAAUCCCAGGCAUCUAGGACAGUAGGGACAUCAUCCACUUAGAUCCUAGGCAUCCAAGUAGGUGGGUCGUUGCCCUCCACCACACUUGGGGAAAAACAACCUCCGGGACAGUAGGGAAAUCAUCUACUUAAAUCCCAGGCAUCUAGGACAGUAGGGACCAUCAUCCACUUAAAUCCUAGGCAUCCAAGUAGGUGGGUCGUUGCCCUCCACCACACUUGGGAAACAUAAACCUCUGGGACAGUAGGGAGAUCAUCCACUUAGAUCCUAGGCAUCCAAGUAGGUGGGUCGUCGCCCUCCACCACACUUGGGAAACAUAAACCUCUGGGACAGUAGGGACAUCAUCCACUUAGAUCCCAGGCAUCCAAGUAGGUGGGUCGUCGCUCUCCACCGCACUUGGGGACGAACAACCUCCGGGACAGUAGGGAAAUCAUCUACUUAAAUCCCAGGCAUCUAGGAUAGUAGGGACAACAUUCACUUAAAUCCUAGGCAUCCAAGUAGGUGGGUCGUCGCCCUCCACCACACUUGGGAACAUAAACCUCUGGGACAGUAGGGACAUCAUCCACUUAGAUCCUAGGCAUCCAAGUAGGUGGGUCGUCGCUCUCCACCGCACUUGGGGACGAUCAACCUCCGGGACAGUAGGGAAAUCAUCUACUUAAAUCCCAGGCAUCUAGGACAGUAGGGACAACAUUCACUUAAAUCCUAGGCAUCCAAGUAGGUGGGUCGUCGCUCUCCACCGCACUUGGGGACGAUCAACCUCCGGGACAGUAGGGAAAUCAUCUACUUAAAUCCCAGGCAUCUAGGACAGUAGGGACAACAUUCACUUAAAUCCUAGGCAUCCAAGUAGGUGGGUCGUCGCUCUCCACCGCACUUGGGGACGAUCAACCUCCGGGACAGUAGGGAAAUCAUCUACUUAAAUCCCAGGCAUCUAGGACAGUAGGGACAACAUUCACUUAAAUCCUAGGCAUCCAAGUAGGUGGGUCGUCGCUCUCCACCGCACUUGGGGACGAUCAACCUCCGGGACAGUAGGGAAAUCAUCUACUUAAAUCCCAGGCAUCUAGGACAGUAGGGACAACAUUCACUUAAAUCCUAGGCAUCCAAGUAGGUGGGUCGUCGCCCUCCACCACACUUGGGAACAUAAACCUCUGGGACAGUAGGGACAUCAUCCACUUAGAUCCUAGGCAUCCAAGUAGGUGGGUCGUCGCCCUCCACCACACUUGGGGACGAACAACCUCUGGGACAGUAGGGAAAUCAUCUACUUAAAUCCCAGGCAUCUAGGACAGUAGGGACAUCAUCCACUUAAAUCCUAGGCAUCCAAGUAGGUGGGUCGUCGCCCUCCACCGCACUUGGGGACGAUCAACCUCCGGGACAGUAGGGAAAUCAUCUACUUAAAUCCCAGGCAUCUAGGACAGUAGGGACAUCAUCCACUUAAAUCCUAGGCAUCCAAGUAGGUGGGUCGUCGCCCUCCACCACACUUGGGGAACAUAAACCUCUGGGACAGUAGGGACAUCAUCCACUUAGAUCCUAGGCAUCCAAGUAGGUGGGUCGUCGCCCUCCACCACACUUGGGGAACAUAAACCUCUGGGACAGUAGGGACAUCAUCCACUUAGAUCCUAGGCAUCCAAGUAGGUGGGUCGUCGCCCUCCACCACACUUGGGGAACAUAAACCUCUGGGACAGUAGGGACAUCAUCCACUUAGAUCCUAGGCAUCCAAGUAGGUGGGUCGUCGCCCUCCACCACACUUGGGGAACAUAAACCUCUGGGACAGUAGGGACAUCAUCCACUUAGAUCCUAGGCAUCCAAGUAGGUGGGUCGUAGCCCUCCACCACACUUGGGGAAAAACAACCUCUGGAACAGUAGGGAAAUCAUCCACUUAGAUUCCAGGCAUCCAAGUAGGUGGGUCGUCGCCCUCCACCACACUUGGGGAACAUAAACCUCUGGGACAGUAGGGACAUCAUCCACUUAGAUCCCAGGCAUCCAAGUAGGUGGGUCGUCGCCCUCCACCGCACUUGGGGACGAACAACCUCCGGGACAGUAGGGAAAUCAUCUACUUAAAUCCCAGGCAUCCAAGUAGGUGGGUCGUCGCCCUCCACCACACUUGGGGAACAUGAAUAAAAAAUAUUUUCGAAUAAAAACUCCAACCCCUGAGGGUUUUCCAAAGCUGCACCCCUGAGGGUCUUCCUGAUGGUUUACCGGAAGUACGGGCCACCAGGGCAUAGGAAUUCUUUCGAACCAUCUUAUGAAGAUGGUUGUCCAGGCAUCCCGAGGGUGUCAAACAUGUGCCUCGAUUACACAUGAAGACGAAUUCCAAAGCAGCAGGGAGGUUGUCCCUGGUCUUCACGCUCCAAACAAGACACAAAUAUAUAGAUUCGAAAAAAGAUAUACAAAAGGUUCUAAAUUUGUUGUUAAUAGCAUGCUUACAUGAUAGUGUGGUCGGAGGGAACGUACCAUUGCUACCCCCGAGUCUUGGGAGUGAUCUUAUCGAUUCCAGGACUGUUACGCAAAUAUCAAAACAGAAAAUAUAACCACAAAUUUAGAGAAGGAGAAUAUGAACUUUCCUGAUAAUAAUUCUGAUGUCCAGCGUUCCAUGUCCUCAGAAUAUCCUUUCCUUCAAGAUGUUCCUGAUAGCUGGUUCCGGACGUCAAGAGAGGUGACGGUAGCUGAUUGGUAGCCGGAGUCUCCGAGGUCUUCCUUCCCUUCCAUAGAUUGACAACGUCGUUCUUCAUCUCAUGUGACAUCCUUCCUCCAAUAGAUGUCAAAAAGCCCCUCCUUCUAGCGCCAAUUGUUAACGGAGGAAUCUGGUGAUAACAAGAUUCGGGGAGGGUUGCUGGAAUUAGUGGUGGUUGAUAACGGUGGACGACGGAGUAGGGGUGUUGAUUUUGGGUUUGGCUGAGAUCGUUCGAGGAAUCGGGGUUUCUCACAAGAUCGAAGGAGUAUUCGCUCUUGCAAGGGUUGUGACUUAUCCCCAAACGAUGUGCCUACGUACCCUAUUUAUAGGGAUCAAGCCAGACGUAGUUCUUGGGGAACAAGUAACCUAAUCAGAAUAGGUUUCUCAUUCCUUGGUUCCAGCGAUGGGCCACCGCCUUAGAUCAGACGGACGUGGGCUUCUGGAGCCCAGCCUCCUCCGAGGAGCAUGGAACUAGGUGGGCUGACCAGCACUAGCCCACGUGGACCUCCUCAGACUCAGCUGUAUGGGCUAGCCCUCCGUCCUCUUUUAGGGCGAGGCUGAUGGUGGGCCUGGGCCCAAGAUAAAACAAUAAUAAUCAGGCCUGAGAANNNNNNNNNNNNNNNNNNNNNNNNNNNNNNNNNNNNNNNNNNNNNNNNNNNNNNNNNNNNNNNNNNNNNNNNNNNNNNNNNNNNNNNNNNNNNNNNNNNNNNNNNNNNNNNNNNNNNNNNNNNNNNNNNNNNNNNNNNNNNNNNNNNNNNNNNNNNNNNNNNNNNNNNNNNNNNNNNNNNNNNNNNNNNNNNNNNNNNNNNNNNNNNNNNNNNNNNNNNNNNNNNNNNNNNNNNNNNNNNNNNNNNNNNNNNNNNNNNNNNNNNNNNNNNNNNNNNNNNNNNNNNNNNNNNNNNNNNNNNNNNNNNNNNNNNNNNNNNNNNNNNNNNNNNNNNNNNNNNNNNNNNNNNNNNNNNNNNNNNNNNNNNNNNNNNNNNNNNNNNNNNNNNNNNNNNNNNNNNNNNNNNNNNNNNNNNNNNNNNNNNNNNNNNNNNNNNNNUGGUCAGAGUAGUCCAUGGGCGCCCCCCAGCACAGCAGUAGCAGGGCACUCCGAGGCCGAGGAGCAACCUCAGGAUGAGCAUCGACAGCAGCCACCUAGAGCUGCGAAGGGAAAGGGUCGAAGAUAUCACACUGGAAGCCACAUCUUCGGCCAUAAGAAGAAGUAGGAUUUCCCUCGUAUGUAGUUUGUUUAUGGUUAUGUACCUGACCAUGUACUCGUACGUUUUUAUUUCUUGAUCUGAUUAUGUACUCUUAGUCUAGUAGAUCGGUUGUUACGUUAUUAUGCAGUUCUUGUGCUUUUCUUCAUUCUUAUGUCAUAAUGUUUUAUAAUGAUUCAAGCAUUGAAAUUCAUAAGGACAAUAAAGGAAACCUAACAUAACAUAAUAAACGACAGAACACUAAAACACAUACACAUGUUGAUCUUUCUCGAAACCAGUAAAACUGACUUUAUUUGGACUAAACUUUACAUAUAUCAAAUAACUGAAAAAAAUAAUAUAAAAUUUGAAUUACUUGAACAACAAAAGUUGAGACAUUACAUAUAAGAUACAAUACAUAUAGUAAUGGGGGUGAUCUUGUGGAGAAAAUACCUAACUCAAAGGGAUUUCUUCAAAGAAUUUGAGAUGGGUCAGAGCUUCAAGAAUCUGUGUACUCUGCUUUUACAAGUACAAAGUGGGAAAAAGUGAGACAUAAAUAAAAAUUUGGUUUAAGAAUCGUGUGACUUUUGAGAUGUACCCACUAUAGGUAAACGGCAUUCUAUUUAGAUAUUGUUUGUUCGAAUUUUCCUUUUUUAUGUAUUUUGUUUACUUAUUAUCGGUAAUUACCAAGUCCUUGGAACCUUCAAAACAGAUAGAGGUUUUAUUAUAUUUGUCAAAAGAAAAGUUUUAUUAUUUGUUUUCGAUCUAUUUGUACUUAACUCUAAUAACUAAAUAUAUAGAUAAUUUUUAGUAAUUAAAAAUAGAAUAAAAACAGAUAGACUAACAUGUAUAUGUACUUAAUUUCAUAUUAAUAUUUUGAAGAUAUUAGCAUAGAAUGAUAAAUAUACAUUUCUACUACCCAUUUAUAAAAGAAAUAUUAUAAAAUAUAAAUCUUUACGCAAAAAGAUAAUUAAUCAGUUAAUAAGAUUUAAUCAAAUCAAUAUACUGUAAGAAAACAUUCUUAUGCAAAAUUUAAAAUUACUUUUUAAUUUCAAAUUUUAAAAAAUUUCCCGAUUAAUCCGCGACCGAACAACGAUUAAUCGGCGAUUAAUCCCGAUUAAUCGCCGACUUUUAGAACGCUGGUGCUAAGAUAUAUAUUAUUUCAUGUUAUUAAUUAUAUUUAUUUCACAAAACAAAUAAAAUUUGAUUUUAAAUAAAAUAUUUAAUACAGUAAAAAAGUAAUUGCGUAUACAAUUGUUGGAAAAAAGGUCGGGUAGGGGACGCCCCUGUGGAGGGCGACCUGCCCACGGAGAAAAUCAAUGGGGGUCGCCCUCGUCAGGGGCGACCGGCCCUGGGGAAAUUUCAUGCAUGGGUCGCCCGACUUCGAAUGAAUUAGGCUGGUUAGUUUUGAAAAGUUGAACGUAGGCUAGUUAGUUUUGAAAACUUUACAUUCAGACUGGUUAGAAAUGUAAGGGAGCCGAAUUUGCGAUGUGAAGCAACUGUCAGAUAUUUUAUAAUGGAUCUUUGUCGUAAUAUGUCAUACUCUAGUCAGCAACAAUGAAAUGUUGUGAAGUUAAUUUCCAUCUCCCAUUUAUCUAUACUGUUGAAAAUAAGUGUUUUUAACUAAUAAAUCUAAAAGUCGGGCCAAAUACGUCCCUCAUCAAUUACAACGACGAUAGGUAGGUUAGUUGUUGGUCUCUAGCUAUAUAAGCUUGGGACUAACUCAAAACAACAUACUCCCAUCUUAAUUGGCUUGAUGUUUAUUGCGCGAAUCUUGCAUUCCAAAGACUUAAAUCUACAUGCAUGCGACUCAAAUUAAGCUUUUGAAAGCUUACAAAUUUGAAACGCAAGACAGUAUCAGUCGUACAGUUCUUCAUACAUUUUCCUUCGUUCUAAUUAAAGCUGAUAAGUAUAUUUAUAUUUAAAUAAAAAUUUAGAAUAGUCUACUUAUAAGCUGUUCAUUAUUCAGUUUGUUAAGUAUAUUCUUUUUUAUGUCGAUGCUCCCUCCAUUUCAUAUUAAUUAUACAUUUUUGAAUUUUGAUUUUUGACUCGUAAAUUGAUCAAAAAUUAUUAGUUAUUCUUAUAAAGUUAUAUAAUCUGAAAAUUAUAUUUUAAAAUAGAUAAAUAUACUUUUUACGGAUAUUAUCUUAUGAAUUUUUAUGGAUUUGACCUUAAAAAUGGAUAAGUAAUCUGACACUCAUGUCCCAUAUUGCAUGUCCCUCUCUUCUUUCAACACAAAUUUAUCUUUAUAUUUAUAGUGAUUUUUUUGAAACUCAAUUCUCAUUUUUCAAUUCACUAAAUUUUUAUAUUUAUUGUAGUUUUUUUGAAACUCAACUCUAUUCUCACUUUUCAAUAUACUAAUAAAUGAUAUAUAAGAUAAGAUCAUAUUUAACCAACUCUUUUUUUUUUUUUGAAACCAACCAACUCUUUUCUUAAUAUGCCAGUUAUAAAUUGAGACGGAGGCGGUAUAUAACUUUCAUUCAUAUUAAAAUAUGAAAACUAGAAUUUUUUGUUAUUUGAAUUUGGCCAAGUCUUAAGUAACUAUUUUGGAUUUCUGGUCACUGAAGUCUGAACACGUUAACAGUCUAAGUAAAAUAAUGGCCUGCCUGUGGCUCUGCAUGAAUGAAUGAUACCUAGAGUCAAUAGUCCUAAGCAAAAAAUUUUAACUAGAAUUCUAGUACUGCAUAUACUUAAUGAAAUUGGUUCUCAUUCUUUUAUAAAAAUUAGUAAUGGCUUUGCAUAGGUUAGAGCAUAUCCUGGAGACCAGCUGGAAGCUCUCUGGCAUGCUAAUUAUCUCUGGCAUGAUAAUAAUUUCUCUCCUACUCAUCCAUUAAUUUUCUCUUUCUGAGAUUCAUAUAUUAACAAAAUAUAAAAUAAGAAAGGAGUACUAUGGAAAAAUAUUGUUGUAGUUAAUACUUAUAUAUAUCAAUUUUAAAAAUCAUAUAUUUUAUAUUAUAUCUAAGAGGCCGACGUUAAGUUGUUGCAUGAUGAAUAUACUCCUUAUUUGAGUGCUUUCCUCUCAGGAAACAUGAAAGAACGAAAAAAAGAAUUCCUGACAUGAGAUAAUAAAACAUGCUAGGCUAUUGAAGUGGUAUAGUAUUGCAUGCAGGCUGGGCUGCGGCAGUGCUGUUAGCCUGUUUGGCAAAGCUAUGCACUAUUCUACACAUAUAUUCAGAUCUAUGCACUAAAAGUAGGACUAGUUCUUUAGUAAAGCACAUGAUCAGUCACCUGACUCGCCCCACUGGUAAGGGAAACAUCUUAUCACGUGAAGGUGCAGUUGUGCAUAUAAUAUUUCGUCUCCAAGAGUGUGACACACGACGGAAUCAUAUUUCGUCUGAGCUUAAAAUAUUUAUAAAAAUCUCUUUUAUAUAAAUUCUGAUUUUUAGUUAGAAAUGAAGACAUUUAUAUCUAAUUGUAAUUUUAGUAAUCAUGAUUCUACCGGAGAUGUAGACAAUGCAUUUUUCUUUACAAGUGUAUUUGUCUUUAAUAUAAAUACAGAUAUUUUUUGAAUUAACAUUACUCAUGCCGGGAUUAUUUAUGUCAUGGAAUUUGGGAUACGUAACAUUACUCUUUAUAUAAUCUCUCGGUUAGGAUUAUAGCAAGAUUUAAUACAUACGGUACUUUUUAACUGCAGUACGGAGAUUCAUCUAGCGCUUUUUAAACGCUGGGCGUGGUCUUUUCCGUAUGCAUCAGUUAAAAAGAACUAUAUAUAUUAAAAUUAUGUUAUAUAACAUAGUUUUAAUAUAACAGAUCUCUAGCAAUUGUAUAUUAGGAACCAUUACCAAAAAAACAUAUCGCGCAGUUCUGUUGGUAACGCUUAGAUCCAGAAAUCUGUUUUUCUGGAUCAUGAGCAUUCAAGUAUAUAUCUUUAUAUUUUGGAGCCCUGCCAAUUCUUGCUUGCGGUAACUCCUGCUGCUGUUGAGCACCUGUACAGCGACUGUACCAUAAUAAAAAAAUGGAUUUUAUAUGGACAUGCACUAAUAAUCAUUUUUUAGUUAGAUGUCUGAUUUUAUUGAUUUUAAUUUCAUCAAUAAUAAUGGUCCAUACCAAAAUUUUCACUAAUCAAAAUCUUCCAUAAAAAAUAGUUGUUGGUGUCUUUUUAUGACCGCACAUCAAAAAGACUUAUAAAAAAACAAUUAUGACUUUAUGAAGCUGCAAGGCUUUCAUUUGAAAAUUAAUCAGUAACUUGAGUGAUGUAUAUAACAAGGCAGACCUUGUCAUGAGGUUUUUGAUGAGAUAGGACUCGAGAGAUGUUUUCUCUUCCAGGCUUAAAAGCAUUAUCACUUUGCUCUGUGGCACCACAGACAUCAGUACCUAAUAAUUAAGAAUAAGAUGGAACACCUAACACCUGCCAAAACUUGUUCUUCAUCAAUAUGAAAGACUUUGCAAGUUAGAAUAAGAUUAACAAGUGGUGCAAAAAUAAAUUCCAAGAUAACAAUAUUAGCUUAUACACAGUGUUUUUUGUAGCUUUGCUCAGAGGUUUUCAUUUUUACUUUGUUCCUGAGUAAGGUAGAAGAAGCCCAUGACAAUUGAGGUCUUGUAUUUUUUUACUCGUCGAAUGCCCAGUAAUUGUUAAACUAAUGUCUGUUUCCUGAUUCAAGAGACUGAAAUUUAAAGGAAGGGAGGGAGUGGAUGAUAAUAAACGGAGGAAUGUAGCUGUAACGUGUAGAUUUUUGGUAUCGACUCCUAGUCCAGACACACACUAUGACCAAAAUUGUGCUACCAUUGCUUUCAUCCCUUUGUGAUGAGUUUCCAUGCUUGAAUUGCCUUUCGUGAUCAUCUCCUUGGCCCGAAGAAACUAUCUGGACAGGCAUGAAUGAGGUACAGACACAAGGUCUCACAGAACCUUAUUUGCUUCCGGUCAGCAAUUUGGCAGGACAGUAGUCAAUUGCAUUUGAAAGCAAAUAUUCUCUCGGUCUCAAUUAUGUUGUCUUGUUUGACUUUUUGUGGUCAAAUUGACUUGUUUGACCCUUCUUCUGUUUUUCGAUACUGAAAUUCAGUCGUGCAAGUGGAAGAACCUAUAAAUGCAACAGAUGAACUAGUCCUAAGAAACAUAAAUAAUAUUACACACACGUAGAUGAGAUCUACUGCAACUUUCAGCAGGUAUAUUUGGAAAGAAUUCAGAUUCUAGAGAGUGCAGAAGUUUUUUGGCUUCUUCGGAAAAGGAUGAAAAUUUUGAUGUUUUGUGCAAGUAAGAUCAUGAAACAAAAACGCUCACCUAGUCACCUGAGCUUCCUCAAAAUGAAAAUGCUUCUCUAUUGCGCAUUUGCGCCCACUUUGCAUGGGAACACAACUUCGCAUAAAGUUCAGCAGAAGAUGAGUUGGUUCCAGCAUUUUUAAUACUUCUAAUUAAGCAUCUUAACUUCUCGAAUCACUUUCUUCUUCUGCAUGCUCCUGGACAAAAAUAAAUUCUGCAUCAACAGCCGGGAAUAUGACCUUAUCCUCGGCAAUGCUGCAUUCAAGGUGAAGGCGGUAGCUCAUAAAAAACGGAUGAAGUAAAACAAUUUGAAAGGUUAGGAACUAACACAUAAAUGUGCAAUGACUAAAAAGAAGAAGAAGAAUAACAGUUUAAGACAAACCAAGUAAAUAUUUCUGAAAGAUGAAGCACUACAUGCAGAACAUUUUUCAGCUAGCUGCAGACAUUCAACAAUUACUAUGAAAACUGCAACUUAAAGAAAAUUAUCUUCUCAAUACAAAGACUGUCAAUAUGAGCAAACCAGACAGGAAUGAGUUGAUUCUCCAUUUACCAAAACUUCAGAUGAAAAUUGGAAUUAGGCGCAGAAGAACGAAGAAAAAUUAUACAAAGGCAUACCAGUGGAAAAUACAACUUCAGCAAUAAAUUGCAGCCUCUUUUUAAAUGUGGAUAUAUCAGAAAAAUCUCCGGAUCACGCUGCAAAAACACUAUGUAUAACAAUAUUACAUUUCCCUCAACAGGAUCAAAUUCUUAAUAUCGAUAGAAUUCAUCGGUUACUGUAAUUUCAGGUUUCGUGUUUUAUGUAUGUCCCAAGCUCACAGAAGGAAUAAACUUCUCUGAAAAUGUUUAUCUUUAAUUCGACAGGAUACUAAUAUUACAUUUACAAAUAAUCGCGAUCAAUAAAACGGAAUAUAACAAACACGAAAGCAAAUAACACGACAAUACGUUAAAUUACAGUUCCAUCAAGAGAAAUAUUAACUGUAGCUGUUUUCUAUUACACGAUUUUCACGUGUCAUUCUGGAUUAUAGUUUUGGAUAAAUUUUUUUACAGGAAUUUAUUUUUAUAUAUUAUCGACAAAGACUAUUGGAUUAAUCAUACAGAAAUAAAAUCUACGAGGGUAGUGAGGCCCGUGUCUAGAACUUGUAGUCUUUGACAAGUAGGAUUAGAAGUGAAUUAAAGAAUGUGUAAAAUGAUUUAGUGCAAAGUCAAAUAGAAUCUUAGCCAGGACAAGCUGGAAAAAACUAACGCUAGCUUCAACAAUUUGACUAAUUCAAGCUUGACAACACUAAAAAAUACUGGAUGGUUAUUUGCUCCGGGAAAGUGGUAUCACAGUUUAAUUGUUAUUCUGUAGCUCAAUAAAUUAUCGGAUAUUCAAUUAAUCAUCCGAUUGAUCUGUUUAUUUCCUUUUUUUUUUUGUUUUUACCGGUUAAUUUUGAUUCACAUUUUUUAUAAUAUUACUUAUAGGCGACAAAUGUUUGAAUGCAUGAAUUCCUUUUUUUUCGUUUGGGGUGACUUAAAAACUUGUCGAUAUUAAUAUGUAAAAUUUUCGGAUAUUCAAUUAAUCAUCCGAUUGAUCUGUUUAUUUCUUCUUCUUCUUUUUUUGUGUUUUUACCGGUUGAUUUUGAUUCACAUUUUUUAUAAUACUACUUAUAGGCGACAAAUGUUUGAAUGCAUGAUUUCCCUUUUUUUCGUUUGGGAUGACUUAAAAACUUGUCGAUAUUAAUAUGUAAAAUUUUGUAUUGCCGAAACGAAGUUAUGAAAGGGGUUUAAAUCAUUUUGCAGCUUGAGUGCUUGACUAGUACAAAACUCUGUGAAAUUCCCUCUUUAGUGUUCAUACUUGCAGCUAGGGUCGGUUGCUAUUAACAUCAGAAGAUGUAUAAUUGGUGGGCGAUCCUUGGCUAAAAGGACCGGUAUAAAUUUUAAAGCACUUUGAACCCUUCAAAAUUCUUAACUCUAUAGAUUAUCAAAUCGAGUGUAUCACAGUGUGAUUCUUCAUUUAUUUAUUUAUUUUAUAUUAUCAUUAUUAUUUUAGUGAAAAUUUUUAUGAAGACCACUAUUUUAUCAGAAACCUUGAAGACCACUUAUAUUCAGUAAUUAAAACACUACAAAAUUUGUUGUUUUGCGAAGUACAUUUUAUAAAUAUCACUAUUUCAUUGAAAAUGUUGAAAAUUAUUUAUACUAAACAAGCAGCAAGAUCUCUGCACACUGAACAUGGUUUUGUAAAAUAAUAUAUUUUUUAAUGUUUUAUUUGCCAAAUGUAUAAAAUUUGCAAGAUUGUCAAUAAAAUAAUGAUCAUUGUAGAAUAUGAUUCGGAAAAUAAUACGUUUUGCAAUGUGUUUACGGAGUAUUUUAGUUGCAGUAUGUAAGUGGUCUCCAAUGAGAAAAUGGUCUCCAUAGAACUUAUCCCGUUUAUUUUAUUAUUAAUAUUUCUGUGUGAUUAUGUUGGGUUUUUUUUAUUCAUAACCAAGUUUUCAGUUUUAUUUUUAAAAAUACUAUCUUCUCCAAUCUUAUUUUCAAAAAUACUACCUUCUCUAAAAUAUUUUCAAAAAUACGGUGGUUGCAUAUGCAAUCACUGUAUUUUUGGAAAAUAUUUUCAAAAAAAAUAGUAUAUUUGAAAGAUUUUAGAAAAAUAAUAUUUUUGAAAAUAUAAUUGAAGAAUGUAGUAUUUUUAAAAAUAAGAUUGAAAAAACAGUAUACAAAGACUAAUUUCCCUUAUGUUUAUUGAUCAGAAAUGUAGGGGCCCAAUCUGAAGUCUGAACCCAACCGAACCCCACGAAAAUUGAAAACUGAAAUGACUAAAUUUUUAGAAUUGAACCGGAACUGUUAUUAUAAUGGAACCAGACCUUAAAUUAUAGUUAGAUUCGAGUUAAAUUGAAAAAACGAAAGAGUAAACUGCAAAACGUGUACCUGUACUUUGACCGUUAUGGAAUUUGUGUACCUGCAGUUACAAAAAAGCAAUUUGUGUACCUAAGCUUUCCAAAAUACAGCAUUUUGUGUACUGCCGUUAGUUUUAGACUUAACACCGUAAGGGUAGUAAAGUAAUUGCAGCAGCCACACAAAAAAAACCCCAACGGGCUGAUCCAUGUAACCGUUAGUACUGCUUAAAUCCCUAAAAACUAAAGCUGCUGGUUGAGCUUGAAGAGCAUGGAGAGAGGAGGAAUUCAAAAAUGCGAUUGUGGUGAAUGGGUUGUUCAACGAGUUGCUUGGACCGAGCUUAAUGCUGGGCGAAGAUUCUUUGGCUGCGUGAAUGGUAGGAAUGGUUGUAACUACUUCCGCUGGUUUGAUCCUCCUGUUUGUGACAAUGCACGUGGAAUUAUUUGUGGCUUGCUGCGUCGCAUUAAGGAGCACGAAAAUGAGAUUGAGCGUUUGAAGGCGGUGCACAAGAAUGAACUGCAGGUUUUGAAGAGAAGAAGCAAAUGGUUCAAAUCUGUUGUGUUUGUUGUUGUGUUCAUCUUUGCUUAUUUAAUGUUGUAGUUCUGUUAGAUGUUGUAAGAAUGUUGUAGUUGUUUUGCUAUUAUGAGAUCAUGUAAUGACAUUUUCAUGGAGCUAUAUAUAAGAUCAUUCUCAUGGGAUUAAUAUCAUUAAAAGCAUUACAAGAUAAGUGGAUAGAUAGAUAGAUAAACAACUGAUUAAACACAUUGAAAAUGAACUUAACAACACCCCUGCCAGCCCCAACCACCCCUACAUCUCUGCUGCCAAAACACCCCUGAUAGCACUUGGAGGCUCCGCCAUUGAAUUGACCCCCCCCCCCCCCCCUCANNNNNNNNNNNNNNNNNNNNNNNNNNNNNNNNNNNNNNNNNNNNNNNNNNNNNNNNNNNNNNNNNNNNNCAUCCUCAGCAGCUAGGCAAUGCUCUGCCAGUGCAGAAGCAGCAACAUUUGCAGUAGGGGAGAUAUGGCAGACAUGAAGAUCAUUCCAACUCUCACUCAAGAGAGCCCUGAUCAUAGUCACCAAAUCUGCCAUAAGAAAGUCGGGGUCAUCAUUCAUGAUGUGGUUCAGGGCUUCUGCAGACUCACACUCGAGCACUGCUCGAGUUUUCUCCUUCUCCCAAGCCUCUUUGAGGCCAUAAAAAACCCCCCACAGCUCAGCACUGAUUGGAUCAGCCAAGCCUAUCAUCCCCCCACAGCCCCCUUCCCAAGCUCCAGAGCUGAUCCUGAUAACACAGCCCACAGAAGCCUUCAUCUGAGCCCUGUUGAAAACACCCCUGACAUUGAUCUUGUAGUAAUUUGAGACUGGCUUCUUCCAUGAGGCCAUUGUUUGCAGUGUUUGUUUUUGUGUGUGUGUGUGUGUGCUAAGCUGGAAUGUGUUGGUCGAGUGUGUAUGUGUGAGGCCUGGGUGCAUCAAUUUAUAGUAGAGUUUGUAUGUGCUACAUGAGUAGUGGGGGUGGUUGUCUGGUAUUAAUGCAUGCCUCAAAGUAAUAGGGCUUGCAAGUUACAAAGCUAUUGACCAUGACCCUGACUGAGAUGACCAAUGCAUGCAACUGAAGCUUUAAAUGAAGCAAGAAAUUAAGAAUUGAGAGCUUUGAAACUGUUAAAUACUUUAAUAAGCUUAAUAGAGUUAAGAGUUAAUUACAAAAGAAGUAAUUCCUUGUAUUGAAACUGCAUCUAAAGUAAUAAUAUUAGAUUUUCAUGUAGUAGAAAAUCUAAUCAAAAAUACAGUGCCUAAACCAAGGAAUACUUAAUAGUUAUUUCACAUUUCAGUGACAAAAAUAAGGAACAAUUCUAAAUCAGUGCUUCUUGAAAAUCUUUGCCUCCCUUGCAUUCCUUGCAAUUUCAAGUUCUUUGAUGCUAGUUGUCUGCCUCCCUCCACUGCAGAAUUGCUGAGGUUGUAUGCCCAAUGGUGUGUUAAGCUUCAUUGUUGGUUGACUUUGUGAUUUGAAAAUACCCCCUUGACUAGUGCCUUGGUCCUUCAUUGGCUGUGUAGUAUGGCUAGUGGUGGAACUUGCAUUGGUUGCUGCAACUGGUGUUGUCUCCAUUAAUUUCUUGGGCUGCUUAACAUGUUUGACCCUAGACUUCUUGUCAACUUUAGGUCCUUGAGAAUCUCCACUUGCCUUAUCAGCUUUCUAGUCUCACAGGAAAAUAAAGAUUUUAACAUUAGAGUAGGACAUGAAUUAACAAAGAAUAACAUGAAAAAUUAACAAAGAAUAACAUAAAAAAUUAACAAAGAAUUAACCUUUGCAGGACAUGUUCUGGCAUUGUGUUCUUUCUCCUUACAGUAGCUGCAAUGCAAUGUGGUAUUCCUCCUUUUAAGUUUGCUUGUAUCAGCAUUGGCAGUUGAUGGAACAUCAUUUUUUUUUGUUCCUUUUUUUCUUUGGUCUACCAGGUUGCACUCUCAAAUGAGGAGGUAAUGGUGCUGGAUAUGGUGUGAUCUGCCAAUAUUGUUCACUAUUUAUUGGCUUAACUGUGUGUGAAUAUGUGCUUAAAACAUAUCCUUUGAAUAACACUUGUGAAUAUAGUCAGCCAUUUGGAGAUUUUUCCACUUUAUGCAGGCACAUGCAUGAAAGCAUGGCAAGCCAGUGAGGUCCCAUUUUCUGCAUGCACAAGAUUUGGAGUCUAAGUCUACUACAAUCUCAUGGCCUCCAUCAGUCAUUGUGCACAAAUAUUUACUAUCUCCACUCCACUGAACAAUGCAACCUCCACUAAAACCUAUUGCCCUAUAUAUAAGCAUUUAAAAAAUUAGGACAAAUAACAAUUUGUGCUAAUUAAAUAAGUAAAAUGUCAACUUACUUGCUAACUUUUCUCAUGGCAUUAGGACACACAGGAUUAAGUGCAUAACUCUGCAACAUCUUGUCCCUCCUAACCAGAAUUCUCUUCAUCACACCCUUAUGAAUUCCUUGCAGUAAUCCAAUAACUGGUAGGUCCCUAAACUGUCCAAUACUAUUGUUGAAAACCUCACAAUGGUUGUUCACAAACAUGUCACACUGACUUGUUGUCAAAAAGGCAGACCUGGACCCCUGUGUCCUAGGUUUCUCCAUGAGCCAGUCAUAACAUUUUUUUGAUAACUACAAGUAUUAACAAGCAUUUCUGUAUCAGCAAUUUAAAUGAUGAAAUAGUAUUAACAAGCAUUUCUGUAUCAACAAUUUAAAUGAUGAAAUAGUAUUAACAAGCAUUUCUGAAAUAGUAUUCACCUUCUUAAGUUCCUCCAUGUGUUUGUUGAACAUGUAUUCAGUUGUAGCUCUAGCUGCCAUCCAUAAUAGAGUCCUUAGCCCAAUUCCUUUAUGCUCUUUAUACAUGUUUCUGUACAAAUGCAUGACACAAAAUCUAUGCUCUGCAUUUGGGACCACAGUCAAGAGUGCAUUAAUUAACCCCUGCACAGAAGCAUGAAGGAAUUAGUCAUUUUGUAAUAAAAUAGUAAUGAUAGAUUUUGUUACUUAAAGAAACAUACCUUUUGUCUGUCUGAUAUAAAUGUCCAUGAGGCAGUAUUUCUUAUAUUGACAUCUACUGCUAGCAGCUCCAAAAACCAAUUCCAUGACUCUGAGUUUUCAGCCUCAACCACUGCCCAAGCAAUGGGAUACAUUCCAUCAUUAGAGUCAGUCCCCACAGCAGCCAACAAUUGUCCUCCAUAUGGGCCCUUAAGGUGGCAUCCAUCUAACCCAAUAAUAGGUCUACAACCAGCUAUGAAACCCUUCUUCACAGGACCUAGACUAAUAUAUAAUCUCUUAAACCUUCUUCUUUCUUCUCCAGGUUCUGCAUCUUCCAACACCAUUUCUAUUGUACUGUCAGGCAUUGCAGUUUUAACUUCAUUUAUAUAGUCCCACAGUAGAGCAUAUUGCAAAAUAUGAUUGCCCUUGAUUUUCUCCAAUGCCAUUCUUUUUGCUCUACCAACAAUGUCCAUGCUCACUUGACAUCUCCAAUCAUUCACUAUUUUUUUUUGAAGAGCUGGUAUUGGCCAAGUUGGAUUCAUUCUAAUAUCAUUUUUAUAAUGAUUUGCAAUCCAUCUUGAAGUCAUCUGUGAUUGCUUAAAUGUUUCACAACAACUGUGAGUCCUCAUGUAUGUCUUUAUUUGAUAUGUUCCUGAAUUCUGCAUAGGGGAUGCAUAGAUUUUCCACUUACAAGUAGGGGUUUCACAAAUAAAUUUCACUCUCACACCAAAAUUCCUCACUUGCUUGAUAGCCCUUCUCUGUCUAAUGGCCUGAUUUCUAACUGCAUUCCUAAAAGACAUAGCACUGCUAAACACCAUACCUGAUUCAAAUUUAGGAUCUUUCAUGUCAGUUGCCUCAUUAAAGGCAAUGUAUGUUGAUUCAUCAUCAUCAUCAGUACUAUUGGGUACCCACCUUUCUGUAUCACUGUCACCACAUUCACUCAAAUCAGAUAACACACCACCCUCUGUUUCUCCAGCCUCUCCUUCACCCUCUCCUUCAGCCUCCCCUUCCACAAAAUCUUCCUCAUCUGAGAAAUUAAAUGGUCUCUGACCAAAUUCUUUAGUUUGACUCAAAGGAUCACUUUUCUUCAUCUUUGCUCUAACUUCCUUAACAGCUGUAACAUCUUCAUCAGUGCUAUCAACAUUAGAGCUAUCAUCAUGAAAAGAUACAUUAUCAUCACCUUGUUUAUCAUGAUCUACUUGAAUUAUACUAUCCAAAUUCUCAUCAGCAGGAUCACUAAAGUCCACAAGAAUGCCUUCUAGCUCUAACAUUUGCUCUAUUUCUUCUUUAUCAUGCUUUGCAAGUUGAGGGUCACCUAAGAAAUCAAAGUUCAACCAAUUUGCAGGGACAUAAUUUUGAGCUUCUUGACUGAUUUGGUUGUUCAAACUGUACACAUACAUUACCCUACAUGAGUCCAGAUAAUUACACAUAUUCAUAACAUCUGCAUCAGAAGCCAUGGGGAAUAAGGCCUCUUCCAUUUUAGAGGAUGGAAGCUUGUAAAACAACUCCACAUUGUCACUGGUUUCACCACAUUCUUUGAACAUGCUCAAAAUCUCUAUGAGGCUAAUUUGAUCAACAUCACAGUAGUCCACAUAUCUUACUUGGCCUUCUACAUAGCUCUUGCGGUUUAGUUCAAAAUUACCCCCAAAUAUACACUUAAUGGUAAAUUUUUCAGGGGUUCCUGCAAGAUCAAGAAAUGGUCUAAACUUGCAUGUAAAAUACAUAAGAGUAAACAUUCUAGCAUCCUACCAUUCGGACCACUGAUCACAAGAUUUAGGUCAAAAAAAAUUCAUUUAAGCAUAACAAAACAUAUACCAAAUUGACAGCACCCAAACAUAUAAACUCAUACAUAUACAUACACACAAACAUAGACAUAAAAAAUCAAGAUAAAAGCAAGGAAUAAAGAGUUAGGGUUUUGAGUGAUAAACUCACUGCUGUAAUCAGGAGAUUCUUUUGGCAAGAACAGAAGAUGAUCAGCAAAAUCUCUUAACACCCAAGACAUGGUUACAUAAAACCUGGUAAUCAGCACUCGUCAAGCUCUCAUCAAGCACUCGUGUAGCACUCGUGUGUGUGUGUGUGUAAUGAAGGCGGGGUGUAAUAAAGGCGGGUGUGUGUAUGUAAAUUGGGCGCCAAGCUGUCCAACUUACACUUUAGCCACCAAGCUUUAACAAGCUUCACAAACAACUUAACUGAGGGUUAACGGCAGUUGACGGCUGGUACACAUGUUGCAGGAUUGCGGAAACGUUAGGUACACAAAUUGUAACUCGGCCACUUGAGGUACACACUUUGCAGUUUGGGCAAAGUACAGGUACACGUUUUGCAGUUUACUCAAAAUGAAAUAUACCUUUAAUUUUGAUUUUUCACGGUUUAUAUACUUUGAUCCAGCUUCUUAUGGACAGACAAACUCUUUAUUUUGUUUUAAUACAAUAAAAAAUUAAAAAUGUCACCUGCUCGAAAAUUUUAAUGCAAAAAAAAUUGCAACUGUCACAUGCACCAUAAUACAAAAAUUCAAUACGAUUCUUAAAAAUUAAAUUCUUAAAUAAUAUGUUGUUUUAUAUAUCACUCAAACGACCCAACUCUAUUUAUCCAAAUCCAACUAUAUUAUUUAUAUGAGCGGGCCUAUUUAUUAUAGUCCAGCCAUCAAAUAUUAUAAUAAUUUUAUUAAUAAUACUGUUUAUAUAGGUUUUCAAAUACUAGGAAUUUUAAAUAUUAAAAAACAGGAAAUAAAGGAGAACCGAAUUUUAUUGAUUUCAAGAACUGAACGAGGUCUACUUCAACUGGACCCUAAAUUUCGGUUCGGUAUCCGUAUGCUCACUCCUGGUCCGGAACCUUUUCUUUCGUUGAUUACGCUUAAGUCAGCCUCGUUUUCUACACGAUUGCCAAGGUCCCUACUAAUUUGAUUACAAAGAUUCUGGUUUCUAGUCGUAUGCAUGUAUUUGGGCUGGAGGCGUCUAAGAACAAAUUUCUCAUAUAAAUUGUGAUAGAUACCGGCUAUUUUACCUUGUCCCAAACACGUUCGGAUAUAUAAUUCGUAAUUUAGCACGGACGAUAUAUAGUUCGUAAUUUAUUAUUUUUAAUUUAAAUUUUAACAUCAUCUUAUUAGUAUAUUUUUUAGUAUUUUAGUAUUUAUGAAUUGAAUUUCAAUUAAAUUAUAUUAACCAACUGAUUAUAUUUUUCCACAUAAAUUUAGUUUUUACAAGCUAUUAUCUAUUUAUAAAUAUUUUUCUAUUAUUAAUAUGUGAUAAUUAAUUAUUCAAUUAAUUUUAAAUUAGAUUUUUCAUAUUUCGUAUAUCGUCAUUUAGAUUGAAAUAGAACACAUUAGAGUUAAAAAGAGUUAUAUGAAGGUUCUUGUUAAAAAAAUAUUCAAAAAUAUAUAUUUAUAAUUUUACUUUUAACAUGAUUAUAGUUUUUUUAUGAAAUAUUAUAUGAUAAUGUAUUGUCAUGACUUUUUAAUAUUUGAAAUUGUUUAAUAAUUUAAGUGUAAUAGACCUCCACAUAUUUUAGACUUAUAUUUCUGACUUAUGAAUUAAUUAAUUUUAAAUUUGUUCGAAAUUUAUUACACAAACAAAUAUUUUUAGCGCUUGUGAAAUGGUCUGUAAGCACCUCUUACAUUGUUCUUCUAACAAAUAAAUUAAGGAGUUAUUAGAUUCUUUUAUAUCUAAUUCCUCUGAUUAUAUAUUUUCAUCAUUGAAGUCGGUUGAUUACUGGAUUUAGUGGAGUACUAAAUACUAGUUGAUAACCCGUGCCAAGCACGGGUUUAAAUAAAAUUUUAAAAUUUGUUAUUUAUUGAAACAAUAAUAUUUUUUUUAAUUAUAUUAUCAUAUUUUUAUCAUACCUAUUUAAAUUAUUUUUUAAAUGAUAUUUAAAUUAUUGUUAUUUAAUAUAAGACUUUCUAUAUAUUAAAAUUUGAUCCUACUUUAAAUUUAUUUCAUAACGAUAUGGGUACUCUAUCUAUGGAGUCCACAAAAUAAGAGUAUUGGAGUCCAAAAUUAUUUAAAAAUAAUCUACUCGUUUCAAUUUUAAUUUUUUUAGUAUACAAUAUUUGUAAACAUCUGACAAUUUGCAGGUUAUGUUCCACAAUAUAAUCAUUGGAAUCAAAAGAUAAAAUAAUUAUUUUAUAAAUCACUAAACAUUAUAUAUGUUCUAACAUAUAACUCAUAAGUAGAAUAAUGAUCAUAAGUAGAAUACUGAUCUUAAUGAUUGUUAAUGUUGAAAAAUGUUAAUGAUUAAUUGAUAAUUAUAUAUUUAAAACUAUUUAAAGAUGGUAAAUUAUAUAUAAAUUUGAAUAAUUAAAGAUAUUAUUUAUGAUUAAACUAAAAGAUUAUGACUGUUACUUAUUACGGUUUAAAUGCGGACUUUAUGGAACUUAACUCUAAUAGUAUGUUUUAUUUUAGUAAAAUUACUAUGUUGUUUGAUGAUUUUUAAAUUGUGAAAAUAAUAUUUAAAAUCAACACAUAUAAGUUCGCUUAUAGCGUGUUUAAUCUUAAACAAAAAUUUAGAAUUUUAAGUCGCAAUUAUUUUAUUCAUUUAAUAGGCAAACAUUAUAUAUAAUUCUAGUUGGAGUUUUUGUAGAUCUAAAAGUUGUUGUAGUUGUUUGAUAAACUAAUAUUGUAGCUUGACAAAAUUAAUUAACUUUCCAAAAAUUUGAUAUCAAAUUUUUUGACGUAUGUCUAGAGUUUCGGUUCUUUUAUUAUAUGUUGCAAUAUGGACAUUAACUUCAUUUUCUUUGAGUUUCAAUUUGUCAAGUCAGCGUUACCACCGCCUUAUUCGUCUUUAUCGCAGUCUUCUGAAAAACACUUGAAUGAUAAUGAUUAUUAUUAUUAAAAAAUAUAUGACCAAUUUUUUUGAAACUUUGAUAUCAAUUGAAUCUUGUUUAUUUUAAUUUUGAAAUAUGAUAGUAAUUUUAUAAAUUUGUUUCGUAAAUUGAAUUGUAUGAGUUUUAAAAAUUAAAACGAAUAUUUGACGUAUGUCUAGAGUUUCGGUUCUUUUAUUAUAUGUUGCAAUAUGAACAAUGACUUCAUCUUCUUUGAGUUUCUAUUUGUCAAGUCAGUGUUGCCACCGCCUUAUUCGUCUUUAUCGCAAUUUUCUGAAAAAUACUGAAUGAUAAUAAUUAUUAUUUAUUAAAAAAAAUAUAUGACCAGGUUUUUUGGUACUUUAGUAUCAAUAUUGAAUCUUGUUUAUUUAAUUAUGAAAUAUGAUAGAAAUUUUAUAAAUUUAUCGUAAAUUAAAUUGUAUGAUUUUAAAAAAUUAAAACGAAUAAUUUCAAUUUCGUUGACAUUAUUAUUCUAUUGAUAGGAUAUUAUGUUAAUAUCAAUAUGAACUCCUUAUUUAUUUGAACUCUGAAGCAUGCUAAAAGAUUUAUAGAGUUGUUCCGUAUAUUAAAUUCUUUGAGUUUUAAUAAAUUAAAACAAAUAAUUUUGUUGGUAAUAUAUUUUUAUUAGUGAGAUAAUUGUUACAAUACAAAACCCUGUCAAAUAUAGAAUUUUUUUAUAAUAGUAAUAAUUGCUAAAUAAAAAAAAUGAUGAUAGCCAAAUUUUGAUAUGAAUUUUAUAGAAUUGUUUCAUAAGUUAAAUUGUUAGCGAUUUAACUAUGCGGAUAGGAUAAAUGUUAUAUUACAAAAUCCUAAACACCAUAGAAGUCUUUUUAUAGUAGUAUAAUAAUCUUAAUCAAUAUUGAAAUUUUCAAUAAUAAAAUCCGAAUCAAUAUAGAAGUUUUUCACCGUCAUAAUGAAUAUUGAGGUUUUUAAUUCUGAAAUAUGAUAGAAAUUUUAUAGAUUUGUUUCGUAAAUUAAAUUGUACUUGCGAGUUUUAAAAAUUAAAACGAAUAUUUGACGUAUGUCUAAAGUUUCAGAUCUUUUAUUAUAUGUUGAAAUAUGGACAAUGACUUCAUUUUCUUUGAGUUUCAAUUUGUCAAGUAGUGUUACCACCGCCUUAUUCGUCUUUAUCGCAAUCUUCUGAAAAAUACUGAAUGAUAAUAAUAAUUAUUAUUAAAAAAAUAUAUGACCAGGUUUUUUGGCACUUUAGUAUCAAUAUUGAAUCUUGUUUAUUUUAAUUAUGAAAUAUGAUAGAAAUUUUAUAAAUUUAUCGUAAAUUAAAUUGUAUGAUUUUUAAAAAUUAAAACGAAUAAUUCCGUUGACAUUAUUAUUCUAUUGAUAGGAUAUUACAUUAAUAUCAAUAUGAACUCCUUAUUUAUUUGAACUCUGAAGAAUGCUAAAAAAUUUAUAGAGUUGUUCCGUAUAUUAAAUUAUUUGAGUUUUAAAAAUUUAAAACAAAUAAUUUUAUGGGAAAUAUAUUUUUUUAUUAGUGAGAUAAUUGUUAUAAUACAAAAUCCUGUCAAGAUAUAGAAGUUUUUUGAUAAUAGUAAUAAUUGUUAAAUAAAAAAUAAUAUGAUGAUAGCCAAAUUUUGAUAUGAAUUUUAUAGAAUUGUUUCAUAAGUUAAAUUGUUAGCGAUUUAACUGUGCGGAUAGGAUAACUGUUAUAUUACAAAAUUCUAAACAGCAUAGAAGUCUUUUUAUAGUAGUAUAAUAAUCUUAACUAAUAUUGAAAUUUUUAAUAAUAAAAUCUGAAUCGUCUUUACAUAAAAUUCUAAUUAAUAUAGAAGUCUUUCGCUGUCCUAAUGAAUAUUGAAUAUUGAGGUCUUUAAUAAUAAAAUUUUAUUCAAUAUAUAAGUUUUUUGAUAAUAGUAUAAUAAUGAUUAUAAAAAUUCUAAUCAAUAUGAAAGUGACCAAAUUUUGGUACUAAAAGUACCGAUGUUCCACCGAAACGUGGUUUCGCUUAUUAAUAAAGCUUAUUAAUAAAGGGUAUUGAUGUGAAUUUUUUACUCUUUAAAUAUUCGAAUGCAUAUGCUUGAUUAGAGCGAAUAUUGUUUCUUUCUUCUUCUGUCAAAAAAAGGUGAAAGGAAAAUAUAUAUCUCCUCUGUUCGGUCAACGAGUAUAGUAGGCUCAUAACGAAUAUUUGGAAAGUUCAAAAAUUUUAACCCUUGCUUUCUUUGCAUUUCUACGAGAGUUUGGUGCAAUAAUUGAGUUCAAAAUUGCAGAGUGACACAGAUAUUUCGAGAACAUUAAAAAGUCAUAUUUUAUGAGCUUACACCACCCAAUUCAAACCACGUAAUUACACACACAUAGUAUUUGUAUUUGACACCAUAAAUUCAUUAAUUUAACUACUAAUCUCCCCAUGUCUAUCACAACUUUUUUUAAUGGAGGGUCUAGUUUACGUCAACUCGAUUAAUUUGAUGAUUAAUAUAGUAUUUAAUUUUAUAAUUACACACUUAAAUGUGUAUUAUUUUACGAUGAAUUGCACAAACUCAACUAAUUUCAACCAACAAUAUAAAAUCCUAAUUAUGUAUUAUUUUUAUAAGGAGAGUCGAACCUGAAACCGUCCCUACCGACCUACGCAAUCUCAUUGUACUAGUGGCCUAUCUUAAAUUUGUAAGUUUUAGAAAUUUCUCCUCUUUGUAACCAACCUUCUCUUAUAUAAACAUCUUUGCAUAUUGGCAAUAGAUAUCUUGAGUUUCUUAUGCAGAGAGCUAAGCUUUCUAAUAUUCUUCAACUAGCUUUUCCUCUGUAAAACCCGUGCAAAGCCAAGCUAGCAUUGUAGAAUUACUUAUAAGCUCUCUGCAUUUCAAGAUCAAUGAAGAAUCAAACUCAUGUUUUUUCACCGAAAAUUUUUAGUCCUUCGAUUCAGGGACUCGUAACUGUCCUGUAUUACAUCCUUUUCUUCGCAAUAGGCCUAACUUUCGGAAUCAUUAUUACUUUCCACUCGAAAAAUUUCUCGUUUAAUCUGCAGCUAACACAAUUCUCCCUCUCCACGUCUUCGUAUCCUCCCUCGCUGCCCUCACCGUUAUCAUCAUCGUCAUCGUUGUCUAGUCGUUCUAGUGCUAAUAAAACGUUGAAGAGUAGGGUUGGUUUACGCGAUUUUGUGAGGCCGCCAAGGCUUAUGCAUGACAUGAGUGAUGAUGAGUUGUUGUGGAGGGCUUCAAUGACUCCGAAUAGGAAGGAGUUUCCGGGUCCCAGGCAAACGUCGAAGAUUGCAUUUAUGUUCUUGAUCAAACAGACAGUUUCGUUUGCUCCUUUGUGGGAGAAGUUUUUUAGAGGCAAUGAAGGACGGUACUCAAUAUAUGUGCAUUCUGAUCCGUCUUAUAAUCAGUCCGAGACUGAGAGCUCGAUGUUUCGUGAUCGGAGAAUUCCUAGCAAGGUAAAGUAUGACUAAUUAUAAUGAAUUUGCUGCAUUACAUAUUACAUAUUCAAGAACAUGUAACUUUACUGAUCAUUCUCUAGAUAUUCUUCGUAUUUAUUAAAAAAAUUAAACACAUUCACACACUCAUCUCAAUUUUGACGAGAUUUGAGCCAUCAAUCUCCGGUAAACGGAGCAAGGGAUACCAACUGAUCAAGAGGUCAUUGGUUGGUUAUCCCUUAAACACAUUCAUACACUCAUCUUACUUUUGACAAGAUUCGAACCAUCAACCUCUCGUAAGUAGAGCGAGGAGAUACCAUCUGAUCAAGAGGUCAUUGGUUAUCCCCGGUAUUUUUUUUAACACAAGUUUGAGGAAAUACCAUCUGAUCAGGAGGUCAUUGGUUAUCCCUGUAUUUUUUAACACAAGCUUCUUCUCGACUUGAUCUGUUACUCAUCUAAACAGCUGUCUCUAUCAUGACCAAAACAGAGAUUGAAUAAUCUAAGAAUGAAUUACAUGCGACCAUUAGGCCACCUAUAUCUUGUGAUUUUGCAAAUUUGUACUAAAAUUUGAUAAAAAUUGGUUGUGUAAGACGCAAUACUAAAUGGUCAUAUCUAGCACACAAGCCUAACGCAUCAACAUGGUCGAAAAUUGAAUCUUCUGCUAAUUUUUAUCUACGGCUAAAACCAGAACGGAAAAUACGACUGCUACGACUACAGAAAUUGGCAUUAAACUCGUGGAAGAUAGCAUCACAACAUUUAACAUGCUAUGUAAGAUCUCAGAUAAAUCAUUAUUAAAACAUUAGUAGGGCAAUUAUAAUUGAUUGAGUAAUAUUAACCGAAAACUCUAUGUAAUUAAGCUACGUAGGCUAUAUAAGUAACAAGAAUCCUUGGUGUAGUUUGGUGAACUUAAAAUUAACAAACAAGUCAUGAUAUAUGGUCUGAGGGAAAAAGUCACGUGGUAGGCUUGGUAGCUAAGCUAGCUGAUGGUUGGCAACUAACUGCAAUUCACCAACCUACUUCACAAAAUUCUUACUACUCUUUAGUACCUCUUUUUGGAAAUACGUGGCGAUUCUCGACAACUUCUAAAACUUUUCUUCUCAAUAGGCCAUUGCCCAUUUAUGUCAGAGGACUCAAACCCCUUGUGACCUAAGCUCUGAUAUUAAGCAACUGGUCCAUGACCUGAGCUCUGAUAUCAUGUUAAGCACCUAGUCUAUGACCCGGGCUUGCCAUUUCACCAUAGAUGUAUUAAUAUAUAUCGAUAACUAAUAAGAUGGACUUAACUUUACACAUCUGUGAAUGUUAUAUGAUUUUUGAUUGUCAUGUAUCGUUAUGUAAUCGAUUAUGUUAUUUUAUGGAAUUUGGUAUAUCACGGUUGUAAAUUCACCAUUUUGAAAUGCAGGUAGUAGAAUGGGGAAACGCUAACAUGAUUGAAGCUGAGAGGCGUUUGCUAGCCAAUGCACUUCUUGACUUUUCGAAUCAGCGUUUUGUCCUGCUCUCUGAAUCAUGCAUUCCUCUGUACAAUUUCUCCACCCUAUAUUCAUAUCUCAUGAACUCCUCUGAGAACUUCGUCGAGGCCUAUGAUUUAAACAGCCCUGUUGGACGUGGUCGCUAUAGCCAAGAAAUGUACCCGACAAUAAAACUCAACGAAUGGAGAAAAGGGUCUCAAUGGUUUCAAAUCGACCGUCAGUUAGCCAUCCAAGUGAUCUCUGAUACUACAUAUAUCACCAUGUUCCAGAAAUACUGCAAGGGCUUGUGUUAUUCUGAUGAGCAUUACCUGCCUACAUUGGUGAGCACUAAAUACUGGAAGAAGAAUUCGAACAGGACAUUGACUUGGGUCGAUUGGUCGAGGGGCGGGCCUCAUCCGUCGAGGUACUCAGACACAGAUGCAACUGAGGAGUUCCUGCAGAAGAUGAGGACUGAGAAGCAAUGCAAGUACAAUGGUAAUGUAACAAAUGUUUGUUAUAUGUUUGCAAGGAAGUUUUUGCCAAGUGCUUUGGAUAAGUUGUUGAUACUUGCACCUAAGGUUAUGCAUAUAAAGACAUAAACAUAAAUUUAAGUUUCAUAUACAUGAUUUGUACUUCUGUAAUUCCUAAUCCUAUAUAUGAUAUACAUUUGCAAGAAUGAUCAAGGUACUAAGCAAUUCAGCAAUUAGAGAAGCAACGGGUAUAGAAAUAGAAAAUAAGAAGAAAAAAUUAAUUAUAAAAAAAAUUGCACAAGGCAAUAGUAAUGAAUCGAUUGAUAUACAUAUGACUCUUUAAUCUUAUACGUUCACUUCAAUUAAACUCGAAAUAGUUUAAGAACAAGCUUAAAAGCAGGAACACAAGCCUUGUACAGUAAAAAACACUAUGUUGAAUUGAUUAACAAGAUAACCACCGGGGGUGAGCAUCGGGCGGUUUGGAGGGUCUAAACCAAAUCAAACCGAAUUAAUCGGUUUUUCAAAAUCUCAAUCCAAAACCAAACCAUUAUAUUUAAAAUCCAAACCAAACCAAUCCGUUUAAAACGGUUCGGUUCGGUUUGGUUUCGGUUUAAACCGUUUUUUAUAUGUAAAACAAAGUUAGCAACAAAAUUAAAUUUUAACUUGAAAAAUAAGGAAUGAAAAAUUCAAUUUAUAUUUUCUAUUUAAUCAUAUUUAAAGAGGAUACAAGAAUAUAUUAGCUUGAUAAAUAAAAAUAUAAAUAAAAAGAAUGAAAACAUAUUACAUCAUAAUUAAUAUCAUAAAAUAGAAUAAAUAAUAUUUUUAAGAAAAUCUUGACUAGGAUACCUUUUGUAUGUUUAAGAUUUUACAUUUUUUUGUAGAUUAUAAUUUUAUUUUUAAUAAUACAUUAUUAGUACAUGUAUAUUAAUGUUUAAAUCUACACAUUCGGUUCGGUUCGGAUUUAUCGGUUGGUUUGGAGGUAAAAACCAAAACCAAACCGAAAUAAUUCGGUUUUUAUUAUUUGAAACCAUAACCAAACCAAACCGUUAUUAAACCGUUAAAUUCGGUUUGGACGGAUUGGAUCGGCCGGUUUCGGUCGGUUUGGAGAAUUUUUGCUCACCGCUAACCACCACGCCACUAUAUUAAAAAGGCAUCUCAUUACCACCAUAAGAACAAGAUUACUGUGUUAAGUUUCUAACAAAACAACUAUAAGUAGUAUAUUAGUAAGAUUAAGAUGUCAGCUUUCUAAUGUCUUACAUAUUAGCUUUGCUACAGGAGGUAUAUAGCUAUUUUGCUUUGGAUAAAAAAUUACAGAAUGUUCUUUAACCCAGAAAGGUACCUGAGUUUCGCAUCUAUGUUCAUGCUGUUUAGUAGACAAUUCAAUCAAUCUUUUCUCGAACUAUAUCAACAAGAUACCCAUUCAAAUUCUGGCCAAAUAUUUUGGUAGAAAAUGACUCUUCAACAUGCCGCCGGGCUUCUUUACCCAUACUUUCUGCUAACUGUGCUUCCGUAAUAAAUUUGCCCAUCGCGAAAGAGAAGGCUCCUGGAUUAGGGUCACAGAGGAACCCAGUAAUACCAUCCUUGAUUGUCUCAACAGGGCCCCCGCUGUUACAAGCAAUGACUGGCUUUUGCGCUGCCAUUGCCUCAAGGGGGACAAUCCCAAAGUGUUCAUCCUACACACAAAGUGCAGUUCUCAUAUAUUUUUAACAUGUGAAGCCUACUCUGGUUUAUCCAAAUAUAUAUAUGUGUAGCAAUCUACAAUACCUUGGGUGUAUAAAGAACACACAGGCAGUCGGAGAGAAAUACGUUCCUUUCUGAUGUAGAACAAGAUGUGAUAAAUUUAACACGGUCAGACACACCCUCUCUAUCGGCCAAUACUUUAAGCUCCUCCAGGUAUUCAACAUUCUCUUUUAGGCGUCUGUCAAAGCCACCUGAAAAAAAAGGCAAAUAUAUAAUGCAUUUGCAUUGCAUCUGCUUCACUGAACAAGGAACACUACGAUGUAUACAUACAUUACUCAAUUUUUACUGGAACAGCCUAAAUGAAAUAGCAAAGUUUAUAAAAUAGAAAUCCUUAUUUGCUGAACUGCACUUGGAUGGUACAGACAACUGAAGAUAAUAAUUGAUUCCUUAGAACAUAGUACUAAGUUUUGUACAUUUAUGCGUAUAUAUAACUACAAAUUGCCUCAAUGACGAAUUGUAGACGCCCAAGUACUCGAACCUUAGUCAAUGAGAAUAUUAAAAAGAAAUUUCUAGUAUAUCUGUGAGAAAAUACAACCUGACUUGGCACCUCUAAGUAUCUAGAACAGAAUAAUUACCAAACCACAACAUGACAAUCACAGAGUGGAAAAUGGAUACUUUAUGAUAUUCUGCAUCACCAAUAUAUAGCAGAAGUGGUAAUUCUUCAAGUCUUCUUCUCGUCUAGAUAGGAUUAUGAAUUUUUCUUUUCUUCAGUUCACAAUUUAGUUAUUUGGUACUUUUCAUCAAUCAGCAAUCACCAUGCAAGAACAAUAUAUCAACCUGAGCUGUUCUACUCUAUGUCGGGAUUAAAGUCAUGCUUUAACUUUCUCUACUUCUCGCCAGAAGGUCCGCUAAUAAGUUUUCCCUGUCCAGGUGCUAGUAAAUUAACGGUUGGCACUAGUUAAACAAAUGGAUUGUCAGAUUCAAUCCCACAAAUCUGUUUAAUUUUCUUUGCAGAGUUACUUUUUAAAGUUGUUCUUAAAAUGGAAGUUUCCAGAAACUUAAAGUGAUUGCAAGGAAUCUAUGAUAUUUUCCAUCAACGUAAUACAAAGAUGGCAACUCUAAGAAACAAAUUGUGGUCAGGGGACACUGAUGGAAGGGAUACAUAAGGUGGAAAUUUGUUUAAGUAAUUAAUGCAUUUAAGACAGGGUAACCCCAUUAGGACUUGAACUGUGAUAAAUUAAAAUUUGUCAAUUAGUUUGAAGACAAACAAUGCUGAUUUGUGAGGACUGCAGUUAUGAUAUUGUAUAACGAGCCUUGAGCUUGAGGUAUGACACUUCAUUUAGGUGUUCUAACCCGCCACCACACAUUUAUGAGAUCGAGAAGAGAAGAAAGUACCAACUCAUCCUAAUCAAUGCCAUAUCUUCAACGCCCAAAAAAAGCGACAUAAAGUUCAGAUGUGGUAAUAUUAUCAAUGUUACCAAACACAUCAAAUUUGUUAUGUAAUAACACACACAUAUAUGCUGCAACAUAUAUUAUAUGCAUAUCGGGUUAAAAUCAGUUUGAACUCAUUAAGGUAGACUAAAACAGUGACCAGAAAGAACCAGCUGGUUUUAGGAAUACCUCAACCUAAACCACAGUCUGCAAUCGGCUAAAAAUUAGUUUUAUAUUUGAUCUAACCCAAACCCAUAAUCACCCCUAAUGAUAGAGCAGGUAGAAAAAUUAUACUCAGUAUGUGGCAACACUACGUAAUAUACUGUGCAAGUAUAACCUAGAUAGAUAGAUCAAUAGAACAGAUGAUAGAUCAUAGAUGAGAUAACAGGGCAAUGAUGACUGAUCUCAGGCUGUAAUCUAUCAUUGACUUGCCUACAAUGGUCAAGGUAGCAUCAGCCAAGUUACGUCCUUGAAGAAGAUUCCUUUCAUCUUUGCAAAGAAUUGAAAAUGCAGAAACAGCCAAGUCUAUGUUCUUUUUCCUUUCAAAUCGAUUGAUGGAAAGAAAAUUCAACCUGAAAAAGAUUAGCAAGUAUAUUUAGAUUAAUAUUCAAAAAGACAGGGUUGCUUAACCAAGAAUAUAACAUUGCCGUUUCUAAUUAAUCUAAAAACUAGAAUGUACCAAGAGAUAAAAAGAUUUAUAUUACUUGAAAGCAUUGGGUUUAUUGAACUGUUCCACAUUAACUGCUGGAUAUAGCACAGCUGGUCUAACUGCUUGCGAAUCAAGAUUUUUGAAGGUCUUUGCAAAAGUUGUUGCAGUAAACUUGCUGUUAACCAAAAUCAAAUCUGCCAUUCCUGUACUUUUAUCAAGCAAUUGAAUAAGAAAAGAUUCAUGUUACAAGUAGCACUUAUAUAGCAUAUAAUUUAAUGGAAGUUACAAUGUGUACUAGACCUGUUGUUACUUCCUCUACAAAGUCUAUAGGCUUCCGAUAUACCCUCCUCAGAGAAGUUGUAUGUUGAGCUAACAGCAAAUCGGGAAAAUGGCAAUAAAAUACAACCUGCAUAGGUAAUGGAAAUUUUGAGAAUACGUGGGUUUACAGUCACGACGGAAAACUGGAAAAAGAGGAUGCUGGUAAAAAAUGAUGUACAUAAACACAGAAGCGCAGCACUUGAAAAUAAAUAUAUUUCGUGCCCCACUUUGCCAUAUUGCAAAUGACAGUAUGAUACCAAAUAUCUGAAAUCCAAGUUAAUUUGAUGCUACUUUAGUUACAUUAAAACUAUCUUAGUAGUCUUCGAAAGCUAUCCUUAUCGCUGGGCCAUAUUGACCACUCCCUUUCAGUCCCUUUUUAACAUCCAUCUGUUGUAAAAGCAGCUAUACAUGGUUCCAAAUUUUAGUUUUAAACUUACACAUAUGUUUUAACUAGAAGACCAUAAAGUCAUGGCAUCAUAUUUGACCUUGUGAAGUCAUAACAUCCUUAGCAUUUAAGCCUAAAGAUCAACAGCUUAAGGUAUAUAUGAAUAAUUGAAUAAACUAAAAUAAACAACUAUCUUCAUAAUCAAAAUUAUUCAAGAUAUUUUAAGCCUAGAUCAAUCAACUUACAAUUAAGUAUAACAAUUGACAUAGUCUUUCUUUCUACACUUCUGAAAACUUAUAAUCUUAAGCUAAUAAUCUUAUUCUGCAUGCAAAACUCUCAGAAAGAAUUUACUUAAUACAAAUAAAGAAAUGAACUCUCCCAUAUCAAUCACAAUUAUCAAGAUAUUUUAAACCAAGAAAGUAAUCAAGCUACUAUUAAAUAAAAAUAAUUACAACUGAAGUAAAAAAAAAAAAGCAUUUGAUUAACACUUGCAAAAAUUUUAGAAUUUUAUGCUAAUAAUCUUGUUCUUAAAGCAAAACUCUCAUAAAAUCUACUUAAUACUUAUAAACAGAUUCAAAAAUAUGCUACAAAAUUAAUAGUUUAAAAAAUAGUAAAUCUUGAUACAAGAAAAAUCACCUUUGACGACCUUUUUAACUUCAUCAGUGGAAUGACAACAGAGACUUGAUCGACGAGUACUACGUCAAAGGAUUUCCACAUAAAUAACAUGCACAGGGCAACGAAUAUGCAGCGAAGAUAUGCGCACAAUGCAUGAAAAUGCUGGAAGAUAUGUCGGGGCAGGAAAGAACCAUAUACUGUAACGGGAAAACUACCUGGACAUUUUCGUUCAGGGGUAGAUCAAAAUUUUGAAAGAUAUAGGCAACAGAAUAUAAAUUAGCCAAUUACUUUGCCGUGUGAUAAAAUUAUUUAUUAUUCUCACCAGAAAGAGUCUCCUCAAAACAUCGAUUUUUAUCAUGGUGUGCAGUAAAAAUAUGAACGUUAUGGCCAUGGGAUGCGAGUUCUACGGCAGCGUCAACAAUUAACCUUUCAGCUCCACCUACUCAUGUGAAGUUAGAAACAGACCUUCAGGUAAAGUAAUUAUAACACGAGAUAGAACAUUAAACAUAAAGAGUAACAGGAGAAUGUGAUGAGCAGAAGUUAACUUCAUAUGCUAGAAAACAAUUUAGAGCCCAAUAUCUUAUAGGUUUUGUUUGAGUUUCAGAGUGUGUGGGUGGGUGGGUGGGUGGGUGUUCAGGGGUAGGGUUUGAGCUGAACAUUAUCCAAUAAGAAGCAAGCUGGUAUCCUCUUCUAGUGUAUUUAUUUGUAUAAAAUGAGGAGAAACAUGUUUCUGCCUGUACAAAAAGAGAAUAUACACACAUCUCUAGGUAUCAUUUGCAAGUUUUGGUUUCAAGGGAAAUUUCUAUUAAUAUUUGUUCUUGUACAAUUUUGCAAUUUACACAGACGAUCUAAUCUAAGUCAGUACAAUAAUAAGGUGAAAGUGCAGAAGCUAUCCCUGAUCCUCCAUUAAAGACAACAAUCCAAUAUAACAACAAAACAUAUCUACUAUAUACACAGAAUAUAUGUAUACUAUGUAUGUGAGUUAAAACCAACAUUACCAAUUCCGAGAUCCGGAUGAAUGAUGCCGAUAUUUAACUUAAGUCCACCCUUUUUCUCCAUCGCCUCCUUCCCUAAAUCAGUAGUGAAUAACUAUAAGAUAAAGACCUACAACUAACUGUGCCAAACAUGCUCCAAAUGAAAACCUCACUGCCUGAUUUCUCUCAACCAGUAAUUUCGUUAAUGAUCAAAGCUUAUGCCUUUCAAGAACUGUAGAAUCUCAAAUCACAUAAGCAGUGAAUUACAGUUAUAAACUGUUUAUCUAAAAGACCAAAGAGCAUAUCGAAAACUAUAAUAUUUGCGGAAAUUUUUAAAGAGUCCAGAUAUGUACUAAAUCAAGAGUAUAUUUUACUAAUUCAGUUCACAUAAUCUGUCGUAGCGAGUAAGAAGGCACUUAAUUAAUUUCCCAAACACCGUUCUCCUUUUCGUAAUAAAUGUUCGAGGGGUCAAGCCUCUCCACAGGUACUGGUUCAUGAGCAUUCAAAUUUUCAUAACAGACCAUAAUCAACUAAACCAAUUAAAACAUAAAGACCCGAAUCUAAUGACCUAUGCAUUACCAAAGUUCUCAAAUUUUUAAGCCGAGUAGUCACAUUUAACACACAAGUUAACAAUUCACACUAAUCAAAACAUUCUAGAAUUCUCAGGGGAAUUUCAUCAAACACUGUCAGGCCUUAAUUAAUCACUCAGUUUCUCAAGCUCGAUUCUCGAAUACCCCAGCUAAACAAAAGGGCAGUAGGGCACAUCAAAGAUUUCAAUACGCAACAACCCAUUACUAAUUAACAAAGAAACUAUCAACAAAAAAAAAAAAUCACGCAUAAAAUAACCAUCCCAGCUGAAUAGCUUCAAAUUUUGUAAAAAGAACAGCAAAUAAUGAAGUGAAGUAGUGAAUAAUUACCAAGAAUGCUAGCGCAGUACAAAACGAUGGGUCUACAAUUGUAAUAUGCUUGAUGAUAGCAAUUUGAUAUAAUUGAAGUUGACGAACAAAUUUGAGGAAAAGUGAGUCAGCUAUACAGGGAGAUUGCAGACUGAUAGAGUUUGGAAUUGUUUAUUACUAUUACUUACCUUUAACCCGUGUGACACGAACGGAACGGAGUAUAUAAUUCUUAAUUUAUUAUUUAUUAUUUAUAUAAAUAAUAAUUUAUUUUUCAACUAAUUAUAAAUUAUAUUUAAGAUGAUAAUGAUAAAAUUUUUAUCUUACAUGAUAGUGUUUUUAGUAUUUGUAAUUAUUUAAUAAUAAUAAAAUUAUAAUUUUAUACAAAUAGUACCAAACUAAAAAUGCAUAAUACUCAUGUUAGCUUAUUAUAAGAUAGUAUAGAUGUUUUUUCUUCUUUUUUACUGUACUUUAUUUUCCUUGGUGUGAAUAUUUUCAAAUAAUUUUUAAUUAUAUAUAUAUAAAAGGAUAUUAGGACCGUUUUUGGAAAAUAGUUAUAAAAAUAACUAAGGUGUUGUAUCAACACAAAAUAUCUUUUGGGAUCAAGUAUAAUGGUUCGAGAUUCAAUAAUUAGUUUUUUUUAAGGAAUAAAAUUAUUCAAAUUUCUUGAUUAAAGCCAAAUAUUAAAUAUAAAAUAAUUAUGAUGAUUAUUGUAUUAUGAAGAAAGGUAGCACGUCUGAGCUCGAUUCCUUAAUAAUCGAAUAUCAACAUGUACUGUCACGAGAAAAAUAAGAAUUUAAUAUUCGGUUCCUUAACAAUUGAAUGUUAACAAUCGAAUAUCAACAUAUACUGUCACAAAAAUAAAAAUUCUAACAUACAUACAUGCAGAGUCAUGUUAUCAAACGAAAAAUUAACAUGUAAUGUUCAUUUUCUGGCAUAUUUUUUUAGACUGAUAUAUUGAUAAUAAAUGAUUAUUUUAAAUCAACAACCCGUAAGAAUAAUAUUAAAAUGAGAAAAUAGAUUUUCUUGCCACCCAACUUAUUAUUUGUUUAGAAACCUACCACUGAAUUAUUAUUUUUUUCUUUUUUGCCACUAAUGUUAGGUUCGGAUUUUUUUUUUGUCACUAAAGCUAGGUUCGGAUUUGAUUAUUACCACUGAACUAUAAUUUUUUUCUUUUUUGCCACUAAUGUUAGGUUCAGAUUUUGUUUUUGUCACUAACGCUAGGUUCAGAUUUGAUUAUUAACACUAUGUUAUUCUAUUUUUCCGACCAUCUAAACGAUAUUUUUCGGAAAUCUAUUUUUCGGUAGUCUGCAAUAUAAUGGUGAUCUGUGUCUAUAUCUUUAUAUGUAGUACUCCAUGUGUGUCCUAGGUAGUUUAUCUUGGAGGACGAGAGUACGGAUUUUUUUACUCAGAAAAGGAAAUCUCAAAAUUAACUUAUGGAACUAUAUUUAUAAAAAGUGGGAACCUUAAAAUACGUGACAAGUAGUGGUAAAAACUAUAAAGUCAAGUUAUACUAUAUUUUUGUGGAGUCCUAAAAUAAUUUAUAAAACUAAUUUUUUUACGUUCUUAAAAUGCUUGUUAAACUCUCGUACUUCCAGGUAAACUAGCUAGGAGACGUAUAGAUGACUGUAUAUAUUGUUAUAGACACAUAUCAUAUCACCAUAAUAUUGAAGACUACCGCUAUGUUUUUAUAACGAUAAAAAAAUAACAUAUUGUUAAUAAUCAAAUCAAAACAUAACGUUAGUGACAAAAAAAAAUCCAACGUAUUUUUAAGGGAAAAAAAAACCAACAUUAAAUUUUAUUCAGAAAAAAUAAAAUAAAAUAAUUUUUGAAAUUUUUCGGAGUCUCAAAAUGCGUGUCCAACUCUCGUCCUCCAAGGUAAACUACCCAGGACACUACAUAUAAAGAUAUAGACACAUAUCAGAUCGCCAUUAUAUUGCAGACUAACACUAUAUUUUAAUAAUGCUAAAAAAAUAACAUAGUGUAAAUAAUCAAAUCCGAACCUAACGUUAGUGACAAAAAAAAGUCUAAACCUAACAUUAGUGACAAAAAAGAAAAAAAUUAUAAUUCAGUGGUAGGUUUCUAAACAAAUAACAAGUUGGGUGGUAAAAAAAUCUAUUUUCCCUAUUAAAAUCUAUUUUCUUUUACUAAAAUAAAAGUAGUAUUUUAUACCUUAUUUGUAACCAACUAAUUCUUUCAAUAUUAAUCAGUCGAUCGAUAAUCUCUUCUCGCCGUUCGUAAUUAAUACCGAUAAUUUUGGUCGGAACCGUUCAUAAUACAAUAACUAAUAUUGUAUUUGGUUCAAUUUAAAUAUAAGAUUUUCGAACAUAAUUAGACAGUCAAAUAGCAGGCUUGUCAUUUAUUCGGGAUACCCGAAUUCGACUUAUACUCACUUACGAAAAAUAUUAAAACACUUACUUAUUUACAAAAUAUAUGUCUAGAUUAUCAAAAAAAAAAUAAUAUAAUAUUCUCCGCAUAGGAAAAAUAAAAAUUAACAUAAUACAGCUGCUACGCUGGGUAAUAUCUGUCGCAUAAAAUGUAACAUGUACACACAACGGAUAUAAAUGGACAAAGCUUAUAUGCCUUGAAACAAACAGAAAUGGACAAACUUUCCAAAGUAUUACUCCCUCCGUCCCGCCCAAUUCUUUACAUUGGGUUUGGGCACGUAGGUUAAGAAAUAUGUAUAAAGUAGUAGAAAAGAGAAAGAAAAGUGGGUGAAGUGGCGGGACCCACUGAUUUUUAAUAUAUAAAAAAGAGAUAGUGGAGUAAAAGUAGUGUGAAAAGAAAGAAAAAGUGGGAAAGUGGUGGGACCCAUUAACUAUUUUAGGAAAGUUUUGUAAUGUAAAGAAAUGGGUGGGACGGCCAAAUAAGGAAACUGUAAAGAAUCUGGUGGUGGGACGGAAGGAGUACACUAUUAGUAAAGCUUAUCAUGAUCUACAAUUGCUACUGGCCAGGCCUUGCCACUUGCUCACAUGCUUCAAUAGUUUACUUGUUGGUUCAUAUAAGUUAACAAAGGGAAAUAAACAAGACUUUGAGCACAUGAAUAAUGUCUUAAAUGAGGAUUAGGAGAAACUGAGGUUACUACAUGCAGUUUAGGAUGAAACUAACGGUCGUAGCUUAAUUGCAAGGAAAAAAAACAUUUACAGCACCAUUGGAAUCUAAUGAAAAUGCUAAUUAAACUAGCUAAAAAAUACUGUUUCUGUCUGUACUCUCAUUGACUAGCUCCUCCGCAAUUAUCAUCAGAGGCAGAUACAGCUGGUGAGUCCUCGGAGAGGGAAUCGUGAGAUGGAGAGACCUCAACCCCUCGAAUCUCCUCUAUCAUUUUCACUACCUGACUCAUUGUCGGGCGUUGAUCAGGAGAGGCUGCUGUACAGGCCAUUGCAAUCUGCAGCAACCCGACCAUCUCUUCCUCGAUAUUUUUGUAUCUCAUCAACUCCAAGUCGAACACCUCUGCUGUCCACUCUUCCCUAACCACUGACUGCACCCAUCGUGGCAAAUCUAUCCCCCCGCCGUCUACCACUGUGGAAGGGCACUUUCCUGUGAGCAGUUCCAGCAACAGUACCCCAAAAGAGUAAACGUCAGACUUCUGGGUAAAUUUUCGGCCACUGUCAUUUGGUGAUUCUGGUGCUCGGUAGCCAUUUGAUCGUGGUGCAACUGAGGUUGCGAAAAGAGAUAGACCAAAGUCAGAAACACGAGGAUUUCCAGAGCUGUCAAAGAGAAUGUUGGUGGAUUUGAUGUUGCCGUGGGUGAGUCUGAGGGACUUGCAAGAGUUGUGGAUGAAGAGUAUCCCACGAGCUGACCCAGCUGCAAUUUUCAGCCUUGUUAUCCAAUCUAGUGGCGCUCGCCCUGGUCCUCUGUUACCUGUCAGAUUAAUAACGAAGCUAGGUUUCAGAAGCAAUUAAACACAUACAUAUAUAUAUGGUAGCUAGUGAAGCAUUUACUAACAAAACUUUGUGCAUCUGUUUUUUACCCGAACAGUAUCGGAAGUUUAGACUAAAUAUUGCAUGUAAGAUUUGUUUUUUAGUACUCGGAAUAUUGUUAUCAAUUGGAAGUUGAGUAAACAUAGCAUUGCGUGACAGUGUAGACCGUAGAAUACAUAAUUAUAUUUAAGCGUAUGAUUUAAAAAAAACAGGAUAAUGACAAUAUCAAUUGGUGCAGAUGAUGGUAAUCAUAAUAGGGCAUCAUGCCAGAAUAUAAAAUUUAACAGCAGAGCAUGCUUAUAUUAGGUAACAUGGGAUCAAAAAGUAGAGACUAGGGAAUAGUAAAUAACAUGAAUGUCAUCAGAAAAAUAAUCAGAAUCAUGUUACUUUUCUGAUCCUAACACAUACAAUCUUCUUGCCCAUUAUUCUUGUGUACCCGACUCCUAGUACAUUGCUUUUGUCGCAUGUGAGUAGUGAUAGUGUAAGUACUUAGCACUAACUACCUUGAUAAAGAGUUAACCAGUACUAAUAGUGGAUCUUAAGAGUUACGUGAAUAUAAUCAUGGUCAUAUAUUUUUUUCCGGACACCCACCCCCACAACAGGUUCCAUUUUAUUAUUUAUGCAAUGUAACUUCGAUAUUGAAUCAGAAUCUAUGAACUUAGUCGAGUGAAGUACAGGAAUCAGACAAGACGGACUGAAGCUUAAUAUACAUCUGCUGAAUAAUACAGAAUAUCAUCUCAAUAUCAUGAUAGGCAAUUUUACUGGCGGAAUACUUUGAGCAGUUUCUGAAAUGAUCAAAAAUCUUUACAAGGAAUCAAAAAUUUGAAAUCAAUAUUCUAAACAUUUCCGAUACUUCCACGUUCCAUCAAUGAUGCACUUGCUAAUGAAGCGCGGGUUCUACAUACCACCCAACCUCCCCAAUCCCUAUACCUUACUUGCACCUCACCAGGCUCUGCGUUUACACUACUUCGAAAUGAUAUAUACUUUGUAACUUUGUAUAUGUCGGUUGCUACUUAGUGCAGGAAACACAUUACAAGUUUAAUCCCAACAAAUAGUUAAGCCUACAACCUAAUCAAUUACAUCUAUACAUCGCAGAAUUAAGCAUUUAAACUACAAAUACAAAUUAAAGAAGUCAUGAAAUGUAUAUAGGCAGCAACAGAAAACAUACCAUGUAGAAGCCAAAACAAGUUCCCAUUAGGCAUGUAAUCGUAAACCAACAACUUCUCAUCCCGCGCAAAAUAAUAAGCCUUCAAACUCACCAAAUUCUCAUGUCUUAACCUCCCCAACACUUCCAUAUGUUGCUCAAACUCCCUCCUCCCACCACUACCUCCACCUGCCUCUUUCAACCUCUUCACCGCAACCACAUUCCCAUCAUCAAGCACCGCCUUAUAAGCCGUCCCAAACCCUCCUUUCCCUAACAUCUCCGCACUAGCUCUCAACAAAUCCUCGAGCUCAAACCUAUUGACCCCCUCAAAAAACACCAUUUUCCCUCUCUCGAACCCGUGCUGACCAGUAGGAUAUGGACUCGUUGAAUACACAAUUUUCUCCCCUUCUACAAUCUGCGCCGACCCGACCCCAUUUCCACUCUUCCGGGUCCAAAAAUAACAAUACAAGAGCAGUGACACUACAGCUAAAACAAUCACAUCAGCUAUUAUAAUAGCCACUAUAGCAAAAGGGCUUAUCUUACUACCCCCACCAUGCUCAUCAUUCCCCGAUUUUAUCGGAGCAACUUCAUUCUUUGGUAACGACGUCGGAGAAGAAGACACAAUCACCGGAGGUACAGAGCCCGACCCGGACAAUCCGGGUCGGGUUCCUGGUAUAAUACCGGGUCGGGUCGGGUCAUUUGAGCAGUUCUUCAGCGGGGGUCCACAUAAACCCAAAUUCCCAGUAAACGCUGUCCCCGGAAAACCAGCCAAAAAACCCGGAAUUUCUCCGGCGAGCUUGUUGCCGGACACAUUAAAUUCUUGAAGACUCGGCAGGUUUAUCCUGGAAAUGUCGCCGGAAAAGCUAUUUCCUUCUAACCGGAGAGUAAGAAGAUGCGAAAGCCCGUUAACACUCACAGGAAUCUCACCAGAGAGAUUAUUGAACGACAAAUCGAGCCGGAAAAGCCUUCCCAAACCAACCGGGAACUCGCCGGAAAAAGCAUUAUGUGACAAAAACAAGAGCUUCAAAGCAGUAAGCUUAGAGAGAUCGGGAAUGCGUCCUGUAAAAUUAUUCCUUUUGAGACUCAUGACUCGGAGAUGACUCAGUGAAGUGAGUGGCUCGAAAUUACCGGCGAGUUGCAAGUCCUCGAGAACGAGUCGAGAGACCCGGUUAUCGAGGCAGGAAAUGCCGACCCAGGUGGCGCAAGGGUCGGUUUGAUUGGUCCAUGAAGAGAGCUUGGUGUUGUCGGUAUCAGCAGAUGAUUUGAAUGAGAGUAAAGAGUGUGUUUCUUGUGGGUUUAAGAGGGCGUAGAGGGGAGUGAGGUGCAGGAGAGUGAGUGUUAGGAGGAUUGGCAAAUGGGGGUUUGAAAUGGGCAUUGUUGAGAGAGAGAGAGAUGGCGGAGAGACUGAUAAAACGAGAGAGAGAUGGCGGAGAGACUGAUAAAAUGAGGGGGAGAGAGAGAGGGGGGGAGAUGAAAUGGAAGGGGGUAACUGUGUGAUUAUGAGUUUGUGCAAGCAAGAGCGAGUAUCAAAAAAUAAAUGCUAGUGUUGUGGUUUGCGUGAAAAAUUACUCCCUCCGUCCCUAUUUAUCUGUCCACUUUGGAAGUUAAAAUUUGUCCCUAUUUAUCUGUCCAUUUAUACUUUCAAAACUAAUUUAAUGAUAGUUUUUCAAAUAUAUCUUCAUAAUUUCAAUUUUCAAGGCUUGACUUAUUUAAAAUUUGGUUGAAUUUAUGUUUUCAAGACAUAAAGUAGGAGUAUUCCACCAUUUUCAAGAUAUUAAUUAGAGGUAUUUAAUGAAAAAGUUUACACAAUCAAUUAUUCCUUGGUAUGUGUUUCUUUUUCCAAAGUGGACAGAUAAAUAGGGACGGAGGGAGUAAUAGCCUUGCUCUAGAAAAAUAUAUGUGUCCGUUUUGGAUUUUUAUGAUAUUCCAGGUUGUAAAUUGAUCAAUUUCUUCGUUAUUUUUUUAAAGCCAGAUUGAUCAAUUUCUGAUCUGAUUUACGGUGAUUAUAAAAGAGCCCAACAAGUCUUUUCAACUUAUUCUUCUUUUUCUAGCAGUGGUAUAAUCGAGCCGAGUCGAAUACUGUAGGCUCGACUUGAGCUCUAUUAAAAAAUUCAGGAUUCGAAUUCAAGUUCGAUGAGAAGUUUAUAUAAAAUAUUGUGUUUCAAUAUUAUUAGUUGUAUUAGAUUUUUUUGAUAAUUUAUCAUGUACUACAACGGUACCAGUUGAAUCUGAUACAUAAUCGGUUUUAUAAAAAACGAUAUUAACUCGUAUUGAUUGCAUACUUAACAACACAUGAGUGCAGUAAUAAAUUCAUUCUCGGGACCGAUAAACAAUGCAAGUGCGAGUCAACUGCGCAAUUUUCUUAGCCAAAAGACGUUAGGGUUACCCACAGAUCACAGUAGUAGUAGGGAGGGGGUACAGUACUACUACUCCUAUCAUUUAUGCUUGUAUGUGAUGACCGUUUGAGUAGUAACGUUACUUGUACACGCAAGGCAAUCAUCAAAAUUGCUCAAAAGGAGUGUAGUUGUGUCAUGAAAGCCCAGGAGCCUCGGACCCUGUUCGACAUCAGCUCGUGUUUGCAAUUACUUCCUCUGUCCAAAGAAAUGUAUACACUACUCCCUCCAUCCCUUUUUAUCUGUGCAUUUUGAAAAAAAAACACAUACCAAAAAAUAAUUGAUUGUAUAAAUUUUUUCAUUAAAUAUCUCUAAUUAAUAUCUUGAAAAUGGUCGAAUACCCCUACUUUAUAUCUUGAAAACAUGAAUUCAACCAAAUUUUAAAUAAGUCAAGCUUUGAAAAUUGAAAUUAUGGAGAUAUAUUUGAAAAACUAUCAUUAAAUUAGUUUUGAAAGUAUAAAUGGACUGAAAAAUAGAGACAAAUUUUUACAUCCAAAAUGGACAAAUAAAUAGGGACGGAGGGAGUAUUUUUUACACGUUUUUUAAUAGAGUAUUUUUUUAAAAAAAAAAUUCUAAAUAAAAAUUUGAUGUUUAAACUUUUAUUAAAAAAAGAAUUUUAAAAAACAUUAUAUAACUAUAAUUUAUUAAAAUUUCGAAAUGCGUGCAAACAGUGAGCGUAUACAACAUUACGGAGGGAGUAAUAUAUUUUAUUUCUCUUAUUUAUGCACAUUCUGCCAUUGAUUUAUUCCCUUGUAAAUUGUCACCAAAAAAAAAACAGAGUUGUUCUUUCGCACUUAAAUAUAUCUCAGGUAUUAGUAUCUGUGACAAAUAUAUAUAUAUAUAUAUAUAUAUAUAUAUAUAUAUAUAUAUAUGUAUGUAUAUAUAUAUAUGUAUGUAUGUAUGUAUGUAUAUAUCAGGUAUUAAGCCUUUCGGUAAUAAUAUAUCUUAAAAAAAUUAUUGUAAAAAUUGAUUGUCAUGGUCCUGGGUCCAUAUAUGUUUAUUCUUUUGGUAAGUCAAAUUUAUCAUAAUUUGACUGAAAUUUAUAUAUAUUAUAUAAUUUAAAAUAGAAAAAUAUAAUAUUAAAAGUAUAACUAAUCUUAUUUAAAACCUAUUUUUAACUCUCUAGAUAAUAAAUGAAUAAAUUUUAAUAUUUAAUCAAAUGAUGUUCGAUUUGAUUUUUUGAAAUUUAAAAUGGACAUUUAGAAGUUAAAAUAUUUCUUUUAAAUCAUAUCGAAAUAUAAUACAUAUAGGAUGUAAAUUGACCGUUACAAGAUGAAAAAUAAUAUAGUGGAGUUGGAUUUAAAAAAAACUUAUUAACUAAUAUAAAAGUCAAACGAAAGAUGAAGGAGACCAGUGAGAUUAAUCAUGAAAAAUAUAUUUUUUAAUUACGUGUGAUGACAUGGUAGAAUUAGAUUAAAUUCAUUUAAGGAACUAGAUUUUUUCUAAGUUUCUGUCCACUUUUAUUUCUAUAUGAUCCACACACUUUCUUUUCGGAAAUAUUUUAUAUAUCUUAGAUCAAUUUUUAUCUCUUUAAUUCUAUAUACUUUUCUAUAUUUUUAUCUUAAUUAUUAUUUUAAAUAAGAAGAAACAUGAAUAGAAAACAUGUAUGACUAAUAAUGUUUGAAUUAUCACGUCACUCACUAUCUUAAUUUUUGAAAAUUAUAAUUUUAAUUAUUUAUAAAAAAUGAUCCUAGGAAUUAAUCGAAAUGUAUGGACACAACUGGGAAUGUUGGUCGUGAGAUCGAGAUUUAAUUUUGUAAAUAUAUGCAAUAAUGGAUACUCCUAGUCUCCUAUGACGAUUAGACAGGCAAUACACACAGACAACAUACUGUAUCUAUGUAAGAAGGAACGGUCAAAAUCUGAAAGCUUUGCUUUCCCGGAACUAGAAAAAAGGAUAAAGCGUGGUCCAUCUACAUAUAUUCUCGAAAUGCACAAACAUACAAUAACUAAUCAUUCCGUCACAAACUAUGAAACCUCAAUUAGUUUCAAAUCACCCACGAUUAUGAGUUGUUAAUCGAGAUUUUACUAGAGGAAGCAACGAUUUAUCCUAAAUAAAGAUGACUUUCUAUUCCACUUUUGUUUCUUUGGUGGUGCGGUGAGGUGACCUGGGGUAUCCAAUUUUGUUGAAUAAAUACUAUAUUUAACUGAUUGCAAGAAAAUAGUGAUGAUUUUAGACGCUUUACGAGAAAAUUAAGAAACAACUUUUGACCAUACACAUGAGAUAAAAUAAUGUAGCGGGAGGCUGAGAUGCGCGCCAAAAACUUUAAAUUGGGAUCCGCUCCCUUUGCUUUCUACAUGAAUUUUACAGUUGUCUAGCUCGGAUUUCCAUGCAGAUGGAAUGAACAUAAGAUCAUGGAGACGAUCCGCUCGAUUGUAUUACUCCCUUCGUCCCAAUUUAGAUGAGUCUUUUGCUCAUUUCACACAUAUUAAGGAGUAUUAAAUGAUUCAUCUUUUUUCCAUCUAUGCCCUUAGAGCAAGUCCAACGGUUGCCCUAUUUAGUGUCCUAAAUCAUAAUAUAGGGUUUUUGAUGAAAAAAUUUGAUCCAACAAUGUCCCAGUUAGGGCUGAGCAUUCGGUCGGUUCGGUUCAAAACCGAACCGAACCGAAAAAACCGAAAACCGAAUAAUGCUUUUUUUUGAAACCGAACCGAACCGAAUUAGUAUUUGAAACCGAACCGAACCAACCGAAUUAUUUCGGUUCGGUUUCGGUUCGGUUUGAAAAAAACCGAAAUUUUUCUUUUUCUUCCAUAAAAUCGAAUUCUGAAAGGAAUCCAGAUGGGCCAAGUCAUUAUUUGGGCUGGAUGCAACUGUGCGCCAUUUAGACGCAACUUGCUAACCUACGCCACUCUUCUCCACUACACUUCUUCUCAUCUCUCAUCUCGAUUUCACUACUCCCGAGACUCUUUCUCAUGGAUGGAGGUACUUUAUUUCCUAUCACUCGCUCAUUUAUCUCGUUAUUAUGAUUGAUUUUUAUGUACUACUCAAGAAUCAUCGAACGAAAUAUAAACCUGGAAUCCAAGAUGAAGACUAGAGUUGCUGGAGAUGAAGAUUAGAAGAGAUGAAGAUUAGAAGACGAUGAAGAUUAGAAGAUGAGUUUGAUUAUCGGAAAGACCAGUGAGAGCCGAGAGGACUGAGAGUGUCGAGCGGCGCUGGUUUUAAAGAAUAUUAGAUUCAGGGUUAUCUCAUAUAUGUAUAUAUGUAAUAUAUAUUUAUUUUAUAUUUAAUAAAUAUUUCGGUUAUUUCGGUUUAAACCGAAAUAUUUUAUCAAAAACCGAACCGAACCGAACUUCUUUUCGGUUCAAACCAUAAAACCGAAUUAACCGAAAUUUCCAGAAAAAUGAAACCGAACCGAACCAAAAUUAUACGGUUCGGUUCGGUUUUUCGGUUUCGGUUCGGUUUUGCUCACCCCUAGUCCUAGUGAUGCCUUAUAUCACUAGGACAACCCAUUCAAGCUCUAUUUUUGAGGCACUCCCUCUCCUUACCCUAUCCUAUAUUUUAUAAUAAAUUGUUACCAAUACUCUCUUUCUCUCUCUAUUUUAUAUUAUGUUUUAAUAAUGAAAGUGAACUUUUAAUAAUAAAAUAUUAAACAUAUAGUGAAAAUAAGGCACAUUGUUGGGGUUGAAGUUAGUAGAAUAUGUC